UUUUUUUUUUUUUUCUUUUUUUCUGAGGGGUUCUCUCUAAGUGAUGUUUGGCAAUUUCCAGGGUUAAGCUCACGCAAUUAACUACGCGAGUAUUAGUCUUGAAGCUAAAAAGUUGAAUAGGCUAUGAGUGGUACUAAGUCAGGAGAAUGCAUAACUCUUGGCCUCCUAAUAAUCUCAAAUUAGUUUUAGAAAAAGCAUAAACAUUCCUAGAUUGUUUUAUGCUUGACUUAGUAUAUUAUUGUGAUUAUGUAUAUGUUCGCAUAACAUAAUUGCGAAUUUAGUUCUAAAAAGUAACUCAAGGCAUGCGUUUUCGCAACUUCAAACAAACUUCUCUAAAAACAAAAAAUAAACAAAAUAUUAUUGAUUGUGGACACGUUCGCAAGACAUGAUUUUUGACGCGCCAAAGGAAAAGGAAUAUACGUACGCGCAACUCAAUUCUUUAAUUACGAACAAAUCAAGUGAUUAAAAGCGGUAAAAAAAAUAAAUGCACAUAGGUCUUAAAAAUGAGUAGUUAAACAAUUUAAUCCAAGUAAUAAAUAUUAAGCGGAUGUGCUAGAAUCACGAAAUCCGAGAAUGUCUAACAUCUUCUCCCGGAUUAAUAGAAUUCCUUAUCUAGAAUUUCUGAUUCGCAUACUUUAAAUAAAGUUGAAAAUUUUCUCAAUUUGGGAUUCUAAAAUAAACCGGUCACUUGAGACACCAAAUAAUCUAUUCCAAAGUGGGACUCUGAAUGAACAAAAUAAUUCCAUUUCGAUUUAUGUCACUUUAAUUGGAAAAACUCUCUUAUAUCCCCCUCGGGUGGGUAAAAAGGAGGUGUGGCAGCUUUGGCGACUCUGCUGGGGAACAAAACCCAGAACUUUGGUUCAGGAUUCAAGAAUUCGAGCUUAGAAUAACUGUUAUAGUUGGCUUUUAUCUAUUAUCUGAUUUUUACAUGUUUGAGCCUAAUAUGCUAAUUGCUGCUUUUAUACUACUUUGACAUUGAUUGAACUGUAUAUAUAAAUUGUUACGAGACCAUCAUCUCUCUGAGUCUUCUAAGUCAUCUAGGAAUGGUGCACUUCGUGUGACUUCUUUUCUGUUAGAGUCAUAUCCCAAUUUUAGAACGAGCUUCGAACAAGUUGCAAAGCCGGUGAAGCUUCUGUAUUCCCGAUACGCUGCCCUCCUCGUCCCCCUCCCCCCCGCUCGAGCUGUCCGCUCAGGUUAGCCAGGUUUAGAACAAUACACACACUUUUUUAAACCUAGAAUAACAUAGCCUCAUGUUGGAUCCUUAGUAGGAACGUUUGUUUGCAUCACGCGCAUCUGACUUUGAGGGCUCAACACAGGAGUUUGGGUCCAUCUACGAUAGGUGUACCCAAAUUAAAAAGACCAUCCUGAUGCAUCUUACGUGCUACUUGCGCAUCUAUUUAUUCCGGCUUGCAUGUUGAUCGGCUUUUAGAAUAGGGAAAGAAUGAGAGAGAAGAGAAAAAAAAAGUAAGAGGUAGGUAUUUAGAAAAUUCUGAAACUCUGCCUAAAUUCUGAAAAAAGAAAAGUCAUUUCUUUGUUUCGUCAAAACUGAUCGAACUAUGCAGGUCUGUUUCUCACCAGAUAUGAGAUACGUAGGCAAACCCCAUCAGUUCCGAUCUUAAUUUUUUUUAAAAGAUCCAAAAACAAUUUCCUUUAAUUCCAUCCUUGGAAGCAUUUCCGUAGAAAAUUAAAAAAAAUAUUUUUAAACUAAAAGAAAAAUAGUUUCCUUCUUUCUGAAGUCUUUCAUAUGGAAAAAUAAAAUAAAAUAAGAAAUCAACCAAAAAUCAAAAUCCAAAAUACGGGUUUCAUUUAUUUUGAAGUAUUUUCUCAUAAAUUAAAAAAAUUAAAAAAAAUCUUUUCCUUGUUUAAAAAUCUUUCUUCCAAAAAACCAAUUUUGAAAAAUUGAAGCCCAACAUUAUUUUCGCUUUUCUUUAGAAGUGCUUUUGUAAAUAAAUAAAGACUCAAAAAUUCAAAAUAUUUUUUUAAAAGUCCCUCUUUCUAAAAUUAAGAGGCAACAUCCAAAAAUAUUUUAUUUCUUCUUUAGAAAAAGAGAAAACAAAUGAAAAUUCAAACAAAAAUAUUUGUUUUACUUUUAAAAUUCCCAAAGUUCAAAUCAAAAAUAUUUUUAGAAGUCUUUGUUUCCAAAAAAAUAAAACAAAAUUCAAAAUAGAAAAGGCGAAAAAAAUAUUUCCUUUCUUCUUUUAAAGUAUUUCUUUCAAAAAUUCCAAAAAAAAAAAGAAUUUAAAGAACAAAUAUUUUUCUUUUGCCUCAAAGCUUUUAUGUUCUAAGUGUUAUAAAAAAAGAAAAAAAGUUAGUUUAUUUACUCCAUUCUCAAUUUUUUUGAACUACGCAAGAUUUGAUUCAUGUGAGGUCAUGAUACAUAGGCAAUUCCCAUCGGAUUCGAUCAUAGCCAUAAAAUAAAUUGAGUGAGAAAUAAACUGGAAAAAAGAGGAAAAAAAGAGUAAAAGAAUAAAAAAAGAGAGUUACACAAAAAUAAAAGAGUAAAAAAAAUAAAAGAAAAGAGAAUGCCAAAAAUAAAGACCGAUAGAAACGAAAUGAAAAGAAAUCAAGAGUGAUUAGAGAAAAGCAAAAAUGAAGAAAAGAGGUGCAUAUUAAAAAUAGGGUAGUUAAAGCUGGGAUGAAACAUGUAACCGUUUAAACACAUGGUAUAAACGUUUAACUGUUAGGUGCAUUUUAUACCAACGUAUGAUUUCCUAUAUGCUAAAUAUUUCAAAACUAACAAGGUCGAUGGGUGUGCAAACAAUUUAAGAUUUUGGUUGUUGGUUUUGUUGGUAGUAUAGCCCCCCUCCUUCACAAGAUCCAAAGGCACAGAUGGCCUCUGUAAGCAAUCUAUCAAUUAUCGGUCCUGAGGAUAGCCCGACAUCGGCUAUUUUGUAGCUAGAAUCAGCACUUGAUGAAGAGAAUAAGAUAUUGCGUGUCUACAUGUUGGAAAUGUAGGACGCCUGGUCUAAUGGUAGAGAACCGCCAAGUGCAAUCCCUGGGUUCCCUGAGUUGAUCCCCAGGUCAUGCGAGGUUACCAAUGCCCCUGUGCCAAACCCGCUCAUUCCAUGCGGGCACCCUCCAUUGAUCUUGGUAUGCAUGCUGCGGUUCGCCCACCAAACCCUCUCAUUCCAUGCGGGCACCCUCCAUUGAUCUUGGUAUGCAUGCUGCGGUUCGCCCCCAAGCACCGACUUCAAACGCACCACCUCCAAUGUUUAUCUCUCAGGGUACACAUCUUCAAUCAAAAAUAACAAAUGUGACCCCAUACUCUUUCACUAAACCUCCACAAUAUCAUCUCUUGGUGAAGCAAGAAAAGGUUAUUAAAAAUCCUGAGCAAGAGGAAAUGGCUCGGAAGAUGAAGAGCCUGGAACAAAGCCUAAAAAAAAUGCAAGGUCUGAGUGGUCAAAAGAGUGUCUCAUACUCUGAACUCUAUAUAUUUCUCCAUGUCCACUUGCCAGCUGGCUUCAAGAUUCCAAAAUUUAAAAAGUACGACGGGCAUGGAUACUUGAUCGCCCAUUUGAAAAUAUAUUGCAACCAGCUAAGAGAGGCGGGUGGAAAAGAAGAACUUUUGAUGGCUUUUUCGGAGGGAGAUUAUCUGGAAUUGCAUCAGAGUGGUAUGUGGACCAAGAUAUAUCUCAUUGGCACGUGUGGGAUGAUAUGACCCAAGAUUUUGUCCGUCAGUUCCAGUAUAAUGUGGACAUCGCUCCCGACAGAAACUCUUUGUCCAAUUUGAUAAAGAAAAUUGUGGAAAGCUUCCAUGAAUAUGCUGUCAAAUGGCGUGAGCAAACUGCCUGGGUAAGGCUUCCAAUGGAUGAAAUUAAAAUGGUCACGAUCUUUCUACAGGCCUAAGAGGCGGACUACUUCCAGAACAUGAUGUGUGCUUUGGGAAAGCCGUUUGUUGAGGCUAUCAAAAUUGGGGAGAUGGUAGAACAUGCGCUAAAAACGAGUCGAAUAUUGAGUCAUGCUGUAAAGCCACAUCACAAGAUGUUCAAAAUGGUUCAGAGGAUUUGACAAAUGGAAACAGAAAAGAAGAAUGAGCCAUGAUAGUUUUGAGCUCGAGGGGGACUCGGAGGUCAUCCAGCUGAUCAUAUCUGCUUCUUGAGGUCCCCUCAACAUUAUUAUCCUCUUCAAUAUGCUGCUUAUUCCAUGGCAUUGACUCCUUAUGCGGUGAUGAACGCACAACCUUACACGCGGCCACAACAUCAUACACAAAACUGAGCUCCACCUCCCAGAAAUGCCCAUCCUUACCAAGCUACAUAUAAUCCCCAAACAAAUGAUCAUAUAAUCCUCGCCCAAGAGACCCUUUCAGAAAGAAUUAGUUCACCCUUAUUGGUGAAUCAUAUUCAAGCUUGUUCCAAAAGGUAAUCAGGCUAAAUCUAUUGCAUUCAGUGGCCCCAAACCACCCUUUCAGAAAGAAUUAGUUCACCCUUACUGGUGAAUCAUAUUCAAGCUUGUUCCAAAAGGUAAUCAGGCUAAAUCUAUUGCAUUCAGUGGCCCCAAACCAUCCAAACCCCGAGUCCCCCUUGCACCAAGCUGAUGCUAGAUGUGAAUACCACUCAGGAGUAGUGGGAUACAACACAGAGGAAUGUUGGACCCUCAAAGGGCAGUUGAAGAUUUGAUUGAAGCUGAAAGAAUCAUUUUUCGGGAUGAAGAAGUUCCUAAUGUGAUGAACAAUCUAUUGCUUGCUCACAACAUCGGGCCAAUAGUCGGAAUAAUGUGUGAAGCUGAGAAAUUUGAUCUGGAACUGAAGGCCAUUGCCGAGACAGAAUAAAAGCCAAAGAACGGUCACCAAGCAUGAAAGUUCCCCAUCAUACUGGAGUUUUAGUAGCCAGUCUUGCUAUCCUUUCUGCAUCCGGAUUAUCUCAGGUGUGAUCCAGAUGUUUUACCUUAUUGUCUUACUUUAUGAUGUAAACCUUUCUAUCUUCAAAAAUUUGAAAAAAAAAUUUGAAAAAAAAAUCAAAAAUUAAAUGAAAUUAAUAUUUCAUUGUUCAAGAAUGUCUCUUUUCUUAAAUCUUGUUAUUUUCUUUCUUAUUCUCUUUUUAGUUUUGUAAAAUGAAGAGUUCAAUAACAUGACAUGCUUGUGGACUUCAUGCUUAGAUCCAGAAAGCUGCCAGACCUCGAAAUAAUGAAUCAAGGAUUAGAUCGCAAUGAAGAUAAAGUUAAAGGAAAUAAAACAAAGAUUUGGAACAAAUGAAGGAAAACUGGUUCCCGAAUUGGAAAGGUCCAUACAUUGCAACAAGAGUACUGCCAAAAGAGUGCGUUGUACUUGGUACACAUCAAAGGAAAUUUCCCUGAAGAAACAAUCAAUGCAAAUGCAAUCAAAAGGUACUAUGUUGGAUUCUCUAUAUAACAUUAAUGUUCUCCGGUUAGGAUGAAGAAGGCUUUCUUUCUCACUAUCCAAAUAUUUAACCAUUUGAAAACCCUUUGAGCCGGUUACUCCUCUUUGAUUAUUCUCUUUGGAAUCUGAAAGUGUUAUUAAAAUAAAAUGAAAAAAAUGAAAAAAGGAGAAGGAAAGAAAGAUACAAAAAAAGAGAGGAGGAAAAUACAUAGAAAAUGAGAAUAAAAGAGAGUAAAAAAAGGAAAGGAAAAAGAAAGAGAAAGGAAAACAAAAACAACAACAACCCAGCAUAAUCCCACAAGUGGGGUUUGGGGAGGGUAAUAAGUACCCAGACCUUACCCCUACCCCAAUGGGUAGAGAGGCUGUUUCCAGGAGACCCUCGGCUAAAGAAAUCACAAGCAACGAUAUAUUAGUACUAUCAAUAGACUCAUAAUAAAAUAACAUAAAAACAUCAUAUAACAAAAUAAUAGCAAUAUAAGAAAUAUAUGAAAUACGAAAAGGAUGGAAGGUAUAUACUAAUAUCCAACAGAUAAAGCCUUCAUCAGUAGUAAAUUAGUAGGAUACUAAGACGAAUUCCUAACUGGCUAUUCCAAAUAUAGUGCAUUGUAGAAAUAUCCACAACUUUCCCCUAACCUACAACCUUUGUGCUCGACCUUCACAAUUCUCUGUAAAGGGCCAUAUCCUCAGUAGAAAGAGAAAGGAAAGCAAAACACAAAAAAAAAACUAAGUUUCCUGAACUACGUUCGACUUGAUUCUAAAAGGAUACGUAAGCAGCCUCUCUCCGGGGUUUAGUCAUACCAAGAUAAAAAUCCAAAUUUCCCCAAAAAUAAAACUAGGGCAGAUGUUAUAACAGUUCGGUGAUGGUUCGCCUAAAAUGUUCCAAAGUUAUAAUUCAAUCCAAAUUCUUUUUACCCAAAUCCUGUUCAAGUCCUUCUGAUCAAUCAGUGAGAAUGUUCAAGGACCAAAAAAUACAAUUAAUUGGAUCUGAUAUAGUCAAAAUAAUAGAAAUAAAAUGAGAGAGUCUUAUUGGUUAAAACCCACAUAGGAACCGUAAGGCAACAUCAAGCAAGGAAAUCGAAAUGAGAGAGUCUUGUUAGUGAAAACCCACACAAGCACUAUAAGGCGAUGGAGAGAAGAGAAAUGAGAAAGGUCAUCUCGUGAAAACCCGCAAAGGACACCCCUGAUCAAAAAGAGGAUCCUCGCAGCCAUCGGCACCGAUAUAGUCCUCGUAAGGUUUCUCGAUUUUGAGGCAAAUGUUAUAAUGAAUUUAUGUUAGUCGGACGGUUUACACAGAUCAUGCAUCCAAUCCAAAAAGGUAUGUUAUGUUCAUUAAAGACCUCAUGCACUCUAGAUAAGGCCUUCUUUCUCCUCCCCCGAAGCGAUACCUCUCGUUUAAGUUCAUUGUCCAUUCUAAUAGUUGUUUUUCUUUGAACCCCUUUUGGUCUAAAUCUGUUCCGAAAAUGAGACAAAGAAGGGAUGUCAAGACUAAUUUACAGGGUUCUCAUUUGAUACAAGCCGAUAUGCAAAAAGGGUACCCAGCCUCAUCAGGGGCAUCAAGGUGACCCCGACUGGCCAUGGCCGCAGAUGCUUCAAAAUCAAAACUCUUGGAAGAAGAAAAUCAAAUUGAAGCCCCCUAUAAAGUCAAAUGAAGUUGAAAAUGGUUAAGUCCCACGUGGCUAAUCAUCUCGGCAAGGUUUGAAAAGCCAAGAUACCUCAAAUUCUCUGAAAUUAAAGUUGGAAGAAAGAAGCCAGAAAUGAAAGGCCUAUAAAGGGAAAAUAAAAAUGGAAAAAGGCAAAGUCCCACACGACUAGAUGUUGCAGCAAGCUUGAGGAGCCAAAAGUUCCCCAAUGCUCCAAAGUAAAAAUAAAUAAAAGAGAGUCAAAAAGGAAAGGCCUACAAAGGCUAAAUAAAGUUGAAAAAGAUUGAGUUCCACCGAACAACCUUCAUGGCAAAGUAUGGAAAAACCAGAGGUUCUCUACGGACUGAAAUAAAGUCGUUAGUCAAGGAAUGAGUGGCCGCAUUAAAGAUUAUUAUCAAAGAAUUCGGGCCGAGAUCAAGUGAUUGAAACAAUCAAGGCCACAAAACCAACCACCUUCGAGAUACCCCAAAUGCUUUGAAAUUAAAGUUGGAAGAAAGAAGCCAGAAAUGAAAGGCCUAUAAAGGGAAAAUAAAGCUGGAAAAAGGCUAAGUCCCACACGACUAGCUGUUGCAGCAAGCUUGAGGAGCCAAAAGCUCCCCAAUGCCCAAAGUAAAAAUAAAUAAAAGAGAGUCAAAAAGGAAAGGCCUACGAAGGCAAAAUAAAGUUUAAAAAGAUUUAGUUCCACUGAGCAACCUUCAUUGCAAAGUGUGGAAUAACCAGAGGUUCUCUAGGGACUGAAAUAAAGUCGUUCCUCAAGGAAUGAGUGGCUGUAUUUAAGAUUUUUAUCAAAGAAUUCGGGCCGAGAUCAAGUGAUUGAAACAAUCAAGACCACAAAACCAACCACUGUUUCAAAAUAACAAUUGUUGUAUGUUCGAAAACAGGAAAUGAGUGCAAUCCAAAAGCAACCUUGCAAGAACAGGUGCAACAAAAAGAAACUGUGCCAUGGCUAAAAAUAGCUUUGCAGCAAUAAUCAAUCCAAAAGGAAAGUCUCCUCCAAAUUUUUCCUGCAUUUUAUUCAUUUUCUUAAAAUUAAAAAAAUGAAAAGAAAGAAGAAGAAAAUUUCAAAAUCAUGGUAGCAUAGGGUCCUACUCGCUAGGUGAUGCCAAUAUAACCUGGUAAUUUUUUCUAACGUAGGGUCCCAUUUCUAGACAAUGCCAACAUAACCUGGUAAUUAUUUUCAAUGUAGGGUCAUUCCCUAGUCGAUGCCAACAUAACCUGGUAAUCUUUCCAAUAUAGGGUCCCAUUCUCUAGUCGCUGCCAGCAUAACCUGGUAGUUUUUUCAGUAUAGGGUCUCACUCCCUAGCUAAUCCCCGGCAUAACCCGAGGAUCUUUUUCCUGCAUAUCCCAAUGACUUUCCUAGCAUAACCCGUGGACCUCCCCAGCAUAACCCGAGAACCUUUUUUAUUUUCGGGCAUAACUCGAUGACUUCUCCGUUAUAACCCGUGGACCUCCCUGGCAUUAACCCGAGGACUUUUUUUCUUUUCUGGCAUAACCCGAUGACUUUCUCGGCAUAACCCGUGGAACUCUCCGACAUAACUUGAGGACCUUUUUUCUUUUUCGGCAUAACCCGAUGACUUUCCCGACAUAAAUCGUGAACCUCCCCGACAUAUUCCGAGGACCUUUUAUCUUUUCCGGCAUAACUCGAUGACUUUCUUGGCAUAACCCGAGGACCUUUUUCUUUUCAGGCAUAACCUGAUCACCUUUCCCGGCAUAACCCAUGGACUUCCCCGGCAUAAUCCGAGGACCUUUUUCUUUGCCGGCAUAACCCGAUGACUUUUUCAGCAUAACCCGUGGACAUCCCUGGCAUAACCCGAUGACAUUUUCUUUCGUUUUCUACAUAACCCGAUGACCUUUUUUUUCUUUUCCGGCAUAACCCGAUGAUUUUUUUCGGCAUAAUUCGAGGACCUUUCCGGCAUAACCCGACCAUUUUUUUCAGCAUAACCUGGUGAUCUUUCCAACUUAGGGCCCUCGAUCUCUAGUUGAUUUCAUCAUAGACAAAAGGCCCCACUAUUCUUCUUUUCAAAGGAUACACAAUCAUUAUUUUAUUGCUUUCAAUAAAGAAAUAUUUUAGAUUUUGUUACAAUAACUCACGAAAUUUUUCUAAUGAAAACUGGGGCAGAAAAAGUUUCGUUUGUUUGUUUGCUUUGGUGCCUGAAAAGGUUUUUACCAUGAGGCACAAGGAUUGAGAUGACAAAACGAAGAAGUCUCAACCUGUCAUGACCCAAAACUCGGACCCAGUCAUGAUAGCACCUCUCAUGAAGACAAUGCCAGCCGACACAUUUCCAAUUCGAAGUUAAAUAGCUAACAUCAAUGAAACAGGCUAAAACAUGAUCUAAUAAUGCUAAACAUCAGAUAAUUUUAUAACAAUGCGAAAGUACAACCCAAACACAGCCCAAACCGGGGUAGUCACUAGUCAUGAGCAUCUACAAAGGUCUAGCUACAUCCGACGAAGUCUGAAAUAUAGUAAGUACAUACUAAUAGAAUAAAAUGGGAGAAAAGCAGUGAUGGGAAGGACAAAAACUACCUUGCUAAACUUUAAUGACUCCGCCUCCAAUCAACCAAUACCCGUUGCCGGGUUCAGAAAAGAAUACCUGAAUCUACACACAAGGUGCAUGGAGUAAAGUGAAUAAUCCGACUCAAUGAGUAAUAAUCAUAAAUAAGACCGGGUGAUAAGAAAUCAUGUAAGGCAUAUCAUCAUGUUGUAUAGAAGCAAAAACAAUGAAGCUGUGAAAUCCCUUUAAAACAUCUUAGCGUAGUUUAAACUUAUUUGAAACUUCCUUUUUUCAAUAGUUACGCAAUUGAAAGCAGAACAACUAGUGCAGAUAAGCACAGAAAUCCACCCCUCAUGCGCAAAUACACAAGUAAACAGGUAAACAAUAGGUAAAUAUGAAAGGUAAACACACAAGGUUUGCCCUCGGGCACAAUGUCAAAAAGUCUGCCCCUCUAGCAAUAUCUUAGAACGGUACCAACCCCUAGGGCAAUCAUAUGGAACUAUAUCAGCCCCUCGAGCAAUCACGUAGAACAAUACCAGCCCCUUGGGCAAUCACAUAGAACAAUACCAGCCCUUCGAGCUAUAUCUCACAUCACAAUGGGUACCCGCGUUCACUGGGGAUGUACAGACUCCGGGAGGGGCCCCAUAUGGCCCAAGCGCCAUAUCAAGCUAUCUCGUGGCAUCAUAAACAAGUCUUCGACCGCAUAUCAAUAUUAAGCCACCUCGUGGCGUACAAUCUCAGGCCCUCGGCCUCAUAAUCAAAAUAAGUAUAUCAUCGCUGCAGCAUGUAGCCCGACCCAAAGGAUAUCCUCACUACACAGGCCCUCGGCCUUACUUAGUCAAAAAUCACAUAAGCCUCUCGGGCAAUAGUAAAAUAGUAUUUCUCAGCCUAAACCAUCAUUUAAAAUAUCAUUUGAGUAUUAAACCUGAGUGAACAUGGCUGAGUUGUGAAAACAGUGGAAAAAACAUGAAUGAAUUCAAGUGUAAAGUCGAAACAGCGAGGAAAUAUCAACAAUAAUCCCCGAAGGAUUCAAAUAAUUUGCACGAAGCCCAAAUAUGGAAUUCAGCCCAAAUAAUGAUGAUAACAAAUAGAUUUUAAUCAACUACUUGGUAAAAUCGUCAAUCGGGAUGGACUAAGUUAUAAUCCCCAAUAGUGCUCUACCCCACACUCGCCAUCUAGCGUGAAAGUUACCUCAACAUACACUACGAUGUGCAAUCCGGGGUUUCAAACCCCUCAGAACAUCAUUUACAACUAUUACUCACCUCGAUCCGGUCAAAAUUCUAGCCCGCGAUAUCUCGCCCGCAUGAAUAUAUCCUCCGGAUGCUCCAAAUCUAGCCAUAAUCAGUACAUAAUCAUUAAAAUAUGCUACGGGAACGAAGCCCACUCCAAAAUAUCCAAUUUAACAUAAAAAUCUCGAAAUUGCUCAAACUCGGCCCCUAGACCCACAUCUCGAAAUCCGAUAAAAUCAACAUCAACGGAGUCCUCGCCCUCUCACGAGUCUAUACAUACCAAGAGCAUCAAAAUCGGACCUCAAAUGACCCCUCAAAUCCCAAAUUUAUACUAUCCAAAUUCAAACCCUAAUUCCUCAAUUUUAGGCUUAAUUUCAUAAUUAAAUUAGGUGGAAUUCACACAAGAAUCGAGUUUUGAGUUCAAAAAUCUUACUUCUAAGAGAUAUUCUUGAAUUCCCUCUUCAAUUAGCUCUCCCAAGCACCAAAAUCGCUCAACAAUGGAGGUUCUUAGCCUUAAAAUCGCGGAAUAGCCUUUUGAAAACGAAGCCCACUCCAAAAUAUCCAAUUUAACAUAAAAAUCUCGAAAUUGCUCAAACUCGGCCCCUAGACCCACAUCUCGAAAUCUGAUAAAAUCAACAUCAACGGAGUCCUCGCCCUCUCACUAGUCUAUACAUACCAAGAGCAUCAAAAUCGGACCUCAAAUGACCCCUCAAAUCCCAAAUUUAUACUAUCCAAAUUCAAACCCUAAUUCCUCAAUUUUAGGCUUAAUUUCAUGAUUAAUUUAGGUGGAAUUCACACAAGAAUCGAGUUUUGAGUUCAAAAAUCUUACUUCUAAGAGAUAUUCUUGAAUUCCCUCUUCAAUUAGCUCUCCCAAGCACCAAAAUCGCUCAACAAUGGAGGUUCUUAGCCUUAAAAUCGCGGAAUAGCCUUUUUAAAACAUUUUACCCAGGCAUAAAAAUCCUUCUUCACGAACGCGGUCAAAGCCUCGCGUUCGCGAAGCACAAAAUUACUUUAACCAAAUUUCUUUCACUGGGAACAUGCCCUACCACUCGCGAACGUGAAUACUUGGCUCCCUACCAAACACGAUCGCGACUCCCCUUCCACGAACGUGAAGGAAAAAUAGAUCCUCAAACCAGCUGCUUGUUUCCCCUACGUGAAUGCUUAGCCUCCCUAGCAAAUGCGAUGCACAACAAACCCAGACCUUUGCGAACACGGAGUAUCCCUCGAAAAUGCGAAGGAUAAAAUCUUAACCUCACCAGCUAAUCCUUCGCAAAAGCGUGGGCCUACUCGCAAAAGCGAUGGCCAAAUGCGUGCAACACUGAACAACAAUUUUCUGCAACUUUCCAAAACAUGAAAUGCUCCAAUUGACCACCCGAAACUCACCCGAGGCCCUCGGGAGCUCAACCAAACAUGCCAACAUAUCCCAUAACAUCAUUCAAAAUUGUUCCAACCUUCGGAGCGCUCAAAACAACAUCAAAUCACCAAAAUCACAUCGCAUUCAAGCCUAAAAAUUUCAAAAACUUCCAAACUCCGUUUUGAUAGAAAAUCCAACCAGACCACGUCCGAAUGACCCUAAAUUUUUCACACACAUCAAAAAUGAUACAAAAAAGCUACUACAACUUUUGGAAUUCCAUUUCGACCUCUAUUUCAAAAUUUCACCCAUCAAUAGAAAAACGGCGAAAUCUCAAUUUCGCCAAUUCAAGCAUACACCUUCCUUGGAUCUCCAAAAUGCAUUUCGAUCACGCUCCUAAGUCCCAAAUCACCUAACAGAGCUAACGAAAAUAUAAAAAUUCCGACCCGAUAUCAUAUACAAACAAGUCAAAUCUUUCAAAUUUCAAGCUUCAAAGUAGGAACUGUUCUUCCAAAUUCAUUUCGAUCACCCUGAACACCAAAAAUCAAUGAUUUACAUGAAUCAUAAUACAUCACACGGGACAAUUCAUGCCCGAGAGCUGGCGAGCAAAGUGAAAAUGAUAUAGAUAAUCGGUAAGAUCAUUACAUAACCUAAACAAAAGAAAAGAAGAACAAGAAAAGAAAUGAACUCUAAGUGUAGAGGUGGAGAAAAGAUGUGAGCUUAAAACAUGAUUGAAGUCACUAGCUUUGCAUGUACCACCUUGAUCUGAAAAGCUGAAGAAGAAUGAACAGGUGGUUGCAGCUAACGAGCAUAAAGAUUCAUGUCAGAGUCUGUAGGAAGAACCAGCCAAGACUCAAGAUCAAGCUUUAGGAGGUUUAUAGAUAGGAAUCUUAUAACUCGUAGUUGAUAGGCUUAGCUAGUUUAGCUUUUCAUCUUUCAUUUUGGUGUAAUAAGGAGCUCAGCAAGUAGAAAAAAUAGCAACAACAAUGAAAUCACAAUUUUCCGGUAAUACUAACCUGAUUCUUUUAUAGUCAAGGAUAUGUAGGCAACCUCCGAAGCAAUGUUCGAUUAGACUUCUUCAAAAGAUGCUUCUCAUGGAGUUUCAAAUGGGCAAAAAUCACUUAUAAUUGCUCACUUUAUCUUUGAUCGAAAAUCCUUCAUCUUUCCAAGAAAAAAAGGGGGCAGCUGUAAGCACGCGAUUUUUGUCCUAUGUGAAAUACUCAUAUAAAAUCCAAGAAAAUAGAUUUUUUAUUUCUUAACUAUUUGCAUUUUUGUGCACAUUUCAUUUUUAUUAAAAUCAUGAAAAAGUCAAAAAUAUCAUGCAUUGUAUUUAUGUUUUGUUUUAUACUUUUUAGGAUUAAUUAGUUAAUUAAUUAUCUUGUUAAAAAUAAAAAUCACAACAAAUGACUCAUUUUACAUUUUUUUACCUUUUAAUUUUUUUAGAUUAGUGAUUUGUCUCUAUCAAUUUGGGAUCAAGUAUUUUUUAUAAUUAUUAUAAUUAUACAAUUAGAUAGUUUUACAACAUAGGUUGAUUUAGGAGUGUAACACAGGAUUUUGAAUAAAAGAAAAAAGAAAAAAGAAAAAAAUAAAAGAAAAAGGAAAUAAUUGAUUAGUUGAAAAUAGAGAUUAUUUUUGAAUUUGGGUCAUAUUAAAUGCCAAAACCCGUUCUUAAAAACCACCCAAGCCCAAAUAACUAGCCCAUUUUCGCUCAACCCCCCUCCAACCCACUCCACCCAAGAUCAAUGACCCACUGAUCCAUCUCACACCAUAUUUAAUUUAAAAUCUCAGCCGUUCAUCACCUCUAAUCUUAGGGCCAUUAUUAGUUCUCAUAUACCACAUAAAAUCCCUAUCUCCCAAUUUCCACAAACCCUAAACCUAAUCCCUCAUCUCCCAAAAAUUGUGCCCCAAUCCCUCCCCUGAUCUCUGCGGAAAAAUAACGCCCAAACCACUGUGGUAUAUCCUCUCAUCCCUUUGCACGUGGUCUGACAAAUAACGGACAUGUACCAUCAGAAUCUUGCUCAUUCUCUCUCACGUGCUUAUCUUAUCAAAAAUUAAUUUGAAUACGAGAUUAGGAUGAAUGGGGGGGGNNNNNNNNNNNNNNNNNNNNNNNNNNNNNNNNNNNNNNNNNNNNNNNNNNNNNNNNNNNNNNNNNNNNNNNNNNNNNNNNNNNNNNNNNNNNNNNNNNNNNNNNNNNNNNNNNNNNNNNNNNNNNNNNNNNNNNNNNNNNNNNNNNNNNNNNNNNNNNNNNNNNNNNNNNNNNNNNNNNNNNNNNNNNNNNNNNNNNNNNNNNNNNNNNNNNNNNNNNNNNNNNNNNNNNNNNNNNNNNNNNNNNNNNNNNNNNNNNNNNNNNNNNNNNNNNNNNNNNNNNNNNNNNNNNNNNNNNNNNNNNNNNNNNNNNNNNNNNNNNNNNNNNNNNNNNNNNNNNNNNNNNNNNNNNNNNNNNNNNNNNNNNNNGGGGGGGGGGGGGGGGGGAGUACAAUUGAGUCUCACUCGAUCUACUCCCUCUACUUCUCUUUUACUCGGUUGAAGAGAUGGAAUUUCGGAUUUUUCUAAAAAAAAAAAGAUUUUUUAUGACUUGGAAGAAAGAGGGGAGAAGCUUCGAAAGCUUCUAUAUAUUUGACGGUUUGUCUUGCUAAAAAGAGGGAGAGAAAAAAAAUUCGAGGGCUUGGAGUGUCCUCAAAUUUUGGGGUCUAAUUUUUUUUGUUUAAAUCAUCUUCUUCUAUUUUUGAUUUUUUGUUCUUAAGUCUGGAAUGAUUUGAACUUCAUAUUUACUCUCAAGAUUGGUUCAAGCUCUAUUCACCGUUGAGAACAUAUUCUAAUUUCUGGGUUUUGGGAGAUCAAGUUGGUCUCGAAUCGCUUUUGCUCUGUUGUUGAUUAUUCUAGUGCACGCAGAGCUUCACUCUUCCAUUCCAGUCUUUAUUUGGGUUAAUUUUAAAUUGUAUUACUGCUGGUUGAGAUAUGAAUUUCAGUUAAAAAUGAUGUAACAAUUUUGAAUGUCAUCUUCUCGCAUUUGUUCUACUCUGUCAAUUUUUUGUCAUAAUAACAUAUCUGUCUUCGGAUUUGCGACAUGUCUAUAUCUUAUUUGUUAUUGUUUGGAUUAUUCUUAGAAUCAAAAGAUUAAAUCCAUCCCUCAUGGCAGUACACGUGAAUGUUUGUCCGAUGGAAGUUGAUAACUAUAAUAUGAAUAUGAUUGUUUGAACAUGAUUCUGCUUUUAAGUUUUAUUAAAUUCUAAACCAUUAUGAUCCAUAUCUGCUAUGGUUUUUUUUUUGAUUCGUCGUAUGUGUCAGUUUGGCUAUGAGUGGUACUAAGUUAGGAGAAUGCAUAACUCUUGGCCUCCUAAUUAUCCCAAAUUAGUUUUAGAAAAAGUAUAAACAUUCCUAGAUUGUUUUAUGCUUGACUUAGUCUAUUAUUGUGAUUAUGUAUACGUUCGCAUAACAUAAUUCCGAAUUUAAUUCUAAAAAGUAACUCAAGGCAUGCUUUCUCGCAACUUCAAACAAACUUCUCUCAAAAAACUAAACAAAGCAUUAUUGAUUGUGAACACGUCGCAUGACAUGAUUUUUGACGCGCCAAAGGAUAAGGAUAUACGUACGCGUAACUCAAUUCUUUAAUUACGAACAAAUCAAGCGAUUAAAAGAGGUAAAAAAAUAAAUGCACAUAGGUCCUAAAAAUGAGUAGAUAAACAAUUUAACCCAAGUAAUAAAUAUUAAGCGGCUGUGCUAGAACCACGAAAUCCGAGAAUGACUAACACCUUCUCCCGGAUUAAUAGUUAUCUAGAAUUUCUGGUUCGCAUACUUAAAUAAAGUUGUAAAUUUUCUCGAUUUGGGAUUCUAAAAUAAACCGGUCACUUGAGACACCAAAUAAUCUAUUCCAAUGUGGGACUCUGAAUGAACAAAAUAAUUCCAUUUCGAUUUAUGUCGCUUUAAUUGGAAAAACUCCCUUAUAUCCCCCUCGGAUGGAUAAAAAGGAGGUGUGACAGCUCUGGCGACUCUGCUGGGAAAGAAACCCAAAAUUUUGGUUCAGGAUUCAAGAAUUCGAGCUUAGAAUAACUAUUAUAGUUGGCUUUUAUCUAUUAUCUGAUUUUACAUGUUUGAGCCUAAUGUGCUAAUUGCUGCUUUUAUACUGCUUUGAUAUUGAUUGAACUGUAUAUAUGAAUUAUUACGAGACGAUCAUCUCUCUGAGUCUUCUAAAUCAUCUGGGAAGGGUGCACUUCGUGUGACUUCUUUUCUUUUAGAGUCAUAUCCCAAUUUUAGAACGAGGUUCGAACAAGUUGCAAAGCCGGUGAAGCUUCUGUAUUCCCGAUACGCUGCCCUCCCCAUCCCCUCCCCCCGCUCGAGUUGUUCGCUUAAUUAAGCCAGGUUUAGAACAAUACACCCAGUUUUUAAUCCUAGAAUUACAUAGCCUCAUGUCGGAUCCAUAGUAGGAACUUUUGUUUACAUCACGCGCAUCUGACUUUGAGGGCUCAACACAGGAGUUUGGGUCCAUCUACGAUAGGUGUACCCAAAUUAAAAAGACUAUCAUGAUACAUCAUACGUGCUACUUGCGCAUCUAUUUAUUCCGACUAGCAUGUUGACCAGCUUUUAGUAUAGGGAAAAAUGAGAAAAAAGAGGAAAGAAAAAGUGAGAGGUAGGUAUUUCGAAAAUUCUGAAACUCUUCCGAAAUUCUGAAAAAAGAGAAGUCAAUUCAAAAUGAGCCAAAAUUUUCAAGUACCAUAUUUCCCUUGUUACGUCAAAACUGAUCGAACUAUGCAAGUCUGAUUCUCACCGGAUAUGAGAUACGUAGAAAAACCCCAUCGGUUCCGGUCCUAUUUUUUAAAAAAAAUCCAAAAACAAUUUCCUUUAAUUCCGUCCAUAGAAGCAUUUCCGUAGAAAAUUCAAAAAAAUGUUUUUAAAAUAAAAAAUAGUUUCCUUCUUUCUAAAGUCUUUCAUAUGGAAAAACAAAAUAAAAUAAGAAAUCAACCAAUAAUCAAAAUCCAAAAUACGAGUUUCAUUUAUUUUGAAGUAUUUUCUCACAAAUUAAAAAAUCUUUUCCUUGUUUAAAAGUCUUUCUUUCAAAAAACCAAUUUUGAAAAAUUGAAGCCCAAAAUUAUUUUCGCUUUUCUUUAGAAGUGCUUUUGUAAAUAAAUAAAGACUCAGAAAUUCAAAAUAUUUUCAUAAAAGUCCCUCUUUCGAAAAUUAAGAGGCAACAUCCAAAAUCCAAAAAUAUGUUAUUUCUUCUUUAGAAAAAGAGAAAACAAAUGAAAAUUCAAACAAAAAUAUUUUUUUUACUUUUAAAAUUCCCAAAGUUCAAAUCAAAAAUAUUGUUAGAAGUCUUUGUUUAAAAAAAAUAAAACAAAAAUCAAAAUAAAAAAUUUAAAAAAAUAUUUCCGUUGUUCUUUUAAAGUAUUUCUUUCAAAAGUUCCAAAGAAAAAAAGAAUUUAAAGAGCAAUUAUUUUCUUUUGCCUCAAAGCUUUCAUGAUCUGAGUAUUAUAAAAAAAGAAAAUAAAGAGUUAGUUUAUUUACUCCAUUCUCAAUUGUUUCGAACUACGCAAUAUCUGAUUCAUGUGAGAUCAUGAUACAUAGGCAAUUCCUAUCGGAUUUGAUCAUAGCCAUAAAAUAAACUGAGUGGGAAUCAAACUGAAAAAAAAAGAGAAAAAGAAAAAGAGUAAAAGAAUAAAAAAAGAGAGUUACACAAAAUAAAAGAGGAAAAAAUAGAAAAGAAAAGAGAGUGCCAAAAAUAAAGAGCGAUAGAAACGAAAUGAAAAGAAAUCAUUAGAGAAAAGCAAAAAUGAAGAAAAGAGGUGCGUAUUAAAAAUGGGGUAGUUAAAGCUGGGAUGAAACAUGUAACCGUUUAAGCACAUGGUGAAACAUUUAACUGUUAGGUGCAUUUUAUACCAACGUAUGAUUUCCUAUAUGUUAAAUAUUUCAAAACUAACAAGGUUGUUGGGUGUGUAAACAAUUUAAGAUUUUGGUUGUUGGUUUUGUUGGUAGUAUAUCCCCCCUCCUUCACAAGAUCCAAAGGCACAGAUGGCCUCUGCAAGCAAUCUAUCAAUCAUCGGUCCUGAGGAUAGCCCGACAUCGGCUAUUCUGCAGCUAGAAUCAGCAGCUGCUAAAGAGAAUAAGAUAUUGCGUGUCUACAAGUUGGAAAUGUAGGACGCCUGGUCUAAUGGUAGAGAACCGCCAAGUGCAAUCCCUGGGUUCCCUGAGUUGAUCCCCAGGUCAUGCGAGGUUACCAAUGCCCCUGUGCCAAACCCGCUCAUUCCAUGCGGGCACCCUCCAUUGAUCUUGGUAUGCAUGCUGCGGUUCGCCCCCAAGCACCGACUUCAAACGCACCACCUCCAAUGUUUAUCUCUCAGGGUACACAUCUUCAAUCAAAAAUAACAAAUGUGACCCCAUACUCUUUCACUAAGCCAAACCCGCUCAUUCCAUGCAGGCACCCUCCAAUGAUCCUGGCAUGCCUACUGUGGUUUGCCCCCAAGCACCGGCUUCAAACGCACCGCCUCCAAUGUUUAUCUCUCAGGGUCCAUAUCUUCAAUCAAAAUUAACAAAUGUGACCCCAUACUCUUUCACUCAACCUCCACAAUAUCAUCUCUUGGUGAAGCAAGAAAAGGUUAUUAAAAAUCCUGAGCAAGAGGAAAUGGCUCGGAAGAUGAAGAGCCUGGAACAAAGCCUAAAAAAAAUGCAAGGUCUGAGUGGUCAAAAGAGUGUCUCAUACUCUGAACUCUAUAUAUUUCUCCAUGUCCACUUGCCAGCUGGCUUCAAGAUUCAAAAAUUUAAAAGUUACGACGGGCAUGGAGACUUGAUCGCCCAUUUGAAAAGAUAUUGCAACAAGCUAAGAGAGCCGGCUGAAAAGAAGAACUUUUGAUGGCUUUUUCAGAGGGAGCUUAUCUCGAAUUGCAUCAUAGUGUUAUGUGGACCAUGAUAUAUAUCAUUGGCACUUGGGAUGAUAUGGCUCAAGAUUUUGUCCGUCAGUUCCAGUAUAAUGUGGACAUCGCUCUCGACAGAAACUCUUUGUUCAAUUUGAUAAAGAAAACUGUGGAAAGCUUUCGUGAAUAUGCUGUCAAAUGGCGUGAGCAAAUUGCCUGGGUAAGGAUUCCAAUGGAUGAAAUUAAAAUGGUCACGAUCUUUCUACAGGUCUAAGAGGCGGACUACUUCCAGAACAUGAUGUGUGCUAUGGGAAUGCCGUUUGUUGAGGCUAUCAAAAUUGGGGAGAUGGUAGAACAUGCAGCUAAUAACGAGUCGAAUAUUGAGUCAUGCUGAUUUUAAAGCCACAUCACAAGAUGUUCAAAAUGGUUCAGAGGAUUUGAUAAAUGGAAACAGAAGAGAAGAAGGAGCCAUUAUAGUUUCGAGCUCGAGGGGUACUCGGAGGUCAUCCAGCUGAUCAUAUCUGCUUCUUGAGGUCCCUCAACAUUAUUAUCCUCUUCAAUAUGCUGCUUAUUGCAUGGCAUCGACUCCUUAUGCGGUGAUGAACGCACAACCUUACACGCGGCCACAACAUCAUACACAAAACUGAGCUCCACCUCCCAGAAAUGCCCAUCCUUACCAAGCUACAUAUAAUCCCCAAACAAAUGAUCAUAUAAUCCUCGCCCAAGAGACCCUUUCAGAAAGAAUUAGUUCACCCUUAUUGGUGAAUCAUAUUCAAGCUUGUUCCAAAAGGUAAUCAUGCUAAAUCUAUUACAUUCAGUGGCCCCGAACCAGCCGAACCCCGAGUCCCCCUUGCACCAAGCUGAUGCUAGAUGUGAAUACCACUCAGGAGUAGUGGGACACAGUACAGAGGAAUGUUGGACCCUCAAAGGGUAGUUGAAGAUUUGAUUGAAGCUGAAAGAAUCAUUUUUCGGGAUGAAGUUCUUGAUGUGAUGAACAAUCUAUUGAUUGCCCACAACAUCGGGCCAAUAGUCGGAAUAUUGUGUGAAGCUGAGAAAUUUGAUCUGGAACUGAAGGCCACUGCAGCCAUUGCUGAGACAGAAUAAAAGCCAAAGAACGGUCACCAAGCAUGAAAGUUUCCCAUCAGACGGCAUUUUUAGUAGCCAGUCUUGCUAUCCUUUCUGCAUCCGGAUUAUCUCAAGGUGUGAUCUAGAUGUGAUCCAGAUGUUUUACCUUAUUGUCUUACUUUAUGAUGUAAACCUUUCUAUUUUCAAAAAAUUGAAAAACAAAUUUGAAAAAAAAUAAAAAAUUAAAUGAAAUUAAUAUUUCAUUGUUCAAGAAUGUCUCUUUUCUUAAAUCUUGUUAUUUUUCUUUCUUAUUCUUUUUUUAGUUCUGUAAAAUUCAGAGUUCAAUAACAUUACAUGCUUGUGGACUUCAUGCCCAGAUCCAGAAAGCUGUCAGACCUCGAAAUAAUGAAUCAAGGAUUAGAUCGCAAUGAAGAUAAAGUUUAAGGAAAUAAAACAAAGAGUUGGAACAAAUGAAGGAAAAUUGGUUCCCGAAUUGGAAAGGUCCAUACAUUGCAACAAGAGUACUGCCAAAAGAGUGUGUUAUCCUUGGUACACAUCAAAGGAAAUGUCCCUGAUGAAACCAUCAAUUCUAAUGCAGUCAAAAGGUAAUAUGUUGGAUUCUCUAUAUAACAUUAAUGUUCUCUGGUUGGGAUAAAGAAGGCUUUCUUUCUCACUAUCCAAAUAUUUAACCCUUUGCAAACCCUUUGGGCCGGUUACUCCUCUUUGAUUACCCUCUUUGGAACCUAAAAGUGUUAUUAAAAAAAUUGAAAAAAAAGAAAAAAAUUGAAAAAGGAGAAGGAAAGAAAGAUACAAAAAAAGAGAGGAGGAAAAUACAAAGAAAAUGAAAUAAAAAGAGAGUAAAAAAAGGAAAGGAAAAAGAAAGAGAAAGGAAAACAAAAACAACAACAACCCAGCAUAAUCCUACAAGUGGGAUUUGGGGAGGGUAAUAUGUACCCAGACCUUACCCCUACCCCAAUGGGUAGAGAGGCUGUUUCCAGGAGACCCUCGGCUCAAGAAAGCACAAGAGAUGAUAUAUUAGUACAAUCAAUAGUCUCAUAAUAAAAUUACAUAAAAAACAUAAAAAAACAAAAUAACAUCAAUAUAAGAAAUAUAUGAAAUAUAAAAAGGAUGGAAGGUAUAUACUAAUAUCCAACAGAUAAAGCCUUCAUCAGUAGCAAAUUAGUAGCAUCCUAAGACGAAUUCCUAACUGGCUAGUCCAAAUCUAGUGCGCUGUAGAAAUAUCCACAUCAUUUCCCUAACCUACAACCUUAGUGCCCGACCUUCACAAUUCCCUGUCAAGGGCCAUAUCCUCGGUAGAAAGAGAAAGGAAAACAAAACAGAAAAAAAAAACUAAGUCUCCUGAACUACGUUCGACUUGAUUCUAAAAGGAUACGUAGGCAGCCUCUCUCUGGGGUUUAGUCAUACCAAAAUAAAAAUCCAAAUUUCCCCAAAAAAAACUGGGGCAGAUGUUAUAACAGUUCGGCGAUGGUUCGCCUAAAAGGUUCCAAAGUUAUAAUUCAAUCCAAAUUCUUUUUUCUCAAAUCCUAUUCAAGUCCUUUUGAUUAAUCGGUGAGAAUGUUCAAGGACCAAAAAAUGCAAUUACUUGGAUCCGACAUAGUCAAAAUAAUAGAAAUAAAAUGAGAGAGUCUUAUUGGUGAAAACCCACAAAGGCACCGUAAGGCAACAGUAAGCAAGGAAAUCAUAAUGAGAAAGUCUUGUUAGUGAAAACAUACACGGGUACUAUAAGGCGAUGGCGAGAAAAGAAAUGAGAAAGGUCAGCUUGUGAAAACCCGCAAAGGGCACCCCUGAUAAAAAAGAGGAUCCUCGCAGCCAUCGGCAUCGAUAGAGUCAUGGUAAGGUUUCUCAAUUUUCAGGCAAAUGUUAUAAUGAAUUUCUGAUAGUCGGACGGUUUACAUAGACAUCCAGUCCAAAAAGGUAUGUUAUGUUCAUUGAAGACCUCAUGCACUCUAGAUAAGGCCUUCUUUCUCCUCCCCCCCUAGCGAUACCUCUCGUUUAAGUUCAUUGUCCAUUCUAUUAUUUGUUUUCUUUGAACCCCUUUUGGUCUAGCUCUGUUCCGAAAAUGAAACAAAGAAGGGAUGUCAAGACUAAUUUACAGGGUUCUCAUUUGAUACAAGACAAUAUGCAAAAAGGGUACCCAGCCUUAUCAGGGGCAUCAAGGCGAACCCGACUGGCCAUGGCCGCAGAUGCUUCGAAAACAAAACUCAUGGAAGAAGAAAAUCAAAUUGAAGCCCCCUAUAAAGUCAAAUGAAGUUGAAAAUGGUUAAGUCCCACGUGGCUAAUCAUCUCGGCAAGGUUUGAAAAGCCAAGAUACCUCAAAUUCUCUGAAAUUAAAGUUGGAAGAAAGAAGCCAGAAAUGAAAGGCCUAUAAAGGGAAAAUAAAAAUGGAAAAAGGCAAAGUCCCACACGACUAGAUGUUGCAGCAAGCUUGAGGAGCCAAAAGUUCCCCAAUGCUCCAAAGUAAAAAUAAAUAAAAGAGAGUCAAAAAGGAAAGGCCUACAAAGGCUAAAUAAAGUUGAAAAAGAUUGAGUUCCACCGAACAACCUUCAUGGCAAAGUAUGGAAAAACCAGAGGUUCUCUACGGACUGAAAUAAAGUCGUUAGUCAAGGAAUGAGUGGCCGCAUUAAAGAUUAUUAUCAAAGAAUUCGGGCCGAGAUCAAGUGAUUGAAACAAUCAAGGCCACAAAACCAACCACCGUUUCAAAAUAACAAUUGUUGUAUGUUUGAAAACAGGAAAUGGGUUCAAUCCAAAACCAACCUUGCAAGAACAGGUGCAACAAAAAGAAACUAUGCCAUGGCUAAAAAUAGCUUUGCAACAAUAAUCAAUCCAAAAGGAAAGUCUCCUCCAAAUUUUUCCUGCAUUUUAUUCAUUUUCUUAAAAUUAAAAAAUGAAAAGAAAGAAGAAGAAAAUUUCAAAAUCAUGGUAGCAUAGGGUCCUACUCCCUAGGUGAUGCCAACAUAACCUGGUAAUUUUUUCCAUCGUAGGGUCCCAUUCCUAGUCAAUGCCAACAUAACCUGGUAAUUUUUUUCAAUGUAGGGUUCCAUUCCCUAGUCGAUGCCAGCAUAACCUCGUAAUCUUUCCAAUAUAGGGUCCCAUUCUCUAGUCACUGCCAGCAUAACCUGGUAGUUUUUUUCAGUAUAGGGUCUCAAUCCCUAGCUAAUCCCCGGCAUAACCCGAGGAUCUUUUUCCGGUAUAACCCGAUGACUUUCCUAGCAUAACCCGUGGACCUCCCCAGCAUAACCCGAGAACCUUUUUUUUUCCGGCAUAACCCGAUGACUUUUCCGGCAUAACCCGUGGACCUCCCUAGCAUUAACCCGAGGACCUUUUUUCUUUUCCGGAAUAACCCAAUGUCUUUCCCGGCAUAACCCGUGGACCUCUCCGAAAUAACCCGAGGCCUUUUUUCUUUUUCGGCAUAACCCAUGACUUUCCCGACAUAAAUCGUGAACCUUCCCGACAAAAUUCGAGGACCUUUUUUCUUUUCCGGCAUAACUCGAUGACUUUCUCGGCAUAACCCGAUGACCUUUUUCUUUUAUGUCAUAACCUGAUCACCUUUCCCGGCAUAACCCGUGGACCUCCCCGGUAUAAUACGAGGACCGUUUGCUUUGCCGGCAUAACCCGAUGACUUUUUCAGCAUAACCCGUGGACCUCCCUAGCAUAACCCGAUGACCUUUUUUUCUUUUCCGAUAUAAUCCAAUAACCUUUUUUUUCUUUUCCGGAAUAACCCGAUGACUUUUUCCGGCAUAAUUCGAGGACCUUUCCGGCAUAACCCGACCAUUUGUUUCAGCAUAACCUGCUGAUUUUUCCAACUUAGGGCCCCCGAUCCCUAGUUGAUUUCAUUAUAUACAAAAGGCUCCACUCCCUAUUCUCCUUUUUAAAGGAUACACAAUCAUGAUUUUAUUGAUUUCAAUAAAGAAAUAGUUUAGAUUUUAUUACAAUAACUCACGAAAAUUUUCUAAUGAAAACUGGGGCAGAAAAAGUUUCGUUCGUUUGUUUGCUUUGGUGCCUGAAAAGGUAUUUACCAUGAGGCACAAGUUUUGAGAUGACCAAAUGAAGAAGUCUCAACCUGUUACGACCCAAAACUCAGACCCGGUCAUGAUAGCACAUCUCAUGAAGACAAUGCCAGCCGACACAUUUCCAAUUCGAAGUUAAAUAGCUAACAGCAAUGAAACAGGCUAAAACAUGAUCUAAUAAUGCUAAACAACAGAUAAUAUUAUAACAAUGCCAGAGGACAACCCAAAGACAGCCAAAAUCGGGGUAGUCACUAGUCAUGAGCAUCUACUAAGGUCUAGCUACAUACGACAAAGUCUGAAAUAUAGUAAGUACAGACUAAUAGAAUAAAAUGGGAGAAAAGCAGUGCUGCGAAGGUCAACAACUACCUUGCUAAACUUUAAUGACUCCGCCUCCAAUCAACCAAUACCCGCUGCCGGGUUCAGAAAAGAAUACCUGAAUCUACACACAAGGUGCAUGGAGUAAAGUAAAUAAUCCGACUCAAUGAGUAAUAAUCCUAAAUAAGACCGGGUGAUAAGAAAUCAUGUAAGGCAUAUCAUCAUGUUGUAUAGAAGCAAAAGCAAUGAAGCUGUGAAAUCCCAUUAAAACAUCUUAGCGCAGUUUAAACUUAUUUGAAAAUGCCUUUUUUCAAUAGUUACGCAAUUGAAUGCAGAACAACUAGUGUAGAUAAGCACUGAAAUUCACCCCUCGGGCGCAAAUACACAAGUAAACAGGUAAACAAUAGGUAAACAUGAAAGAUAAACACAUAAGGUUCGCCCUCGAGCACAAUGUCAAAAACUCCGUCCCUCGAGCAAUAUCUUAGAACGGUACCAACCCCUACGGAAAUCAUAUGGAACAAUAUCAGCCCCUCGGGCAAUCACGUAGAACAAUACCAAACCCUUGGGCAAUCACAUAGAACAAUACCAGCCCCUUGAGCUAUAUCUCACAUCACAAUGGGUACCCGCAUUCACUAGGAUGUACAGAUUCCGGGAGGGCCCCCUUAUGGCCCAAGCGCAAUACCAAGCUAUCUCGUGGCAUUCCUCGACUGCAUAUCAAUAUCAAGCCACCUCGUGGCAUACAAUCUCAAGCCCUCGACCUCAUAAUCAAAAUCAGUACAUCACCGCUGCAGCAUGCAGCCCGACCCAAAGGAUAUCCUCACAAUACAGGCCAUUGGCCUUACUUAGUCAAAAAUCACAUAAGCCUUUCGGGCAACAGUAAAAUAGUAUUUCUCAACCCAAAACAUUAUUUAAAAUAUCAUUUGAGUAUUAAACCUGAGUGAACAUGGCUGAGUUGUGAAAACUGUGGAAAAAACAUGACUGAAUUCAAGUAUAAAGUCAAAACAGUGAGGAAAUAUCAACAACAAUCCCCGAAGGGUUCAAAUAAUUAGCACGAAGCCCAAAUAUGGCAUUCAGCCCAAAUAAUGACGAUAGCAAAUAGAUUUUAAUCAACUACGUGGUAAAAUCGUCAAUCGGGAUGGACUAAGUCAAAAUCCCCAAUAGUGCUCUACCUCGCGCUCUCCAUCUAGCGUGAAAGUUACCUCAACAUAGCACUACAAUGUGCAAUCCGUGGUUUCAAACCCCUCAGAACAUCAUUUACAACUAUUACUCACCUCGAUCCGGUCAAAAUUCUAGCCCGCGAUAUCUCGCCCGUAUGAAUAUAUCCUCUGGAUGCUCCAAAUCUAGCCAUAAUCACUACAUAAUCAUUAAAAUAUGCUAAGGGAACGAAGCCCACUCGAAUAUAUCCAAUUUAACAAAAAAUCUUGAAAUUGCUCAAACUCGGCCCCCAGACCCACAUCUCGAAAUCUGAUAAAAUCAACAUCAACGGAGUCCUCGCCCUCUCACUAGUCUAUACAUACCAAGAGCAUCAAAAUCGGACCUCAAAUGACCCCUCAAAUCCCAAAUUUAUACUAUCCAAAUUCAAACCCUAAUUCCUCAAUUUUAGGCUUAAUUUCAUAAUUAAAUUAGGUGGAAUUCACACAAGAAUCGAGUUUUGAGUUAAAAAAUCUUACCUCUAAAAGAUCUUCUUCUAUUCCCUCUUCAAUUAGCUCUCUCAAGCUCACAUUUCGCUCAACAAUGGAGGUUCUUUGCCUCAAAAUCGCGGAAUAGCCUUUUUAAAACAUUCUGUCUAGGCAUAAAAGUCCUUCUUCACGAACGCGGUCAAAGCCUCGCGUUCGCGAAGCAAAAAAUUACUUUGACCAAAUUUCCUUUACCGGGAACGCGCCCUACCACUUGAGAAAGUGAAUACUUGGCUCCCUACCCAAUGCGAUCGCGACUCCCCUUCCGCGAACGUGAAGGACAAAUAGAUCCUCAAACCAGCUGCUUGUUUCCCCUACGCGAGUGCUUAGCGUCCCUCGCGAAUGCAAUGCACAACAAACCCAUCCCUUUGCGAACACGGAGUCUCCCUCGAAAAUGCUAAGGCAAAAAUAUCAACCUCACCAGCUAAUCCUUCACAAACGCGAGGGCCCACUCGCAAAAGCGAAGGCCAAAUGCCUCCAACACUGAACAACAAUUUUCUGCAACUUUCCAAAACAUGAAAUGGUCCAAUUGACCACCCGAAACUCAUCCGAGGCCCUCGGGUUCUCAACCAAACAUACCAACAUAUCCCAUAACAUCAUUCAAAUUUUUUCCAACCUUCGGAAUGCUCAAAACAACAUCAAAACACCAAAAUCAAAUCGGAUUCAAGCCUAAGAAUUUCAAGAACUUCCAAAUUCCGUUUUGAUCGAAAAUCCAACCAGACCACAUCCGAAUGACCCAAAAUUUUUCACACACGUUAAAAUGAUACAAAAAAGCUACUACAACUUUUAUAAUUCCAUUCCACCUCUAUAUCAAAAUUUCACCCAUCAAUCGAAAAAUGCCGAAAUCUCAAUUUCGCCAAUUCAAGCCUACACCUUCCAUGGAUCUCCAAAAUACAUUUCGAUCAUGCUCCUAAAUCCCAAAUCACCUAACAGAUCUAAUGAAAAUAUAAAUGUUCCGACCCGAUAUCAUAUAAAAACAAGUCGAAUCUUGUCAAACCUUUCAAAUUUCAAGCUUCAAAUUAGGAACUGUUCUUUCAAAUUCAUUUUGAUCAUCCUGAACACCAAAACCAAUGAUUUACAUGAAUCAUAAUUCAUCACACGGGACAAGUCAUGUCCGAGAACUGGCGAGCAAAGUGAAAAUGAUCUAAAUAAUCGGUAAGAUCAUUACAUAACCUAAAUAAAAGAAAAGAAGAACAAGAAAAGAAGUGAACUCUAAGUGUAGAGGCGGAGAAAAGAUGUGGACUGCUUAAAACAUGAUUGAAGUCACAAGCUUUGCAUGUCCCACCUUGAUCUGAAAAGCUGAAGAAGAAUGAACCAGCGGUUGCAGCUAACGAGCAUCAAGAUUCAUGUCAGAGUCUGCAGGAAGAACCAGCCAAGACUCAAGAUCAAGCUUUAGGAGGUUUAUAGAUAGGAAUCUUAUAACUCGUAGGUUAUAGGCUUAGCUAGUUUAGCUUUCAUCUUUCAUUUUGGUGUAAUAAGGAGCUCAGCAAGCAGAAAAAAUUGCAACAAUAAGAAAAUCACAGUUUUCCGGUAAUCCCAGCUAUCAAAACUUCCAGAACUAUACUAACCUGAUUCUUUUAUAGUCAAGAAUAUGUAGGCAACUUCCGAAGCAAGGUUCGGUUAGACUUCUUCAAAAGAUGCUUCUCAUGGAGUUUCAAAUGGGCAAAAAUCACUUAUAAUUACUCACUUUAUCUUUACUCGAAAAUCCUUCGUCUUUUUGAGAAAAAAAAGGGGCAGCUGUAAGCACGCGAUUUUUGUCCUAUGUGAAAUACUCGUAUAAAAUCCAAGAAAAUAGAUUUUUUAUUUUAUUAACUAUUUGCAUUUUUGUGCACAUUUCAUUUUUAUUAAUAUCAUGAAAAAGUCAAAAAUAUCAUACAUUGUAUUUAUGUUUUGUUUUAUACUUUUUAGGAUUAAUUAGUUAAUUAAUUAUCUUGUUAAAAAUAAAAAUGACAACAAAUGACUCAUUUUACAUUUUUUUACCUUUUAAUUUUUUUUGGAUUAGUGAUUUGUCUCUAUCAAUUUGGGAUCAAGUAAUUUUUAUAAUUAUUAUAAUUAUACAAUUAGAUAGUUUUACAACAUAGGUUGAUUUAGGAAUGUAACAUAAGAUUUUUAAUUAAAGAAAAAUGAAAAAUGAAAAAAAAUAAAAGAAAAAGGAAAUAAUUGGUUAGUUGAAAAAAGAGAUUAUUGUUGAUUUUGGGCCAUUUUAAAUGCCAAAACCCGUUCUUAAAAACCACCCAAGCCCAUUUUCGCUCAACCCCCUUCCAACGCACUCCACCCAAGACCAAUGACCCACCGAUCCAUCUAACCCACCCUAUUUAAUUUAAAAUUUCAGUCGAUCAUCACCUCUAAUCUUAGUGCCAUUAUUAAUUCUCCUAUACCACAUAAAAUCCCUAUCUCCCAAUUUCCUCAAACCCUAAACCUAAUCCCUCUUCUCCCAAAAAAUGGUGCCCCAAUCCCUCCUCUGAUCUCUGCCGAAAAAUAACGCCCAAGCCACCGUGGUAUAUCCUCUCAUCCCUUUGCACGUGGUCUGACAAAUAACGGACUUGUACCAUCCGAAUCUUGCUCAUUCUCUCUCACGCGCUUAUCUUAUCCAAAAUUAAUUUGAAUACGAGAUUAGGAUGAAUUGGGGGGGGGGNNNNNNNNNNNNNNNNNNNNNNNNNNNNNNNNNNNNNNNNNNNNNNNNNNNNNNNNNNNNNNNNNNNNNNNNNNNNNNNNGGGGGGGGGGGGGGGAGUAGAAUUGAGUCUCACUCGAUCUACUCCCUCUACUUGUCUUUUACUCGUUUGAAGAGAUGGAAUUUCGAAUUUUUCUAAAAAAGGAUAAGAUUUUUUAUGACUUGGAAGAAAGAGGGGAGAAGCUUCGAAAGUUUCUAUAUAUUUGACGGUUUGUCUUGCUAAAAAGAGGGAGAGAAAAAAAUUCGACGGAUUGGAGAGUCCUCAAAUUUUGGGGUCUAAUUUUUUUUGUUUUCUUUACUGGCGAAAAAAAAAAGAAAAGCAGAAAUUUGUUUAAAUCAUCUUCUUCUAUUUUCGAUUUUUUGUUCUUAAGUCUGGAAUGAUUUGAACUUCAAAUUUAUGUUCGAGAUUGGUUCAAGCUCUAUUCACCAUUGGUUCAAGCUCUGUUCAUCGUUGAGAACAUUUUCUAAUAUCUGGGUUUUGGGAGAUCAAGUUGGUCUCGAAUCGCUUUUGCUACUGAUGUUGAUUAUUCUAGUGCACGCGGAGCUUCACUCUUCCGUUUCAGUCUUUAUUUGGGUUAAUUUUAAAUUGUAUUACUGCUGGUUGAGGUAUGAAUUUCAGUUUAAAAUGAUGUAACUAUUUUUGAAUGUCAUCUUCUCGCAUUUGUUCUACUCUAUUAUUUUUUUGUCAUAAUAACAUGUUUGUCUUCGGAUUUGCGACAUGUCUGUUUCUUAUUUGUUAUUGUUUGGAUUAUUCUUAGAAUCAAAAGAUUAAAUCCAUCCCUCAUAGCAGUACAUGUGAAUGUUUGUCCGAUGGAAGUUGAUAACUAUAAUAUGAAUAUGAUUAAUUGAACAUGGUUCUGUCGUUAAGUUUUAUUAAAUUCUGAAACCAUUAUGUUCCAAAUCUGCUAUUGUUUUUAGAUGUCAUAUGUGUCUGUUAUUGUAAGUUUUAUCAUUUGAGUUGAUUAAUUGGUUAAAAAUAAAGUCCAAAUUGGUUAUUAGUGUAAAGUGGCUAUCAUUGCAAUGUCCAAAGUGGCUGUGUGUGUAAUAAGGUUCAUCAGAGUUUAUUGAUUGAUAGAAUGGUUAUUUGGUACAAUCUGGGAUUUCUAGUCAUAUGUCAUUUAGUUUAGAACCUGAAAUUCCGGUCUUUGUAUUUUUGGAAACGUAACUGGAAUUGGUCAUUCGUGAUAUCAUUUGAACUACACUGUCGUAACUUGAAAAGGAAGUAAAGGAAUGAUAAUUUUCUUAGCUCAUUUAUUUAUUGAUGAACCAGGGGACUUAUUUUGUCUCCAAGCCCAUUCAUUAAUUGUUAAGUCAAUACCUAAUUUAAGUGUUUGUUAAAUUUUGAUGUUGGUUAGAUACUACUGUUCUUGAGAGCUUCUGUGCAUAUAACUUGGUUAAGAAAUUUAGAAAAUUGUAUUGUUUCCUUCUAUCAGCUUAAAACAUCCUUAGUGGCCAAAAUGUCACAUAUUUUUUUCAUUUUCGUUUAAUUAAAGUAAGUCAAUUAAUCAUACCCCUUCUUUUCAAAGAGCAAGAACAAAAAUAAAAAGGUUUUUUCACAUUACAGAAGGAAAAAUUUUCCACGUCUCAGUUGACGUUUCUUUGUUUUUCUCUGAGGGGUUCUCUCUAAUUGAUAUUUUAUUACCAUUUGUCAAGCUUUCAAUUUCUCUUUAAAUUUGGCAAUUUCCAGUGUUAAGCUCACGCAAUUAACUACUCGAGUAUUAGUCUUGAAGAGAAAAGUUUAAUAGGCUAUGAGUGAUGCUAAGUUAGGAGAAUGCAUAACUUUUGACCUCAUAAUAAUUCCAAAUUAGUUUUAGAAAAAAGCAUAAAUAUUCCUAGUUUUCUUUAGGUUCGACUUAGUCUAUUAUUGUGAUUAUGUAUACGUUCGCGUAACAUAAUUGCUGAAGGAAGUGGUUGAAUUGACAAACACAUUGAUAGGCGUUCUUCUUCCAAAGAACUCCUACUGGUAAAGCUGCCCGAGUGGAACUGAGAAGAUCAAAUGACCCGACAGAGCAGGAAGUGACCAAGUAAAAUUGACUACAGAACCUGCCCUUUACUGUCGUUGCUAAAGCAAACAGCCAAAGCUUUCCUGUUGAUUUCGCGUUCGAUUAGGGGCCCCUGCCCUCCAUUCUCUCAAGUACCUCUCCUCUUCCUCUGCUUGCUUUCAUGUAGUUUAUUGCUUAGGUAAAAAAGUUUACUCCGGCUAGACUUUCUUCUUCUCUUAACUAGGAUAUAGUUAAGAGAAGAAGAAAGUCCUGCUUGGGGGUAUAUAUACUAUACAAAUUGAUGAUGGUUUAUCAUCAUCAGAACAAAGAUCAGUCUAGGUCGAGAUGAAUGGAAGAUGCUUCUGGAACUCGUUUUUGAUAGGGUCUAUCUUAGCUCGAAGGAAAGAACAACCAAAGUUACACCCCAAAAGAAUAUGGAUUAAAAUCAGUUAGUAUUUGACACUAGUUUAGGCGCCGCCUUCCAGACUUCUAAAAGCGGGUGGUUUUAAGUCCAGCUUCGGAAUUACCAGGGGAACUUCUUCCAAAUAAAUCAGUCCACCUGAAGCCCCUUCCUCCAGCGCUCUCACCUGAUCCUGAGCCAGAGGCCCCCGAAGGAGCCAUCAUCAUCUGAUUUUCCAGAUCAAGACCCACAAAAACCAUUGUAAGUAGGAAACCUCCGGAAUACCACCCGAACCGACUAACAACCAAGUGAACAAGAAUUCGUUGGUAUAAGCGCCACAAUAAGAUCUCAAAAUUGAGACCAAAAGAUUGUAGUAAUAGAGAAGCGAAGCCAAGAACACCAAAAAAAAUGAGAAGGGAAAAGACCCUUCCUCGCCCCCCCUAGAAGGAGAUGAACUACCUAUAGAUUUGUAUGUAAGUGCACGAUAGGAAAUAAGAGAAAGCUGGCAUCUUUUUCCUAUCCCUAUCCCGAUGAGCCGAAACUAAAGCUCUUAUUUUCUGUUGAGUAAUAGUUCGAGAUCGCGCAUUGGAACUGAAAAGGGCUAUUCAUAAACAGUCUUCAUUCCUUUUAAUUCUACAAGUAACUCGAGAGAUACAUUCGUGCAACUUCAACCGAAAUUUUCUCAUAAAAAUAAACAAAUAAUAUUAAUUGUGGACACGUUCACGUGACAUGAUUUUUAACGCGCCAAAGGAUAAGAGUAUACGUACGCGUAACUCAAUUCUUUGAUUACGAACAAAUCAAGUGAUUAAAAACAGUAAAAAGAUAAAUGCACAUAGUUCCUAAAAAUGAGUAGUUAAACAAUUUAAUCCAAGUAAUAAUCAUUAAGUGACCGUGCUAGAACCACAGAACCCAGGAAUACCUAACACCUUCUCCCGGAUUAACUGAAUUCCUUAUCUAGAAUUUCUAGUUCGCAGUCUUUAAAUAAAGUCAAAAUUUUCUCGAUUUGGGAUUCUAAAAUAAACUAGUGACUUGGGAUAUCAAAUAAUCUAUUCCAAGUGGCGACCCUGAAUGAAACAAAUAAUCCCAUUUCGAUUUAUAUCACUUUAAUUGAAAAAGCUCCCUUAUACCCCACCCGGGUAGGUAAAAAGGAGGUAUAACACUACCCAAAACUGGAACCCACUUACCCGGUUGAAUCUUGAUUGUUUAUCUCCAAGAUCAACUGUCCAUAUACACCCUUUCCGUUUUAAUUCUAAGAGAGACCCUAACCCUAAACAUUUUUCUAAAUCCGCCUCCCUUAAACUCUCUCAUCUCCUCUCUUCUCUCUCAACCUAACCGUAGACUCUGUCAAUCGCCUCGUUCUCCGGUCAUCUCCAAUGACCACCCGUCAACCCCAAGACUCCAAUUGGUCUUUCAUCAUCUUGCUCAUCAUCUGUGAGGUCUUCAAGGGUCCUAGGUCAUGCCAAUUUAGACCUAGAGUUUCUGUUUAUGUUGUUUGUGGCUUCUCUGGUAUGAUUUUGGGCAAAAUCACCCCAUAUAUAUUAAGAUCGGUUAAGUUUGCAACAGGUUCUUUCGCUUCUAUUUGAGUUCCCUUUUAAACCCUAGCUCUCGUUUGAAUCUCUUAAGAUCUGUAUUAUUUUUAAUGCUUUAGGUCUGUUUCUUCCUUUGAUUUGCACUAUUCUCAAACUUCUUCUGAAACAUCCUCAACUUUAAAACAUUUUACUUUCUUUAAGAAUUAGGUUUUUCUCGGAGUUCCUUCUACACUUGUUCUAAUCGAUUUUUAUUUAUGAUUAAACCUCUUUCAUUGCAUAUUUUGAAUGAUACAUGUUUCUACUAUUUUUGACUUGACUCUGUAAAAAAAGCCCUAAUCUUUUAAGACCUUUUUUGCUUUGGUUCUGUGUGUUAGCAUGACUACUUGAUUUUGUUAAAGUUUUUGUUGGUUACCAUGCUUCGAAUGGAUUUUCUACUUAGUCUUUAGACUACUUAUACCACUUCUGUAUGAUUGUAUUUGCUCAUCUCUUGCGUCUUUAUGUCUAUACAACUAACUUUUCCUUUGUUGCGUCUGUUCCUGCUUCUCUAUUUAUAUGUUACAAUGUAGAAUCAUGACCCUUUCUUGAUUUGAUUCUGACUUCCUUAAUUGAUGGUUUGAUUGCAAGAUUUUCUUUCAAAACCCUAAGGUUUUACUCGUUUGUUUAAAUUGACUAAUUCCGUUUCCUUAUUUGCUGUGGUACUUCACUCUUACUGAAUCCUUUCCUUAAUUAGUAUAUUCUGUACUUAGACUCAAUCAUGAGCCCUAUACUUUUACCAUCCUUUAUAUGGUAAAAAAUUAGUCUUUCUCAAUUGAUUUUCUUUCCUUGAUUAUCCUUGUAGGUAUCCGUUCAAGAUGUGAUUCCUUGAUUAAAGGGAAGUACUUGUAUUAAUUGGAUUCUAAUUGUGAUUACUUCCAUAUUUGUGCUAAACCUUUACUUGUUACCUUAUUUUCUGCCUAUUUUCAAAACAAUAAAUACCCCAAGUCUUUCAUUAACAAAGGCAUAACACUUGGGUUUUCAAGAACUACCUCUCUUACUAAAAAUCUAUGCUCUCUCUUUCUCUUGUGCUAUGUGCUACUAUUAGCCGGCUGUAAUCCAAGUCUAAUCAUCUAUGCUCUUUGGUUCUUUCAUUCUGCUCACUUCUAUCUUCACUGGUAUGUCCUAGUUUUGAUUUAAAGCUCCAACAACAAUAUGCUUCUCUUAUUGUUUCUAUUUCUUUUAUUUUUGGCUUGCUUCUACUUGUGGUUUUGUUGUGAAACUUGUAGUUAAGUUACAUUAUCAGCAUGCUAUUAUGUCUCCCCUUCCCUUUAGAUCAAUGUAUUCCCUUAUGUGUUUCAAAGCAUGUCUUGUUAGUUGUUUUUACUUCUUAUAUGCUUAGCAUCCUAUGAAUCUCCCAAAAUCCUUAUCACCCCUUCCAUGUGUUUGUGUUCUUCCUGAAUGAUUUGUGAUUAUGCCAGUAUCUAAUGUUUCUGAGCAUGUCUAUAUCAGUCUUAAGACCCUUGCUGGGUUAUGCAGACAUACAUUUAUGUAUCCCCAAACCCAUUGACCUCUGUGUGACUACUAAAUUCAUUUGGAUUUUGAAAACUAGUUGUGUGUGAUCUUAUCUUAAGGUGUUUAAGCUUUGUUUACUACUCCAACCUCUUUUCAAACAAUCUCUGUUGCUUUACUAAUUAUUUUUAAAGUAGACUUUCCAAAAUAGUCCUUAAUAACCAUUUUCAACUUGUGUCUUGCACUUCCACUUUACUCUUAGUUAAUAGGUUUUGUCCCCUCUAGUAUGUGUACUGCCUUGGGAUCCUCUUGAGAGCCCUCUGAAUUCUAGUAUACUGAGGUUGGCCUGUCCACACUCCACUUGUUCAAUUUUUUGUUGCUAAAGUCUAGGUGUAAGCAUUGCUCGGGGUCCUUAAGACCCUUAGAGAACUUUGAUGUACCUAGACUCUGAGUUGUCUAUGGAAUUAAGGCUUAUGAGACCAUUGGAGGCUUUGAGAAGCUUGGGCCUAAUUGCAGGCUCCAUAUAGAAUAGCUUCUUAAUUUUCUAUUUCAUUUAUGUAAUUCAUUCAUUGGUCUGUAAUAAUUUGUAACAGAUGUUUGGAGUAUUUAGUAAAAAAUGUGGGUAGAAGUAGACUUUAUGGGGUAAUAUGGGUAGAAAUCCUGCUCUUAGGAUCUUCUUUUAAAAUCUAUCUGCUUUACUCAAUAGAAAAAAGGCUCGUAGGGUUUACUCUUUUAAAUCUGAUUGCUUUGCCUAAUAUAAAUCAUGGCUAUAGGAUUUCACUUCUAAUGUCGUUUGCAUCAAGUAGAAAUUAUGUUCCUAAGGUUCUGCAUUAUGUCAUGUUAGAACCUAUAUUCAUAGGCUCCAAACAAUCAUGUCUUAAAUCAGUUCAAAUAUAGAUGUCAUGCCUAUAAGAUUCGAUUUUGAUUCAGUUCUAAUAAGUCUUUCUGUGUGUUGUUACAAAUCGACUAAAAUCAGUAAUACACCUAGAUAUCAUGCCUAUGCGGAUCUAUACUUGCAAUUCUUUCUGGUAACUUAAUUUAGCCUAACAAAUCGAUUUCAUUAUGUCUAUUUCAUUUCUAAAGCUGGUCUUAUUAAGCGAUAACAUUUCCUGAAACCAGUUCUUUCAAAAUUGCAUUAGUCUCAUUAUAUACCAUGCUUAUAAGUAUUAAAGGAGUCUAUUUAGAAAAACCUUUUUGUUUCUUCAUUAAUAUAGACACAAUAUACUGCAUAUAGGCAAGCUUUAGGGCAUUUCCAAAACUGCAUUUCCCUGAAGCUGUCCCUGUCGUUUAACGUUUCUGAUUCUAAUAACUUUUAAAAGAGUCCCUAGGCAACUUAUAGGUUAUAACUUCGGGGUAUAAAAGUUUGGUCUGUUUUUGGAAGUCACUUAGAGAUCCUGCUUUAGGACUUUGAUUAAUAAAGACCUUAAUUGUGUAUGAGUCGUGAUGCUUGUAUGUUUACUUGAUGAGGAAACUUUGAGCCUCUUGUCUGCUCCUAUUAUAUGAAAGUCCUACAUGUUUUGAAUGUCGCCUUAGGGUUUCGCCUUUCUAAGACUUGGGGGUACGGCUAUAACUACCUAUAGGUAGAGGUCCUAACUCCCUCCGGGACCACUAAGAAGGGACGGCUAGCAGCACGCAAUAGGAAUCAGUAACCAAACACUCGCUUUGAAUGACCAACAAGGGGAUGGGAUGGGUAGACACGGUAUAUGAUACGCGUUAAUAUCAUGUGUCGCCCCUCAUUGAGGAGUGUCUAGUUGAUAUUGCGUGGGGUGAUCCUAUAAGAAAAACAACCUAGGACCCCUUUUUACCACCUUCUCUCUUUAUUUAAACUUUCGUCCUUUUUUUAACAACUUGUUUAAAACCUUUAUAUUACUACUUGAACCAUCUAACGUGCCUCACUAGCAACUUAUUUGAUUCAACUGCAUAUGUGGACUAAAGUGUGAAUAUAAGUUCGGACAGGACCCACAGUUAUGGACCAAGAGGGAUGCCUAACACCUUCCCCUCGAGGUUACUUCGAGCCUUUACCCUAAUCUCUGGUAAUGCAAACCAACUCAAGAGUUACUCACUCUAGGUGCCUUAACGCACCAUAAUCCGUUAGGCGGUGACUCUUCAAAUACCCAAUUUCCAAAAAGAAAUAAGUCAUUACACCCCGUGAAUGUUGAAACCCGAAUUUCUCCCUGCAAAAAAAGGGAGAAAAAAGGGGGCGUGACAACAUGGUGACUCUGCUGGCGUAUUUUUAGGCUCUUACCAUAACAAACUUAUGAAUUAGUCCAAGCAUGCUUUAUCCCGUACCUUUCUCCCUUAUUUGAAUUUAACUGUCCGUCUUUUUUAGCAUUUAUGACCUCUUUAUCCCUAAAAGUGACUUUUCUCUUUGUUUUGUUCUCCAGUAGGCAUCUUUUAAAUUAGUUCAAUACUGUAUUUAUUUUUCCUACGUGAAAAUACCUGCUACAUGUUAUUAACUACUGCAUAAAUCAUGCUCCACAUCAUAUUUCACUCGUGCAUAUCAAAUCCUAUAGCAACACUUUAAUGUGUGGUUGUGCUCUUCCUAUUUACUACCCUUAAAUUCGGAAAGGCUUAUUUGCGGUAAAACCAGUCUAUUAACGGUGCAGUCGACGGUUCUGUGCCUUCCUCCUCAAGUUGUUCGCUUGAGGACCAGUCUAAAACCUCAUAGAAACCUUACUCUGUUUAAAUUGUGCAUGCAUCAUGGUCAAACCUAGUCGGGUCAGUUAUGUUGUACACAUAACGAUCCUUUAAGAUAAGCCUUAUCAAAAGUCCAUCGGGUUUUCCGUAAUUUCAAUGGACGCAACCAUAUUUUGUGCAUUAAUUUGGAGAAAUAAAUGCCGAUAUGCUGAUCAUAAAUGUAUAAAUAGUCGAAUCCGGUCGGGGUAAGGACUAACCCUUUGUUUUGUAGAAAAUGAGGCACGAGGUCCUCAGAUUUGGUAAGGUUAGCAAUAUUCCUCCAUUGUUGCUAUAUUGGUGGGAAGAUCUCUCCUCAAGUGACUAGAAGCAUGUGAAAAAGUACCUGGGUAACUUGCCAUCCCUACUAGAUAUUGAACCAAACAACAAAUUGAUCGAGGCUGCUACCGUAUUCUGGGAUAGUGAAAGAGCAGUGUUCCAUUUCGGCAACAUAGAACUGGCACUGCUUCUAGAGGAAAUAGGAGGGCUUGCAGGGUUAACUUGGGACAGUCUUGGGCUUCUAGUGCCAGAAAAUCGUAUGGGUAGGGGAUUUUUGAAGACGAUGGGGCUGAAAAAGAAUGUUGACCUACUGUGCCUGAAGGACUCCUACAUACCUUUAGAAUACCUCUAUGUGAGGUAUGGCCAUAGCAAGUCUUUCCGCACUUACAAUGAUGAGAUCAACCUCACUUCACUGGGUCACAUCCACCGUAGAGUGAUCGUGUAAAUCGUGUGCUUUCUGGGGAUGAUAGUAUUCCUGAUGAAAAAGGGAAGAAUCCACACUAGAUUGGCCAUGGUUGCCAAAACUCUGAUGGUAGGGAUUAAUGGACGGACCUAUACCAUAGUCCCCAUGAUCAUAGCUGAUAUCUACAGGACCUUGAAGCGCUGUCAAAGAAGGGUCAAGCAUUUUGAAGAUUUUAACUUAUUGUUGCAGUUAUGGUUAUUGGAGCAUCUCUAAAAGGGUCGCUAUUGUCAAGAAUUUCCACGAAGGGCCUGGAACGACCACAUUGCUUUCCAUCACCCUAAGUAGAUGACCUACAUUUUGGAUAGAUUUGAUCAACCGAAAAGUGCCAGUGAAUGGGUAGAGUUCUUCGACAACCUGAUCGAGGGACAAGUGCAGUGGAUGGUUGAAUGGUUUCCAAUGGACGAGUUUAUUAUUAGGUCCAGGGAAACAGGUUGUACCAAGGGUCGCCAAGAUGAUCCACUUCAGGGUAGACUUUCAAGACGAUGAUGUCCCUUACAAGUGCCAAGCUCAACAUAUGUGGCACUGCAAAAACUUUGUGGAGAAAAAUACCAUUGAGUCGGACAGAUAUCAUACAUGGUGCAAGCCUCUGUAACCGACAUGGUUAGGGGAUGAUCUAAAAUGGAUGCUGACACUAGGGACCUGUCGAGGAAAUGGAAUCGUAGAUGAGGAAGCUAAAACCCAAGUCAAGUACAACAGGCUGCGCAAAAGGGUUCACGACUCUGAAAAUGAGCACUAGGAAAUACAUGAGAAGAAUGCAAUAGGAAACUAGCAUACUUGGAGCGAGGAAUAGUGGAGUUAGAUGGAAAAGUCAUAAAAAGGGUUGAAAACUGUCAGAAUAUCGAAGGAGCUGAGGGAGGACAUCUGGCCCGAGCCUACUUGCUGCUUGGACUAUGCGAGCUGGGGGAUCUAUUUGACGGAGUCUGGAAGAUCAAUUUUGGGGAAGGUCCUUCUGGCACCAAAUAGAUUAGGGUUAUUCGAUUUUCUUAAAAAAUAUAAUAAGGCCAAGUGCCAGUAGCAACUUGUUUUAUUAUUAUGUUAGUGUUGUUUUUGGAUUCGUCUACUUUUAUUUUAUAAAAUGAGGCAUUUGUUGGCGUUUGAAGUUCUUGCAUUUGUUGGCAUUAGAAGUUCUCCAAAUUUAUUUGUCUUUAGGCCUACCUCGGUCACAGCGAGGCCCCCAAAUUAGAAUGCGAUUUAAUAUUUCGCAAUAUGUGUUCAAAUACUGCAAACAUUUCAGGUUCCCCACUAACUUAUUACCUUUUGUUUUAUUUACUUUUUUAUUAUUAUUCUUAUCCCCAUAGGUUGGUUCAUCCGUACUGGCCUCGUCAGCUUAUCAUACCAGAUCUAGAGGCCCUCCUCCUCCUCCUCCUCCAAGCAACACAAAAAUCAUAGGAAAAUCAAAGAUGGACAACUUAAGUGGAAUCUGAAAGGAAAACAUUGAGAAUGUAGAGACUUUCGACGGUCGUAGUACCCCGGCCCCGAAUGACCUGGUUUUGAGACUUGAACAAAAGAUACUGGAACUGCAAGGAGAACUUGAGCAGGUCCGCAAUUUGGAAAACUUGUCACUCACCCUCAAUUUCCCUGAUAUCUACCAACAAACGCAAAGAACCCAACACCUCCUCAAAAUACACAAAACCGACAGCCGCAAAAUCCUACCAUACCAAAUCAAUACGUCACUCCACCACAAAAUAUCAAUCCAAUGCCGAUUCCAACUCUACCACAACAACAUCAACCAAUCCCGUACCGACCAAGUACCACUUACCACACUCCCUAAAAUACACCACCACUCAUUCUGGAUCCAUAAAACUCCACCAAUGACCAUAACUAUACGUGGAAACUGUACCAUAUUCGACCCAACCACUCUCCUGUGCAUCAGAACCCUAUGAAAAGGACCUGCUCAUUAAGAACAUGCCCGAAGAACUCAAAAAGUUAACAAGUCAAGUUCAAGGCGUUGAAGGCGAUAGAGGAAUAGAAGGUUUUAACUACGAAGACCUAUGUAUACAUCCCGAUGUAGAAUUGCCAGAAGGAUACAAACCUCCCAAGUUUGAAAUUUUUGAUAGUAGGGGUGAUCCCAGGGUUCAUCUAAGGACCUAUUAUUACAAUCUUGUCAGGGUUGGAAGAGAUAAAAAGAUUCGAAUGAAGCUCUUUAUGAGAAGGCUUACUAGGGACGCAUUAUCUUGGUAUAUCAGCCAGAAUCCCAAGAAAUGGUCAAAUUGGGUAAGCAUGGCAUCAGAUUUCAUGGACCGCUUCAGGUUCAACACAAAGAACGCACUCGAUGUCUUCUACAUUCAGAAUCUCAAGAAGAAACCAACUGAGACUUUCCGCAAAUAUGCUACUCGUUAGAGGUCAGAAGACGCCAAGGUCAAGCCCGCUUUGGAUGAAGAACAAAUGAAUAAAUUCUUCAUCAGGGCACAUGAUCCACAAUAUUAUGAGAGAGUGAUGGUCAUCGAAAAUCACAAAUUUGCUAAUAUAAUCAAGCUCGGGAAAAGGAUUGAGGAAGGAAUCAAGCGCGGGAUGGUAGCAAAUUUCGAGGCACUAUAGGCCACAAAUAAGGCACUACAAUCAGGUGGCAUAUCAAAGAAGAGAGAUGUUAGGGAAAUAAUGGUGGCCCAGGGCCCAAAAACUCCACUCACAUAUCAAGCGCAUCUACCUACAUACCAAGCGUCACCAGCUACAUACUAAGCAUCACCACCCACAUAUCAAUAUUCAUUUCCCCGAUAUUCCUAACCAGCCGCUAUCCAUCACACCUAUAAUUCUCAACCAUCCUACUUCCAAUCACCACCAACUCGCUAAAAUUAUCCAAGACCAAGACCCAACUUCGACCUCAAGCCACCCAAAUAAUACACCACCAUUGCUGAGCACAUUGACCAAUACACCGCCAUUGGUGAGCCUAUCGACCAAUUGUAUGAAAGUUUGAAAGCCGCAUAUUACAUUGCUUCUGUUCCCAAUGUGGCACUGUAAAAUCCAUUCUAAUAGGUCAAUCCGAACAAAACCUGUGCAUACCACUCCGGUAUGAAAGGGCACACCAUUGUUGCGUGACGAACAUUGAAGGAUAAGAUCUAUACACUCAUUGACAGCAAGGUCAUACAAGAAAAGGAAGCCAUACCUAAUGUCCACAACAAUCCCCUCCCUGAUCGUAGAGGUGAUAGUGGACAUGUUAUAGAAACAAAUGAGGAAUGGGACCUAAGGGUUCAAUAAGACUUAUCCGAGAAGGCGAUGACUCUACGGUCACAGUUAAACUUACUCCUAUCGUGGUUCAGACUCAAGCACCUAUUGAUGUGGAGGUAGCUGCAUCAGUUCCAGUCGAGGUGGAAGUAGCUCCUCCCGCAGCCACCUUCGUUCCAUUUGAAGUAGAAGAGGUUACACCUUUUAUUAUGACAGUGUAUGCCACACCUCCGUUCAACUCAAAAGUGAUACCCCUGGAUAAUGUCACCGAGGCUCGACAAAAAGGAAGACUAAGAUGGAGGAAUCUGACGCCGCACAAGGGAUAACUAGAACUGGAAGAGUCUACACACCUAAACACCUGAGAGGUUCAAGUAAGGAUGCCACUGCUAGGUAGCCUGUCAUUGAGAUUGGCCCGGAUGACCUGUGGAGGAAAGUACACGCAAAAGAGUAUUCUGUUGUUGAUCACUUGAACAAAGUCCCUGCUCAGAUAUCUAUCCUAUCACUAUUACAGAAUUCAGAAGCACACAAGAAUGCCUUGAUGAAAGUACUGAGCGAGGCUUAUGUACCAAAUAAUAUCAUUGGUGGAGAAAUGAACAACAUGGUGGGUUAAGUGCCGGAGAGCCAUAAGAUUAUCUUCCACAAAGAUGAAAUGCCGCCUGAAGGUCUGAAUCACAAUCGAGCAAUGCACAUUACAGUACAUUUUAAGUUCAUUGUGAGGAUCCUGGUUGAUGGAGGUGCUAGUCUGAAUAUUUGUCCACUGGAUACCUUGAAAAGGUUGGACAAAGAUUUCCAUGAAUUAUGGACUGGAAGCAUGAACGUGAAGGCUUUUAAUGGGUCCUAGAGGGCCACAAUCGGAGAAAUCAUCCUUUGUUUGCAGAUGGGACCAACUUGGUUCGACGUUGAGUUCUGAGUGCUUGAAAUACCAGCCUCAUAUAAUCUUUUGUGUGGCCGCCCGUGGAUCCUUGCAGCUGGAGUCGUACCCUCUACACUAGAUCAAGCCAUAAAAUUCGAAUGAAACUAUCAAGAGGUAAUCAUUCAUGGAGACGAAGUAACCCCAUCUACACCAGUCAAACCACUUUGGCCAUUGGACAUAGAAAGAGGUUAGGAGGGGAAACCUACCAUCACAUUGAACGAGUCAAUGCCAUCGAGAAGGAUAAAUGGUGGAGUAAUAAAAUAGAAAGCAUACUAGCAUGGUCCGGAUACAAACCGGGCAAGGUGUUAGGAAAGAACCUCCAGGGCAUCAACAAGCCGAUACGACUGAAAAAUCACGGUAACACCUUUGGGCUCAGAUAAUAUAUAUGUCAAGAGUACAAGGAGUGGUCGCCUCUAUGGAGUGGACCGUAUUACCCUCUUGAGCAACCGGUACCCCGUUUGGAACAAGCUUUCCAUCAGGAAGACACAAUAUGGGGAACUACGAAAGAAUAAGCACUAGCUGGGCUGAAGGAUCAGUUCUUAGAAAAUGAGGAUAUAGAUUGCAGUGCCAUAAUUAAGGAGGAGGAGGAAGAAGGCCUCACCAUUCAGACUGUGGCAAAAGGAGAUGUUCUCAGAAACUGGACCGUCACACCAUCUCGAGCCCGCCGAGUCCCUGGGUAGCUUAGCAGAAUUUAUAGCUGUUCUAGGCAUUUAAAUUUUCCAGAAAUUUUGUUUAAAGAUUUCUCUAUUUUAAAUAAAUGCUCGAUCCACCGAGCCAAGCUUUUGCUUGAAAAAUUUUCUCAGUUUUAAUCAAACAUAUAUUUUCUUUAUCAUUAUUCAUUACUAUUUUUAUGCUUUUCCCUUCUACAGUGUUAUCCUUACUUUUCCUGAUGAACCUAUGAUUGUGACAUGUAAUGAGGCAACGCAAUAUGAGAACAAUGACUUAGAGGAAGAAUAUGAGAUACUCGAGAAAAUUGUCAGGGAAGUUGAGAAUUUUGAGAAGAAGCCUAAGUCCAACCUGGACGAAACAGAAUCAAUAAAUUUGGGAGAUGCCGAGAUCGUCAAGGAGACUCGCAUCAGCAUUCACUUAUCAUUAAUUGAGAACGAAUGGUAUAUCCAUUUUCUAAAGGAAUACGAGGAUAUCUUUGCAUGGUCGUAUGAUGAUAUGACGGGUUUAAGAACAUCUAUAGUAGCUCACAAGUUGCCUACCAAUCCCAUGUGUCUGCCAGUCAAGCAGAAACUCAGAAAAUUCAAACCAGACAUGAGUUUGAAGAUGAAGGAGGAAGUUACCAAACAGAUCAAAGCUAAGGUUCUCAGGGUGGUUGAGUAACCAACUUGGUUAGCUAAUAUCGUGCCAGUUCCAAAGAAAGAUGGGAAGGUAUGAGUAUGUGUUGAUUAUUGGGAUUUAAAUAGAACAAGUCCUAAAGACGACUUCCCGCUGCUGAAUAUACAUUUCUUGAUUGAUAACUGCACCAAGUAUGAACUCCAAUACUUUGUAGAUUGCUUCGCAGGUUAUCACUAGAUCUGGAUGGAUGAAGAAUAUGCCGAGAAGAUAGCUUUUAUUAUACCUUGGGGUGUAUAGUGUUACAAAAUGAUGCCAAUCUGAAGAAUGUUGGGGCUACUUACAUGAGAGCCAUGACAACCGUUUUCCAUGAUAUAAUACACAGAGAAAUAGAGGAAUUUAUGGACGACGUUAUUAUCAAAUCCAAGAAGAUCACAGAUCACAUAGCAGACUUGAGGAAAUUCUUCGACAAGCUAAGGAAGUACGAUUUGAAGUUGAACCCAACAAAGUGUGCAUUUUGGGUUCCUGCAGGAAAGUUAUUGGGAUUCAUUAUUAGUCAUCGAGAUCGAGCUAGAUCCGACUAAAGUCAACGCUAUUCAGGAGUUACCACCACCCAAAAGCAAAAAAGAAGUGAUGAGCUUAUUGGGACGACUCAACUACAUCAGUCGAUUCAUAGCCCAGUCCACUGUUAUAUGUGAACCCAUCUUCAAGAUGCUGAGGAAGGAUAUCGAGAUAAGUCGGAUUGAGGAUUGUCAGAAAUCUUUUGACAAGAUCAAGGAAUCCCUAUCCACACCACCAGUUCUGGUCCCGCCUGAACCAGGACGAACUGUGCUACUAUCUAUUUAGAUUGAGCCUUUGGAUGUGUUUUAGGACAACAUGAUGAUACAAGAAGAAAGGCGCAAUCCAUAUAUUACAUGACUAAGAAAUUCACACCUUAUGAAGCACGUAUUCUCUACUUGAACACACUUUUUGUGCUUUGACCGGUUAGCCCAAAAAUUCAGGCAUUAUUUCUGUGCCUACCCUACGUACCUCAUAUCUAGGAUGGAUCCUCUGAAGUAAAUAUUUCAGAAGCCCAUGCCUGCGGGGAAGUUGGCUAAAUGGCAGAUACUACUAAGUCAGUUCGAUAAUGUCUAUAUAACUCAAAAGGCAGUCAAGGGACAGACAUUGAAAGAUCACCUCACUAAAAAUCUGGUAGGAGGAGAAUACGAACCCUUGAAAAUGUAUUUUCCUACUGAAAAAUAUCAUUCGUAGGAGAAGACAAUACAAAAUCAUAUGAUAGUAGGAGAAUGUUAUUUGACGAAGCCGCAAAUUUCAAAGGAGUAGGCAUUAGAGCAGUCAUGGUAUUGAUAUUAGGCUAUAUAGACAAUCUUUACACCUUAAUAUUUCCAUGCUUUAUUGUUAUUUUAUAGGUAAAUUUCCAACAAAGUUCUCUAUAUGGUGUUCUUUUGUUUCGCAAGGAAUGUUCUAAGUGAGAAAGCACCACAGAGUGUUUUGGAGGCAAUAACGUAAAGAAAACACCUACUCGAGAAGUACCCAAGCACAAAGAAGCGAGAGAAUGGCCUGGAAAAAUUCCACCUCGACCGCAAUGAAACUGCGGUGGAUUAAAACUCGAGCUAGAAAGAUUAGCUCUGACUGCGGUCGAGCCGUGGUCUUGCCGCGACCGCAGUGCACUAUUCACGGAUUAGGAAGUUUGAGGACCAAAGUGUAAAUUCAAGAAAACUUGUUCUAAACCCUUAUAAGCUCGCCCAAGAAUGUUUUCAAGAUUGUUUUUAGACUACUUUGGAGGAAGAACAAUUGUGAGAAGAUCAACCAAACAUUUGAGUUUUUCUAUCUCUUUUAUUUUCUUGCAAUUACCCAGUAUGAAUAAUUUAGUAUUUUCAUCUUGUUUUGUCAUGAGUAGUUAAUUCCUUAGUCUAGGGUUUUGAUGGAACCUAUUGAAGGAUUAACUUCUUGAUUAUGUUAAUAUAGUUUGCCAGUUUAAUCUCUAUUUGUUCAGCUACGUGCUUGUUGUAGUUAAUUGACAGGAUCCUCAAUUAGUUGUGCCUAUUUAGUGUACAUGACUCGGGAUAGAGUGCAUAUUUAAGUAAUUAUUGAACAACACCACUCCUAAGGUAUAAGAGGGAUCUAUAGCUGUUGUUUUAAAGGCGGGAUUAUGGAUAACGAAUUCUUGGGUGCAAUCUAAAGUGAGCUAAAAUAAACAAUGCAGCUAGCGUAACUCGGGAGAGAGAUUCUAGUAAAUUAUCGUAAUUACUCAGGAGAGAUUUACGGUAAGAGGAGCGUUCAUGAUUGAUAGAUAUGAUUUGGUGAUUUUAUGUGAAGCAUAACCAGAAGGGAUUCCAUCAAUAAGGAAAAUCAUAGCCUUAGAACUUUCUCCUAAUUGUUUACACUUUAAUCAUUGUUAGUUUGCAGUUAUUUAUUUACUGUCAAUCAUAGUUAGUAAUAAUACUAUCAAGUGUUGUUGACAACAUUUGAAAAAUUGAUUCCACAAAAUUUAGUAAGUCCAACAAAAAUUAUUGAUAGGUCAAUUCCUUGUGGGUUCGACUCUGGGCUAAAUACUCAGAUUAUACUUGCAACUUCCGCGUGUCCUUUUUACAAGGCAUAGUUGGGCAUGAUCCAAUUUUGGCACCAUUGUCGGGGAAUUAACAGUGUUAUCAAUUACUAUUAAAAGAAGUACAAAAAUUCUUAGUGUAGUUAGUUUUCCCUAUACCCAAUCUUUAAAUUGAAAUGUUAACUUUUGUUGACUGGGUUGAAUAGGUGUAUGCCUAGAAACUCACCGAGAACUGGUAAAGUACUUGAAGUAUUAUCAGAUCCCGAGAGAGUUUUCAAGGCCUUGAAUCGGGCCAACCGAAAGAACAAACAACAACAAACAACUGAAUAAUUCGAAACAGACAUGGGAGAUCACGAUGAGAACCGAGCUGUAUCAAUAGUGGCAGAGGCUGCUAUCUAUGACUGGGCACAACCCACAGCUGAAAAUCUGGCCACAACGAUUGUAGUCCCGUAGAUACAGGCAGAAUCUUUCCAAAUCACGAAUAACAUGGUGUAGUUGUUACAGAACAAGGGACUAUUUUUGGGGUCACAAGUUGAAGAUCCUCAGCAGCACUUGAAGAAUUUCUUGUCAAUCUACAAACCCAAAGGCAGCCCAACGUAACUUAGGAAGCAAUCAACUUGUUGUUGUUCCUAUUCUCAGUGACAGGAGUUGCUCAGACCUGGCUAAACUUACUCCCCAUAAAUUCCAUAAGAACUUGGGAGGAGUUUGUCAAUCAAUUGCACAACAAGUUCAACCCACCCAACAAGACUGCUCAAAUAAUGUAAUUUUGAGUUUUAAACAAAGACCAGCAGAGACACUGCAUGAAAUAUGGGAAUGCUUCAAAAAGAUACUGAUUAUAUGUCCACACCAUGGUAUUCCAGAUCUGAUAUUAGGGUAGUAGUUUUACAUGAGAUUGUUAGAUAGUGUAAAGAACAUAGUUGAUGCUUUAGCUGGUGGAGCAUUUUUGAGGAAAAAAUGGGGAGAGGGCCAGAGUCUUCUAGACAAGAUGGCACAAAAUUCUAGAUGGAAAACCAGGAAUGCACCUAUCACCCUAGUGGUUCACUUAGUGCCCCUAGAUCCAUCCAACUCUAUGGCUGAAAAUAUAGCAACCUUAUUAACACAGAUGAGUAUACUCACCAAAAAGGUGGAAGAGUCAGGGCAGAAGUAGCAACUACACAUAGUAGAUACUACCAAUGGGGGCUUGUGCGCAUCUUUCAUUAGCCAACCAAUUGGUAACCAGUGGAAUGCAGAACAUGAUCAUCAUCACUACCCUAAAGACAUGAAUUAUGUGUCUAAUUAUAGAGGCCAGAUAGAGGGUGGUCAAAAUUGGGUUCAGCAGCAGCAGCCAUACAUGCCAGUCCAGUCACAGUUCAACAAUGAAAACAUGGGAGGCAUGAGACCCUCUAACAAUAUGGCACCUUGCCCAAGGCCACAGGGAUAUAACAAUCAAAAUCAGCAGCAGGGUAUCACCCUACUCAACAGCAGCAUGGUGGAUGGCAGGAAGAUGGGUUUGCUAGACUUGAGGUAAUGAUGCAGCAGGUUAUUGGGUCGAAUGCAAAAAUUAUAAGAGAGUAGAUGCACAUGAUUCAACUCAAGAAUAUUGAACUGUAUAUGGGACAAAUUUUGAUGUCUAUGAAAAAUUGUCCUCAUGGGACAUUACCUGUAGACACCCAGAUAAAUCCAAAAGAUCAAGGCCCAAAGCAGUUGAUGAUUGUGAGUCUACAUAACGAUAGAGAUUUGGAUAUAGAGCAUGAGAGAGCUCGAGAAACUAGACAGACUGAGACACUCAUACUAGUGCCAUUGAGCUGGAUGAGGCAACGAAACUAAGAAAGAAGUUGAGCAACCCAGGAAGAAAAGACUGAUAGAGCCGACAGUCAAGCCUACCCAGGAAGAAAAUAACAUUCAGAUUGAGACUGAUAGAGCCGACAGUCAAGCCUACCCAGGAAGAAAAUAACAUUCAGAUUGAGACUAAGAAAGAAGCUGAGACAGCCCAGGAACCAGUAGUUGAGGUGACAGCUGAUAAAGAUCAAGCCCAAAUUAUUAGGAAGAAGAGACCUCUUGCACCAUUCCCUUAGAGGCUAGCUAAGUACCAAAAAGAGGAGCAAUAUAAGAAGUUCUUGGAGAUGCUGAAACAAAUCCUGGUAAAUAUUCCAUUGAUUGAUGCUUUGAAAGAGAUGCCUGGGUAUACAAAAAUGAUGAAGGACUUAAUUUCCCGAAAAUUCAUUUUCAAGACUUGGCCAUAGUUACUCUUACUCAGACCUGCAGUGCAAUGGUGACUAGACCAAUUGCUAAGAAGCUGUCUCACCCAGGAUGCUUUACAAUUCCAUGCACGAUUGGUAAUUUUGCUAUUGCUAAGGCACUGUGUGAUAUAGGGUCCAACAUAAAUCUUAUGCCCCUAGCGAUUUAUAAGAGGCUGGGGAUUGGAAGAGCAAGACCCAUCUCUAUGUUGUUGCAACUAGCUGGCAGGAUUGUAAAAAGACCCUAUGGUAUCCUAGAUGAUGUAUUGAUUCACGUAGGGAAAUUUGUGUUCCCUACAGAUUUUGUGAUCUUAGACUGCAAAGUGGGGAUGAGGAGAUUCCCAUAAUUUUGAGAAGUCCAUUCUUAGACACUGGGAGAGCUCCCAUUGAUUGUGAGACCAGGGAGCUCAAGAUGAGAUUGAACGACGAAGAGAUAACAUUCAAUGUGCAGAAAUCUAUGAGGCGACCAAGUGAAUUCACCAAUUGCUCUCUGGUUGAUGCAGUGGAUGUAAUCGUAGAGACUGAUGAUGAGAUGCUGACUAUUGAGGACCCUAUUGCUGCAUGUUUGAUGAAUUUAGAUGAGGUGAAUGGACAAGAACUUACAGAAUAGGUGUUGGCGUUAGAGGGUAUAGGGUUCUGGGAUAGAACUCUUGAAUUUGAGCCCUUGCACUUGGAAAAUAGAGAAACUCCUCCAGCCGAACCAUCUAUCGAAGAACCACCAAAGUUGGAGUUGAAGCCACUGCCCGCCCAUCUUAUGUAUGAGUUCCUUGGACCUGAAUCCACAUUACCUGUUAUUAUCUCAUCUAGUUUGUUAGAUGUGCAGGCACAACAAAUCUUGUAGGUACUCAAGGAGUGUAAGACUGCCAUUGGGUGGACCAUGGAAGACAUAAAGGGGAUCAACCCGCCUACUGUAUGCAUAAAAUUCUACUGGAAGAGGGACACAAACCUUCUAGGGAACACCAAAGAAGGCUGAAUCCCAACAUGAGGGAAGUGGUGAAGAAAGAAGUGAUAAAGUGGCUAGAUGCGGGAAUCAUUUUCCCAAUUUUUGACUGUAGUUGGGUUAGCCCGGUUCAAUGUGCACCUAAAAAGGGUAGCAUGACGGUAGUUAAGAAUGAUAACAAUGAAUUGAUCUCUACGAGAACUGUCACGGGCUUGAGAAUUUGCAUGGAUUAGAGGAAGUUAAAUCUAGCCACCCGGAAAGACCAUUUCCCACUUCCCUUCAUUGAUCAGAUGUUAGACAUGUUGGCAGGAGGUCAUACUUCUGUUUUAUGGAUAGGUACUUAGGGUACAAUUAGAUCUUCAUUACACCAGAGGACAGAGAGAAGACUUCCUUCACUUGCCCGUAUGGCAUUUAUGCCUUUCGUAGGAUGCCCUUUGGCCAAUGCAAUGCACCCGCCACAUUCUAAAGGUGCAUGAUGGACAUCUUCAGUGAUAUGGUAGAGGACAUAAUGGAGGUGUUCGUGGAUGAUUUCUCAGUAGUGGGGAACUCAUUUGAUGAGUGCCUUAUAAAUUUGACUCGUGUGCUGAAACGGUAUAUCGAGAAUUGAUUGGUUCUAAGGUAGUUGUAUACACUGAACAUGCAGCUCUCAGGUACUUGAUUGAGAAGAAGGAGUCUAAGCCGCGCCUGAUUUGUUGGGUGCUGCUACUGCAAGAAUUCAACCUCAAAAUUCGUAAAUGUAAGGGCACAAAGAACUAAGUCGCUGAUCAUGUAUCACAACUUGAGGUAGCUAAAAAUUCAGUUGAGGUUGAGGAUAUCCUGGAAACCUUCCAGACGAGCAGCUGCUCGCUACUAGUUUUGAGGAAGCGCCAUGGUAUGCAGACUUUGCAAAUUACUUGUCCUGCAGUAUAGUUCCCUAUGACCUUUCAUAUGUACACAAGAAAAAAUUUUAUCGUGAUAGUCGCAUGUAUUAUUAGGAUGAGCCUUAUAUGUAUAGAGUAUAUGAUCCGGAGGUGUGUCCCCAAGAUAGAACAAUCUUCUGUUUUGCAGGCUUGUCAUGCAUCGACGUAUGGAGGACAAUUUGAAAGGGUCAAGACAGUUGCAAAAGUGCUAGAGGCCGGAUUCUUUUGGCCAACAAUGUUUAAAGAUACGCACUAAUGGGUGAAGGGAUUCAAUGAAUGUCAGUGGACCGGGAACAUUUUCCUUUACCAUCAGAUGCCCAUGAACCUGAUUCAAGAGGUGGAAGUGGUUGAUGUUUGGGGGAUUGACUUUAUAGGUCCUUUCAUCAGCUCCUUUGGUAAUAAGUGCAUACUCGUUGUUGUGGAUUACGUGUCCAAACGGGUAGAAGCUGCACUGUUGCUUACUAAUGAUGCACUAGUGGUAGUGGGAUUUUUAAAGAAGAACAUAUUCACCUGAUUUGGGACACCAAGAGCUAUCAUCAGCGACGGAGGCACCCAAUUUUGUAAUCGAGUCUUUGAAAAGUUUCUAGCGAAGUAUGAUGUGCGUCACAAACAAUUUGACAGGUGGAAGUGUCUAAUAGAGAGAUAAAAAGUGUAUUGACCAAGACUGUAAACACCACAAGAACUGAUUGGGCGAAAAAUCUAGAUGAUGCACUCUAGGCUUAGAGAACUGCUUUUGAAAUACCAAUUGGUAUGUCACCAUAUAAGUUGGUGUUCGGAAAGGCCUGCCACUUGCAAGUAGAACUUGAGCAUAAAGUGUGGUGGGCAAUGAAACAGCUGAACCUAGACAUGGAGGCUACAUGCACAACAAGAGUCACUGAAUUGCAUAAGCUCGACGAGUUCAAACAUCUUGCUUUUGAGAGCACAAGGUUGUACAAGGAGAGAAUGAAGUGGUUGCACAACCAGAACAUUUUUGAGAGAUAUUUCAAACUUGGGUCAUGGUAUUGCUCUACGACUCAAGAUUGCGGUUGUUCCCUGGUAAGCUUAAGUCAUGAUGGUCUGGCCCAUUUCGGGUGGUAGAAGUAUUCCCUUCGGGGACUGUGGAAAUUGCCUCAGAGAAAGAUUCUCACACAUUUAAGGUCAAUGGGCAGAGAUUGAAGCUAUACAUACGCAUGAAAGUACGAAAGAAAGUGUCAGAGAUUCAACGACGGAACCUCAUAGGUCGAGCGAGCCUUAAAUGCGCUUGUCUGCAUCAUGCCGCGACAUUAAAUUGGGUGCUGCAUGGAAGGCAACCCACGAAUGUGUCGUUAGUAUAUUCUCCUAUAAUUUUCUCUAAUUAAAAAAAAAUAAAAUAACUGGGAGUCACUACGGCCGCCAAAGAACCGCAGCAAGACCGUGGUGAGAGGCAAAUAUUCUGCCUCGUGGAAUUUACCUCACCGCGGUCGUUGCAGGACUACGACAAACAGCAGUGAGACAAAAAUAUUUUGCCUCAGAUGUUCAAACCCACCGCGGCUGCAGUGGGAUCGCGGUCGACCGCCGUGGGUACCAGGCAUUUUUUAUUUUUUUUUGUUUUUCAUUUUUUUCCUUCUUCUUUUAAUUUUAUAACUCCUAAUAUCAACCCCUCCUAAAAUAUCCGUUCCUCCCCCCCCCUAACAAUAUGGCACCUUGCCCAAGGCCACAGGGAUAUAACAAUCAAAAUCAGCAGCAGGGUAUCACCCUACUCAACAGCAGCAUGGUGGAUGGCAGGAAGAUGGGUUUGCUAGACUUGAGGUAAUGAUGCAGCAGGUUAUUGGGUCGAAUGCAAAAAUUAUAAGAGAGUAGAUGCACAUGAUUCAACUCAAGAAUAUUGAACUGUAUAUGGGACAAAUUUUGAUGUCUAUGAAAAAUUGUCCUCAUGGGACAUUACCUGUAGACACCCAGAUAAAUCCAAAAGAUCAAGGCCCAAAGCAGUUGAUGAUUGUGAGUCUACAUAACGAUAGAGAUUUGGAUAUAGAGCAUGAGAGAGCUCGAGAAACUAGACAGACUGAGACACUCAUACUAGUGCCAUUGAGCUGGAUGAGGCAACGAAACUAAAAAUACCUAUCUUCUUCUUCUUCUUCUUCUUCUUCUUCUUCAAUCAUUCCACUUCCACCAUCUCCAUUCCUCUCACCCUUUCUCCAUUAAGGUAUGUAGCAUCACCUCUCCCCUCUCUUUUCUUGUGUAUUGUGUUGUAGUUUAUGAUUAGUUUCAUGUUAUAAUGGGUUGUAAUUGUUGGUAGAUUUGUGUUAGUUUCUUCUUGUUUUUCUUCUUUGAAUUUCAUUUUUGAGACUGAUUGAUGAAGGGGCUGUGUGUUUAUUAUGGUGGAGAGGUGUAUAUUGGUAGGUGUUGCCUGACGUAUUUUUGGGUGUGAUGUUGUAGUAUUAUCUUUGAUGUGGGCAAAGUUUUGAUGUACCCAUGUGGUCUAUAUGUGUUAGGAUAGUGCCUUGCCCACAAGAUGUUUAAGAAAUUCCCUAAUGGAGUUAUAAGGGCUAAUAUGACAUGGUUGUGGUGAAGUCUGAGUAACCACCCAUAGUCACACAUUUCACGCACUCACUAAUAGGCGUUUCUCUAUUUGACAGGUAAAAUGAGUUCAUCUAGGAAGAGAUGCACCAUCGGGCCCUCCACUAGUGGACCAGGAAGCUCCUUGAGAGGUAGGGGCAAGCUAAUGCACCACAGUUUUACAAUACUAGGUUUGUCUCCCAAGCGGCGGAAGCCAGGUACAAUGCAAAGGCGGCAAAGAAAUUGAUACAUGAGGUGCAUAUUGACCACCAAGCCUUAGAGGUGGAAUGCCCAAAUAUCUUCACUGAGUUGAGGAGGUGUCAGAUCGACAUCUUCUUCGAGAUACCGAAGGAAGCUAAUGUCAGAUAGUACGAGAGUUCUAUGCAAACUUCCCAAAAAAUAAGGAGGGGAUUGUUACUGUUAGGAAUAUACUGGUAAAAACGUCCAUUGAGGCCAUCCGUAGGGUGUACUGAUUGCCAGUGUUUAGGGGAGAUACUGAUGAUUAUCGCACUUAUAGCUCAACAUGAUCCUUAUGGUGUCCUAUUCUUGAGAUUAUUUGUGUGCCCGACAGGGAAUAUACUUGAUAAAGCCCAGGAUCACACUUAACUCCCAAUCUCUCAAUUGAGAGGCUAAGUGUGGGCUCAUUAUUAUCAACAAUCGUUUGUUUCCCUCCAACAACAUGACUGAUGUCAAUCUACCACGGGCGGCUGCUAUUUACUAUUUGGCACACAUGGAUUUUGAUUUGGCCAGGCUUCUCCAUGAAGAGAUGUUCAUUAGUUCACCCGAGUUGCUCAAAGGCUUCUACUUCCCUUCUCUAGUCAUCAGGCUGUGCCGCCUUGCUAGAGUCCCUGAAGACCCUCGAAUUGAUGGGAAGUUAGCAAUGAAAGCACCGUUCCUAGCUAGAAAAAUUAGAAUUGGGAUGGAGCCAGUAGUGAAUGUUGAUGAGUCUGAUGAUGAUGAUGAUGAUGAAGUACUGCGGUCCUCCCACCUCCAAAAGUAGAUGAGGCAUGCCGAUCACAGGCCCAUCGGAGCACCCACAUGAUAGCUUUGGAGCAAGAGCUGGUUGGGUUGCGUACCUCAGUCACUGAUUUGGGUGCCCGUGUAGACACGGUGGCUGACCGGCCGGUGAAGUCGGAGAAGAAAUUCUUGGGCUGGCGGAGAGCUCUGGGUCGUGCUUGUAACGUGAACCCAGACACUGUCUCUGAUUAUGGGUGAUCCUUCAAGGAAGUUCCUUUACCUCACAAUUCUUUUGAAUUCUUAAGCCAUGAGGACAUGUCUUCAUUUUAAGUAUGGGAUGGGGAAUACUUCAUUGUAUGUGUGUAAUUAUAGCAAUUGAUGCUUUGAUUUUAUUGUGUUUUGCUUUGCUUUGAUUGUUUUGGUGUUUGAGUAAUAGUUUAAUAGGUAAGUUAAAAUAGUAAGUGAUGCGUCCCGACGACGGAUCUCUUUCAGCGGGGUACUUGAGGGACUAUGUCAAAAAAUGGAAUAUGAUGACUCUUCCUGAUGAUGGAUCCAUUAGACAAUUUUCUUGAGGGAAGUUAGUCUAGAGAAAAUAUUAAAAAGAUUUUUUCUUUUAUUUUAUUUUUAGGUAGUGUAGUAACUCCCCCUUGGUUUUUCUUUGGGCCACGGUUCUUUUCCAAGGGUUUAGCUUGAACCAGGUGUAGCUAGUUUUUGUUCAUUUUAUUUCUUUUUAGUUUUUAGAUUACGAUUAAUGGGCUACAAGCAUAAGUCAAAGGAGAAAACCUUACCGUUGAUACACCUAAACACAAUAGACACUAGAGUACGCUUAGUCUCAAUGGUUGAAUCUUGCUAAAGUGCCUUAAAAUUAUAUUUUUGCAUCUAACGUGAACAUUCAAAAGAGAAUUUCUUAAUAAAUCAAUUCGGAGUGAGUCAUGUUCCAUGUGUAUAUGAGUUUUACUGCAUUCCAUGAUUCACAUUUGAUGCCUAGAACGUGCUCUAUGUGUUUGCAAAGUGAAAUAGUAGUUUCACUCAGUUUUAGAAGUGAUAUACGCAUUUCUUGUUGAUACAUACAUAUAAAAUAAGUCCACCUGAAUGCAAUACAUCUUAGUUAACCUCGUUGAGCCUAUAAGCAUGUUUCUUUGGCAAGCACUUUGCGAACCUUACCCAAUUGUUUGAAUAGCCUACCGUUCGAACCUUUUUACCUCCCUUAAGAACUUGAAUGGUAUUGAAAAUAUGCAAAAGCAAAAAUGUGGGGUGGUGGUUUGGUUUUUGAGAGGAAUCAUUGAAAUAGAGAAAAGGUGCUGAAUUUUGAAGCAUAAAAGAAUAAGUACCACGAAAAAAAAAAGUUAUAAAUAAUUAUAGUGGUUAAUACGUGGUAGCUUGUACAAAUUGAACCUAAUGGAUGGGGAUGUUUCAAAUAAAUAUGGUGGAUUGUUUGGUUGACACAAGUAUGGUCUUGAAGGUUAAUGUAAGUGUAUUAAAGUGCUUAGGGAGGUUAGUCACUAUAUCUAAAUAUAUCCUACCCGUACCUAAGCCUACAUCACAACCAAGUGAAGUCUUAUUGAUCUUAGAUUGAGUGGGCUCGAUUAGUAGAGUAUUACAAAACGGGCAAGCUUAUGUUACAUCUUUGUGGCAUGUGAAUGUUCUUUGUGAGAGUGAGCGCAUUUUAUCUAUCUAAGUUCCUAAUUGUUCUAAAUAUCAUCAUAUGUGGAAUUACUCUCUUGUUUGCUGUGAGGGCAUGUGAUUCACAAAUGAAAGGUAAGUCUUGACUCUUGUAUAUAGUGGCUUAAGUAAGUGCAAAUGUUGCAUGGUACAAAAGAUUUGACUUUUGAGGUAAAGGUUGUUCACUACUAGGUGCAACUUUGGUAAAAUGUUCAAGGUAUGAGUUGUUAAGGGGAAAGCUUAGGGAAGAAACGUUGAUGGAGUGUGGUGGAUUGCUCGAGGACUAGCAGUGAUUUAAGUGUGGAGUGUUGGUAUUAGAUUAUGUAGAUGAUAUUUACACCAUUAUAUUACCAUGCUUUAUUGUUGUUUUAUAGGUAAAUUGCCAACAAAGUGCUCUAAAUUGUGUUCUUUUGUUUCGCGAGGAAUGUUCUAAGCGAGGAAGCACCACAGAGUGUUUUGGAGGCAAUAAGGUGAAGAAAACACCCACUCGAGAAGUACUUGAGCAAUAAAAAGCAAGAGAAUGGCCUGGAAAAAUUCUACCUCGACCGCGAUGGAACCAUGGUGGGUUAAAACUCGAGGAAGAAAGAUUAGAUCUCACCGUGGUCGAGCCACUGUCUUGCCACGACCGCAGUGCACUGUUCACGCAUCAGGAAGUUUGGGGACCAAAGUGUAAAUUCGGGAAAGCUUGUUCUAAACCCUCAUAAGCUUUAGAAGCUCGCCCAAGAUUGUUUUCAAGCUUGUUUUUAGAUUACUUUGGAGGAAGAACAAUUGUGAUAAGAUCAACCAAACAUUAGAGUUUUUCUAUCUCUUUUAUUUUCUUGCAAUUACCCAGUAUGAAUAAUUUAAUAUUUUUAUCUUGUUUUGUCAUGAGUAGCUAAUUCCUUAGUCUAGGGUUUUUAUCUUGCUUGUUAUAGUUAAUUGACAGGAUACUCAAUUAGAUGUGCCUAUUUAGUAUGCAUAACUCGGGAGAGAGUGCAUAUUUAGGUAAUUAUUGAACCACACCACUCCUAAAGUAUAAGAGGGUUCUAUAACUGCGGGUUUAAAUGCGAGAUUAGGGAUAACGAAGUCUUGGGUGCAAUCUAAAGUGAGCUGUAAUAAAUAAAGCCAGCUAGCGUAACUCGGGAGAGAGCAUCUAGUAAAUUAUCGUAAUUACUCAGAAGAGAUUUACGGUAAGAGGAGCGCUCAUGAUUGAUAAAGAUGAUUUGGUGAUUUUAUGUGAAGCAUAACCGGAAGGGAUUCCAUCAAUCGGGGAAAUCAUAGCUUUCGAACCUUCUCCUAAUCGUUUACACUUUAAUCAUAGUUAGUUUUAAUUAUUUAUUUACUGUCAGUUAUAGUUAGUAGAAAUACCAUCAAGUGUUAUUGACAACGUUUGGAAAAUUGAUUCCCUAGAAUUUAGUAAGUCCAACAAAAGUAAUUGAUAGGUUAAUUCCUUGUGGGUUCGACUCUAGGCUAAAUACUUAGAUUAUACUUGCAACGUCUGUGUGUCCUCUUUAUAAGGCAUAGUUGGGCGUGAUCAGGUAUCAGAAAUGUGUCAGCAUUAUCCGGUAUCUUCUAAACUCAAAUUUCCUGCACCAACAACAUGACAGAAUAUGAAGCCUGUAUACUAGGGCUCAACAUGGUAGUCGACAUGAACAUUCAAAAGCUGUUAGUGAUCGGCGAUUUAGAUUUGCAUGUGCACCAGGUACAAGGAGAAUGGGAAACCAAGAAUACCAAGAUAUUGCCAUAUCUGCACCAUGUGCAGAAUUGGAAAAGAGGUCACGAAGAUAGAAUUUUGAUAUGUGCCCAGAAUUCAGAAUGAGUUUGCCGAUUUAUUAGCUACUUUGUCAUCAACGAUACAAUAUACAGACAAGAACUUUAUUGAUCCUAUUCCGAUGAGGAUCCAUAAUCAGCUAGUAUAUUGUGCUCAUGUCGAGGAAAAAGCAAAUGGAAAUCCUUAGUUCUACGAUAUCAAGGAGUACUUAUCAGAAGGAUAAUACCCGGAGCAUGAAAAUCACAUUCAGAAAUGCAUGCUCCGGAGAUCGUCAAAUCACUUCUUCCACAUAGGGGGAACUUGUACAGAAGAACUCCAGAUUUGGGUUUCCUAAGGUGUGUCAAUGUAAAGGAAGCUUCUAAGCUACUUGAGGAUAUGCAUGCUGUGACAUGUGGCCCAUAUAUGAAUGGUUUCGUUUUAGCCAAGAAAAUACUCAGGUUAGGUUAAUUUUGGAUGACCAUGGAGAUGGAUUGCGUCCAGUAUGUCCUUAUAUGCUUUCAAUGUCAAGUGCAUGCCGACAUGAUAAAGGCGCCGCAAAUGCCAGCCGAGAUAGAGCUUCCUUCUUUAAGAGUCAUACAAGAACUUAGACUCGGUGAUGUGGAGUGGAUAAAAAGUCGCUAUGAAGAGUUGGCCCUGAUUGAUGGAAAGAGGAUGAACACAAUAUGUCAUGGCCAACUUUAUCAAAACAGAAUGUCCAGAGCUUUCAACAAAAGAGUCAAACCAAAACAAUUUGCACCAGGAUAGUUGGUAGUGAAGAAAAUCUUCUCACAUCAAGAUGAAGCCAAAGGGAAAUUUUCUCCCAACUGGAAAGUCCAAACAUGGUUCAUAGGGUCCUGACAGGAGGAGCACUCAUCCUUGCAUAAAUGGACGGAGAGCUUCGGACAAAACCAAUCAAUUUAGACGUAGUCAAGAGAUACUACGCCUAGUUUAUUCACAUUUAUUUUCUGAUGUAAUUGAACUACGCUUGACCUGAUUAACAUUUAAGUGGAGAUAUGUAGGGAGAAUUAUAGGUUCGGUCAUAUCAUAAUAAAAUUUUUAUUUCCCCAAAAAUCAGAAAUUGGGGAAGAAUUUUAAGGAGUGUCCAAAAUUCCAGAACAAGUCCAGCCAGCACCAUCACAUGCCAAGAAGUCAGUCGUCAGUCAAGAACUGGGGCAACAACUUUGAGAAGGAUUCUCAAAAUUUUGAAAAAGAUUCAUCAAGGUCCGCCACCUGUAAACAAUUAAAAUCAUCUACCAAACUGGGGCAAAAUGUUGAGGAGGACCCUUAAAAUUCCAACAUGAGAGCUGCAAUGCCUUUAGAAUAUUCACAAUCACUAGCUCAUAAAAAAAUUACUUAAUAUAUCAAUACGCUUCCAUGCUGAUUCUAUUUUAUCGAUGAAUGCACAUUAUUCUAUUUUUUCAUAACAGUCAGGUGCUACCUAGGGGAACUCGAAAGAGGCUUCUAGAGCAUAUCAGAGCAAAGCAAGGCCAGUAGACGAAGAAAGAACCAACCCCCCUCAUAAAACUUACAAUUUUUCUUUGAACGCAUGCACAUUUGAUGUAAAGGUAGCAUUCGCAAAACAUGUAUACACAAAGAAAAUUCACCAUCCAUCUAGCCAUCAGACACUGAAUAUAUCCUACCUAAGACAUAUUUUACCCUUAUCUUCUAUUCUCUCUUUGCAUGAGACUAAGCUCUGUCUCCAUACUUGCAUGAGUCUAAUCCUUGACUCCAUACUUGCAUGAGUCUAAGCCCUGACUCCAUAUCUACAUAAGGAUAAGCUCUUCCUUCCAUUUGCAUGGAACUAAGCCCUGUCCCCAAAUCUUGCAUAAGGCUGGCUAAGCACUGCCUUCUCUUUGCAUGAGCCUAAUCAUUGACUUCAUACUUGCAUGAGUCUCGGCCCUGACUCCAUAUCUGCAUAAGGCUAAGUGUUGCUUUCUCUUUGAAUGAGACUAAGCCCUGUCUCCAAUCUUGCAUGAGUCUAAUCCCUAGUUUCAUAUCUGCAUAAGGCUAAGCAUUGCCUUCCAUUUGCAUGGGACUAAGCCAUGUAGUGAAUCUUGCAUGAGGUUAAGCUCUACCUCCAUAUUUGCAUCCCUGUUCCCCCCAAUCUUGCAUGAGUCUAAUCCUUGACUCCAUACUUACAUGAGGCUAAGCCAUAUCUCCAUUUUGCACAAGGCCAAGAACUGCCAUCUCUUUGCAUGAGGUUAAGCUCUACCUCCAUAUUUGUAUAAGGCUAAGCACUGCCUUCUCUUUGCAUGAGACUAAGCUCUGUCGCCACGUUUGCAUGAAUCUAAUCCUUGACUCUAUUCUUGAAUGAGUCUAAGCCCUAACUCCAUAUUUGCACGAGGCUAAUCCUUGCCUCUCCACUUGCACGGGACUAAGCAUUGUCCCUUUUUGCACCAAUAUUGCUCUAUUUUCUACUGCUAUCUACUUGAUUUUCAAUCGGGCUAAGAUCUGCCCUCUACUUUUUAAGAUUAAACCUUGUAUUGUUACAUCAUAUUAUUUCAAAUCAUCGGAUGAAACAUUACCAAUCUGUCCAAAGGCGUUAUAAUCGAAAGGCACCAUCCUCAUAGCCGGAAGACACCAUGCCAUGGCCUGAGAAUCCUUCAAAUUUGCAUAUCAUUAUUCAAAGGCGUCAUGGUUUGAAGGCACCAUUUUCAUGGCCCAAGAACAUCAUUUCAUGGCCUACGAAUCCCUCAUUAAACAAUUCAUGGACCAGGACUUCAUGGUCCAAGGACGUCAGCUUUAACCGUCCGAAGACAACCUUCGUGGUCCAAAUGGAAUCUGCAUCAUGUUUAAAUUUUCACAAAUUUGUAGCAUCUUUUAUCUGCAGCUAAUCAACAAAAAACCACUAUCCUAGUAGGAGCAAUCUUGCUCCAGUUCCCUCCAGUCGUCUCAAGCUUUAACCGCUCAUCGUACUCGCUUCCACAUCUCGCGUCCGUUCUUACAAUAAUUUCAUUGGCAUACUCCAUGGGUGAAUCUAGAAAUACACAUGGCCUGAUUCUUGUAAAACUAGGGUUAUGCAGGUGACUCAAAAACCAGAAUUCAACCUACGUCUAUUGAAACAUCCCAUGCGGUCAAAAUUAGCCAUCAUUUCUUUACCUAAAAACUCUUUCAUUCUUACGGGGUAAAGAGGGACAGUUGUUGAUAUUCAAUUUUUUCCAAUAUAUUUUAAAUAUUCAUAAUACCUUCAAAAUAGUAUAUAUAUGCAUAUAUAAGCAUGAAGAAGGCUUUUAUUAUUCUUUCCCUAAUUUUAAGGGUUUGAAUUGAUUUAUUUUCUCCCUUUUUAUCCAUAAAUCCCCAAUAAAUAUUUUCCAAAUUAUUUUUAUGAAGAUUUACUCAUUCAAUUUCUAUACUUAUGUCAAAAUAUGACUAUAUAUUUUUCAUGCAUUUUAAAAAUUACAUUUAGUAUUUUAAGCUAAAUUGCAUAUAAUUGCAAUGUUAGCCCUUUUAAUGUAUAAUUAUAUUUUAUACGUGUAAAGGUUGCUUCUAUAUUUUUAAAAUGAUAAUUAUACAUUUAUAAUCAUUUUGGUAUGGAAAAGAAUUAUUUUUAGAAACAGUCUUUUAUUUUAUUAAAAUUAAAAUAGGGAAAUUGACUAUUUAAAUAUUAGCCAAAUUUAGCUUUUAAUUUUUGCCAAAUUGGACCCCUAUCCCCAGCCCAAUAUUCUAAUAAAUAACCCGACCCAUACCCUAUAAACCCCUACCCAAAUCCAGAACCCACAGAUCAACGGUCUAUAUAUGACCUUUCCUUUUUAAUUCUAAGAGAGACCCUAACCUUAACCAUUUUUCUAAAUCCUCCACCCUCAAACUCUCGCAUCUCCUCUUUUGUCUCUCAACCUAAACCUAUACUAUCUUAAUCGCCUCCUUCUCUGGUCAUCUCCGGCAACCACCCGUUAAGCCCAAGCCUCCAAUGGGUCUCUCAUUGCCUUGCUCAUCAUCUCUGAGGCCUUCAAGGGUCCUGAGCCAUGCUGAUUUGGACCUAAGGUUUCUAUUUCUGUAGUUCGUGGCUUCUCUAGUAUGAUUUUGGGUAAAAUCACACCAUAUAUGUUACGAUCGGUGAUGUUUUCAACAGGUACUUUUUCUUCUAUUUGGGUUCCCUUUGAAACCCUAAAUCUCGUUUGAAUCCCUUAAGAUCUGUGUUAUUUUUAAUGGUUUAGGCAUGUUUCUUCCUAUGAUUUGCACUAUUCUCAAACUUCUUCUGAAAGAUCCUCAAUUUUAAACCAUUAUAUUUUCUUUAAAAAUUAGUGUUUUCUUGGAGUUCAUUCUGCACUUGUUCUAAUUAAUUUUUAUUUAUGAUUAAACCUCUUUCAUUGCUUAUUUUGACUGAUACUAUGUUCCUAUUAUUUUUAACUUGACUCUGUCAAAAAGCCCUAAUCAUUUAAGAACUUUUUUGCUUUGGUUCUUUGUGUUAGGAUGAUUACUUGAUUUUGUUAAAGUUUCUGUUGGUUACCAUGCUUUGAAUGGAUUUUCUACUGAGUCUUUAGCCUACUUAUUUCACUUUUGUAUGAUUGUAUUUGCUCAUCUCUUGCUUCCUUAUGUCUAUGCGACUGACUUUGCCUAUUGUUACGUCUGUUCAUGCUUCUCUAUUUAUAUGUCGCAAUCUAGAAUCAUGACCCUUUCUUGAUUUGAUUAUGAGUUCCUAAAUUGAUGGUUUGAUUGCAAGAUUUUCUUUCAAAACCUUAAGGUUAUCUUCGUCUGUUUAAAUUAACUGAUUCCAUUUCCUUAUUUGUUGUGGUACUUCACUCUUACUGAAUCCUUUCCUUAAUUAGUAUAUUCUGUACUUAGACUUAAUCAUGUGAUCUAUACUUUUACUAUCCUUUUUAUGGUAAAAAAUUAGUCUUUCUCAAUUGAUUUUCUUUCCUUGAUUAUCCUUGUUGGUAUCCGUUCAAGUUGUUGAUUCCUUGAUUAAAGGGGAGUACUUGUAUUAAUUGGAUUCUAAUUGUGAUUACUUCCAUACUUAUGCUAAACCUUUACAUGUUACCUUAUUUUCUGUCUAUUUUCAAAACUAUAAAUACCCUAAGUCUUUCAUUAGCAAAGGCAUAACACUUGGGUUUUCAAGAACUACCUCUCUUACUAAAAAUCUCUGCUCUCUCUUUCUCUUGUGCUAUUUGCUACUAUAGCCAACUGCAAGCCAAGGCUAAUCAUCUGUGCUCUUUGGUUAUUUCAUUUUGCUUACUUCUAUCUUCACUGGUAUUGCCUUGUUUUGAUUUAAAGCUCCAACAACAAUAUGCUUCUCUUAUUGUUUCUAUUUAUUUUAUUUUUGGCUUGCUUCUACUUGUGGUUCUGUUGUGAAACUUGUGGUUAAGUUACAUUAUCAGCAUGCUAUUAUGUCUCCCCUUCCCUUUAGAUCAAUGAAUUCCCUUAUGCAUUUCAAAGCAUGCCUUGUCAGCUGUCUUUACUUCAUGUGUGCUUACCAUCCUAUGAAUCUCCCCAUAUCCUUAUCACCCCUUCCAUGUGUUUGUAUUCUUCUUGACUGAUUUGUAAUUAUGCUAGUAUCUAAUGUCUCUGAGAGUGUCUAAAUCAUUCUUAAGACCCUUGUUGGGUUAUGUAUGUCUAGGGUUAAUUUCGCUGAUGGUCAUUCAACUAUCUUUCAAUUUCACUAAAAUCAGUCAACUAUUUUUUGUCACUUAAAAGUAACUAAACUUUAUUAUUGUCACUUAAAAAUAAUUUUGGUUCAAAUUCCUACUACAAAUAUGACAUAACAUAAAAUUUAAUGAAAAAUCCAAAAUUAAAUGCCACAUAAGCUUAAAUGGACCAUAUUCAUUUUAGAUCCAUUUCUCCCUUUUCAAUAGGGGAAAACCGCACACCCCUAAUAAAAUUAAGUCUUGUGAUUUUUUAUGGGGAUUUUUAUCGUACAGAUAAAAUCUUUCUUUUGUCUAAACAAUAGCAAUAGAUUGUCUGUAAUUGUAUAUUCAUUGUGAAAAUAGACUCUUAUUAGCCUUAUUAUUCUUGUAUGCUUAUGAUGUAUUCAUAUGUUAUACAAUCUUUCUUUUGUCUAAACAAUUGUAGUUGGUUGUCUGCAAUUGUAUGUUCCUUGUGAAAAUAGACUCUUAUUAUCCUUAUUAUUCUUGUAUGCUUAUGAUACAUUAAUAUGUUACAUGAGAUGGAUACAAUAUUAUUUUAACUUCACUAGAAAAUUAUAAAUAUGUUAUGUGAAUGGGAUACAAUAGUAUUUUUACUUCAGUAGAGUUAUAAAACUACUCGAUUGGGGCAUACAAACAAUUUUAUUUUUUUUAGUAUAGAAUAACUAUAAAUGGGUAUUAUGUAACAGAAAAUGCAAGAAUUUUAUAAUAUAAGAUAAUCAUUUUAAACUAAUGUGGAAUUUUAUACUUGUCGAAACUAUUUGGGUUAUGGGUCAAAUCACAUUAUGGGGGAAAUAGAUAUAAAAUGGAUAUGGUUCAUUAAGCUUAUGUGGCAUUUAUUCUAUUUUAACUUCACUAGAAAACUAUAAAUAUGUUAUGUGAGUUAGAUACAAUAGUAUUUUUACUUUAAUAGAGUUAUAAAACGACUUGGUUAGGGCAUACAAACAAGAUAAUUCUUUAGUAUAAAAUAACUAUAAAUGGGAAUUAUGUAACAGAAAAUAUAAGUUUUUAAUAGUAUAGGAUAGUCAUUUUAAAAUAAUAUAAAAUUUAAUACAUAUCAAAAUCAUUUGGGUUAUGGGUCAAAUCACAUCAUCAGGGAAAUAAAUCUAAAGUAGAUAUGGUUCAUUUAAGCUUAAGUGGAAUUUAUUUUUUGAUUUUCUCAUUAAAUUUUAUAGCAUGUCAUAUUUAUGGUAAGAGUUUGAGUCAAGAUGAUUUUUAAGUGACAAUGAUAAAGUAUAUUUACUUUUAAGUGAAAAAAAAUAGUUGAGUGACUUUAGCGAAAUUGAAAUAUAGUUGAAUGACCAUCUGUGAAAUUACCCCAAAUGUCUAUGUAUCCCCAAACCCCUUGACCCCUGUGUGACUACUAAAUUCAUUUGGAUUAUGUAAACUAGAUGUGUGUAAUCUUAUCUUAAGGUGUUUAAACUUUGUUUACUACUCCAACCUCUUUUCAAACAAUCUCUGUUGCUUUACUAAUUGUUUUCAUAGCAAACUUUCCAAAACAGUCCCUAAUAACCAUUUUCAACUUGUGUGUCCUGCACUUCUACUUUACUCUUAGUCAAUAAGUUCUGCCCCCUCUAGUAUGUGUACUUCCUUGGGAUCCUCUUGAGAGCCCUAUGAACCAUGGCAUACUGAGGUUGGCCUUUCCACACUGUACUGGUUCAAUUCUUGGUUACUGAAGUCUAGGUAUGAGCAUUGCCCGCGGUCCUUGAGACCCUUAGGAAACUUUUAUGCACCUAGAAUCUGAGUUGUCUAUGGAAUUGAGACCAUUGGAGGAUUUGGAAAACUUAGGCCUAAUUUCAAGCUCCCUAUAGAAUAGCUUCUUGAUUUUUUAUUUUAUUUAUGUAAUUAAUUCAUUGAUCUGUAAUAAUUUGUAAACACAUGUUUGGGAUAUUUAGUAAAAAAGGUGGGUAGAUGUAUACUUUAUGGGGUAAUAUGAGUACAAAUCCUGCUCUUAGGAUCUUCUUGCAAAAUCUAUCUACUUUACUAAAUAGAAAGCAUGCUCAUUGGGUUUACUCUUUUAAAUCUAAUUGAUUUGCCUAAUAGAAAUUAUGACUAUAGGAUUUCACUUCUAAUGUCGUUUGCAUCAAGUAGAAACCAUGUUCCUAAGGUUCUGCAUUUUAUCAUGUUAGAAACCAUGUUCAUAGGUUCCAAUCAAUCAUGUCUUAAAUCAAUUCAAAUAUAGAUGUCAUGACUAUAGGAUUCAAUUAUGAUUCAGUUCUAAUAAGUCUUUAUGUGUGUUGCUGCAAAUUGACUAAAACCAGUAAUACACUUAGAUAUCAUGCCUUUAGGGAUCUAUAAUCGUAAUUCUAUCUGAUAAUUUAAUUUAGCCUGAUAAAUCAAUUUCAUUACACCUAUUUCAUUUCUAAAGCUGGUCUUAUCAAACGAUAACAUUUCCUGAAACAAGUUCUUUCAAAAUUGCAUUAGUCUCAUUAGAUACCAUGCUUAUAGGUAUUAAAUUCUAUUUUGAAAAAUCUAUUUGUUUCUGCAUUAAUAUAGACACAAUAUACUGCAUAUAGGCAAGCCUUAGGUAUUUUCAAAACUUCAUUUCUCUGAAGUUGUCCCUGUCACUUAAGGUUUCUGAUUCUAAUAACUUCUAAAAGAGUCCCUAGGAAACUAAUAGGUUAUAACUUCUGGGUAUAAAAGUUUGGUAUGUUUUUGGCAGUCACUUAGAGAUCCUGCUUUAGGAUUUUGAUUAAUAAAGACCUUAAUUGUGUUUGAGUCGUGCUGCUUGUAUGUUUACUUGAGGAGGAAACUUUGAGCCUCUUAUAUGCUCCCAUUAUAUGAAAGUCCUACAUGUUUUGACUGUUGCCUUAGAGUUUUCGCCUUUCUAAGACUUAGGGGUACUUCUAGAACUACCUAUAGGGAGGUCCUAACUCCCCCCCGGACCACUAAGAAGGGACGGGUAGCAGCACACAAUAGGAAUCAGUAACCAAACACUCACUUUGCAUGACCAACAAGGGGAUAGGAAGGAUAGGCAUGGGAUAUGAUGACUAUGCGUGAAUGUCACGUGUAGCCCCUCAAUGAGGAAUGUCUAUUUGAUAUUGCGUGGGGUGAUCCUAUAAGAAAACAACCUAGGACCCCUCUUUACCACCUUCUCUCUUUAUUUAAACUUUCGUCUUUUUUUUUACAACUUUUUUGAAACCUUUAUAUUACUACUUGAACCAUCUAAUGUGCCUUACUAGCAACUUAUUUGAUUCAACUGUAUAUGUGGACAAAAGUGUGAAUAUAAUUUUGGCCGGGACCCACAAUUGUGGACCAAGAGGGGUUCCUAACACCUUCCCCUUGAGGUUACUUCGAGCCUUUACCCUAAUCUCUCAUAAUGCAAACCAACUCAAGAUUUACUCACUCUAGGUGCCCUCACACACCAUAAUCUGUUAGUUGGUGAAGUUGAUGACUCUUCAAAUACCCAAUUCCCAAAAAGAAAUAAGUCAUUACACCCCGUGAAUGUCGAAACCCGGAUUUCUCCUUGUAAAAAAGGGAGAAAAAAGGGGGGUGCAACACGUUCACACAGAAAGCGUCUCUGAAACCCAUCCCAAAGAAGUUCAGAAUGCUGGAACUCCUAAAAUACAACAAGACCUCAGAUCCCAACGAACACGUUACUGCCUACACGUGCGCGGUGAAGGGAAAUGACAUAAAGGACGAUGAGAUCAAAUCUGUCUUAUUGAAGAAGUUCGGGGAAACUCUCUCGAAGGGGGCUAUAAUGUGGUAUCACAUCCUAGCUCCCAACCCCAUAGACUCGUUCGCCAUGAUGGUAGACUCCUUCAUAUAGGCACACGCCGGUGCCAUCAAAGUAGCAACGAGGAAAUCUGACAUGUUCAAGAUAAAGCAGAAGGAGAAUGAAAUGCUUCGAGAGUUUUUAUCCCACUUCCAAACAGAACGAAUGGAACUACCAUCGAUAUCCGACGACUGGGCAGAUCAGGACUUCACCUAAGGCAUGAAUGAGCAGAGCUCAGUGUCCUUAAGACAGAUGAAAGGGAACUUGAUUAAAUAUCCCGAUGUGACCUGGUCGGACGUCCACAACCGAUACUAGUCAAAGAUCAUGGUCGAGGAUGACCAACUGGGAGGCCCCUCAGGCUUAGUAUAUCCAAGCAGGCUCUUAGCAAAGGAGUAAAAAAGACAGAGAAAGGUAUCGACUAUACCCAAAGAUAAGAGGAAUGCCCCUAGACGCAACCCGCAUCGCAAUGAUCAAUUAGUGAACGAAGGACAGAAUCCUCGGGGGCUCAUUGAUAGAAUCAGAUUUGAUAAAAAUGUGGGGCCAACUGAGGCACCUGGCUCGUCAAAAUAUAACUUCAACGUUGUUGUAUCGGCAUCGUGUUUGCCAUCAGCAAAAUUAGGGAUGCCAAAUGGCCUAGGCCUAUGCAGUCGGAUCCUUCACAAAGGAACUAUUACUUAGUAUUCGAGUUCCACAACACGCAUGAACACAAAAUCGAGGAUGUCGGCAACUCCGGGGGGAAGUGGCCCGGCUACUAGACAACGGUCACCUUUGGGAAUUCCUCAGCGAUCGAGCUAACCAGUCCCAAGAAAGAAAAACAACCAAAUGGAACAAAGGGGACGAACCGCAACAUGUUAUCCACACGAUAAUUUACGACACACCUUCAGUUGUAUUCAAAUAAAUGACCACAUUGCGUCUACUAAACAAAUGCCAGAAUCUAAAAGCGCCAUAGCCACUAAGGUAUAAUCAUCUCCCCUUUUAUAUUUUUUAUUUUAUGAUAACUUUUGUGCAGGCUCACCUAACCAAAGCAGUCGAGAUGUCGAUCCAGCUCGAAGACCUUAAGGUUUUGAAGCGCCCGUUGCACUAUUUUUUCCUUCGAUCGAGUUAUUAUCCCGAAGAGGAUUUUUCCGACAAGGUUUUUAAUAAGGCAACACCCACACACUACUUAAAGAAGACUCAACUAGUGUUCGACGCUUCCUUUGCAAUCAACCCCGAAUAUUGGAGGGCAUCCCCCAGGGUCCCAAUGGUAAAGUGAUGUAUCGGGCCAAACGGUCGAACGAACUGUGCCUAUAUAGUCAAAUCCACGACAACAAGAUUAUGUAUACUUGUGCUAAGUAAUCAAAGAAUAUCGUUUCCUAAAGCAUCGCAUACUCCAAAGGAAACUUAGAAUUUUUGCAAUAAAGAUCUCUCCAUCACGAACACCCGGAAUACUCGGAGACUGCAUCAAUAACUUGGCACCCGCAUGAAAUCAAGGUAGGAAUCUCCAAAAUCAUAAGCCCUUACUACAUGCAUAAACUCGAUCCCAAAGUUUAGGCUAUAUAUCUCAUUCGAAAGAUUCCUAAAAAGGCAUACCCUCGAUAUGGACACCUAAACUACUACACUAGCAAACAAAAAGGGCUCAGGCCAAACAUAAAUGACUAUGGUCAUACGACUGUACCAGCCAAACUAAUGCGACUUGGGGACGCCCCACCGUCUCUGCAAACUCAUAGGCUAUUACUUCGAAUCUACUUCGUAAAGAAAAGGUUAAGUAGGCUACCAUCGAUAGGCAAAAGAGCUUUGACCAUGUCAGCUCCAAAUCACAAGGCUUCGAGCUACUCAGCCUACGAGCCAAACAUUAUGAGGGGCUCGAACAUCUCUGCAAACGACUUGAAAUUGAGGCUCUUCUCGAACGCACGAAGGGUCAGGAAAAAUCAUUUCAAAAGUCCUUAACGAGAGGAAAUAAAGCCUACAUUAAAAGGUUGUUUUGACCCAAAGUAUAAGAGCUAUUGUCGCCAGUUUACAUAAAAGGCCGCAUCGGCUUAAAGCGUAAGAGCCAUUGUUGCCAGCUCAUUUGAUACCUUGAGGGUCAAUUGAGCUCGAGUCGUAAAUCGAUUCGGAGACAAAACACUAAAUAAUUAACUACAUUUGCCUAAGGGAAAAGCAUAAAAGCUAUUAUCGCCAGCCCAACGAGCCUCAAGGCCAAGCAUAUAGAAGCUCAUUUCGACCCAAGGGAUAAGAGCCAUUGUCGCUAGCCCACACAAAUACAAAACUUGAGGGUUGAUUGAGCUCGAAGUAGAAAGAAAAUCUUUAUACACUAUUAUCAUCCAAUAAAUUCACUGUAACACUACGAACAAUCAGACUUCUAUCUUGCUUACCUGCCUGACGUGUAGACCUAAUAAGAUAAAAAAAAAUAAUAUGCUUGACUAGAGCUCUUCUCCUCCCCUAUAAAAAAUCAGUCGAAACCCAACUUGAAGACUGAACCCAAAAUAGUUAAAAUACAAAUGCCCAAGGUCAAAGCAUAUUAGCCCUUGUUGCAACCCUAAUGAGCCUCAGGGACGUAUCACAAAUCUAAGAUUUCCUACUAGCUCAAUGGCUGAAUCGACCUAGUUAGAAUCUUGACAAACAGAAACACAGAAGAUACAAAUUACGGGGUUUCCCCCUUAUACAUACAGGUGAUAAAAUACAAGAUCUAUUUGCAACAUACCAUGAAAUCUAUAUACACAAGAACAAAAAGGAAAUAAACGCCCCCUCAAGGACUAGGCCCGGCAACCCCUUCCUCGCCAUCUUUAGAAUCAGACAAAAGGAGCUUGGCAUCACACUCCUCCCCCUUGGCUUGGUCGAUCUCUUCUGAGAGAUCAAAGCCUUUGGCAUGAAUCUCCUUGAGAAUUUCCCUCCGAGAUUUGAAUUUCGCAUACUCCUUGCCACAGCUCAGACGAUCAAGGGCUCUCUUUAGAUUAGUUUUAGCAACAACAGCACUCCUCAAAUAGGCCACCGCUUUUUGGUCCACCCUGGUGCUGCUCAUCACGACCUCAGCUCGGACAUUCGCCACUUCAGCCUUCGCCUUCGAGAGCUCAGACGAGAGACUUUCGACCAUAUUUACACGUGUAGACUCAUUCGCACGAAUGGUCCGGAUUUGUACCUCUAGAGUAGAAACCAUGGCUAGAACACUCUCUUUGGCAGCAACACGGGUUUCAACAUGCACUUGCAACUCGUUAAACUCACAUUUGACUCAACCAAUUUUGCCCCAAGUCUCUCCCAGCUCCUCCUCUUUGCUCUCCAACUGAAAUAUCGAAACAUUAAUCCGCAAAGGUGAAAGGGGAGUGCAAGCUAGCAUGAAAUGCAUGAUACUUGUCUUUCGAGGUAGCUCUCGCAGCUCCGGCUCUGAUUUACCAUAGCCCACAAGGAAACCAACUCACUUUCCUUUUCCGCACAAAGAAGCUUAAGGGAUUUUUCCCUAUCUAAAGCCUCCCACAACAGGCUAUUACAACGAAGCAACCCAGAUUUGAGCCUAUCAAAGCCCUAUAAAAGAAAAUUAAAUGAAAAAGGAAGAGCACGGGACCCGAAUAAUCUUAUGACAGUCGCCAAAAUUUACCAUUAGGCCGAGCUGUUGAACCUCACCAAAGGCCGAGCCAAUAUAUAAUGCCUUACUAUCCUCCAAAGAUGGCUGAUCGGUCGAGUUUCCUCUUUUUAACCGCUGAGAAAGAGUCGCCCCACUGCAAGCCCCUUCACACCCCGGGGCCCUUUCCGUUUAUCAUCGACCCUAGAUAUUGAGGUCGGCAAUCUCUCCUCCCUCCCCAAAGGACGCAGACUUAUUUUGAAAAAAUCUUAGAUACCUAUGGCGGCUAAGUUAAUAUGCUGAAAAGAAAAGCAUCAUUUUCGGGAAACAAGCCACCAAACACCUACCAUGAUGUUUCGCCUCCCACCUCCCCUUGGACAGAUCUCACCACUGGCACUUAUCAUAAAUUGAGAAAGUUGCAAGCUUACAAGACCACUCGACCAAAUCAGGGACCUCUUUCGGCAACCAAUGAGUUGCUAAAAAAAUAGAAUGGAAAGAUAUCACUACAGAGCCCGCCUCCGGUCAAAACAAUUAAAAUUCAGGUGAGACACUUACGCGUGAAGUUCCAUUUCUUAGGAAAAGAUAGAAACUCUCUAGGAAUGAUUUCGUUUGUUCGAACUCAAACGAAUUAAUUCAUCCAUCCACUGUCCUCUUCCUCUUUGCUAUUAAUGGCUGGGACUCGGGUGGACUGACGCUACAGAGCGAUCAAACCCCAAUAGCGCAGUGGAUGAUAUAACCUCACAAGAUGGCUGAGGGUAAACUCAAUCCCGGCCUUAUUGGUGAAAUACCUUAUCGGCUACACUAUUUUCAAAAGGAAGGGGUGAGCCUACGCCAAGGUAACCCGAUAUUCUCAAUAGAAAUAAAACACGACCCGAUCGGGGGACCCGACAUGAAAAUACAUAUGUAUAUGCUUAGAAACCCCUCGACAUAGGUCAUGAUGCUCUCCUCGGAAGAAGGUACUUGUAGUACCACACCUUUUUCCCAUCCACAAUCUUUUCUGAUUAUUUUGAGGUUUUCCUCUCCCAUUGAUGUGAUGAUCCUUGACACGUGCUCCCGGUGACCUGGAACAUUGGGGGACCUCCCUAGUGUGAUGGAUCUCCUUGAGGCAAGGAACCUCGAGGCCCGCUCACCGGGCACCAACGGUGUGCCAUUGAUCGAAUGCGGAGCAUAGAAAGAAUUCCCCUCUCCUUGGUGGUUGAACGUCGACGUAGCAUCAUGGAUACGAUAGAAUAAGAAGGGAAAGAUAUAGAUUUGGGAAAAGAAUUUGAGUUGAAAUGGUGGAAGAACCAGCACAAAACGCCAGAUUCUGUGGAAGAAAUAGUCCCUCAAUGGAGCAGAAUCACCAAUGGAGAGGCAAGUGAAUGAAUAUAUAGGGGAAAAGCAGCAACUGCCCGCCUACCCAGAAGGCUAAUUAAUUCUGGUCGCAUUAAUAUCACCCUCCCCUAGGGAAAUGUACUGGCAGAAUUGCCUUGGGGCCCCUUUACCAGAUUGAUAGAAUGUCUCUACCCUGUGAAAUCUGAGAAGAUGCGAGGCCUUGAGGGCUCCUCUAUAUCGCUGGUAUCGGCCCUACAAGAACUGUCGAUUUAACUUCGGGGCAGGACCGGAUUUAAGGGUUUUGAUUGCUCCAAGAAUAGUUUUUGAAAGCUUACGUCAAAAGUUGAAGGUCUGCGAAAGCAAAAGAACGGAAAAACUGAAAGAAGAAACCCCCCAUCCCCCUUUUUUACAUUGCCAAAAACAUAUCUACACGAGACAACUUUACAAGAUUCAUCCAUCGGGGAUUGCAUACAAAAGAAAAAAGAAAGAAAGAAAAACAACAUGAGGCCUACUCCUCAUCACCACUAUCUUCGCCCUUAUUUGGGGCAAUCAAAAGCACCAACUCUCUCUCUCUCUGACUCGCGGGCCUCCUCAAGAUCAACUGACAGAUCGGCGCCCCUGGCCUCAAUUUUCUCCAGGGUAUCCCUCCUCACCUCUGCCCUAGCAUGAUUAAUAGCCCAAGCUAGUUUCUGCUCGGCUGCUAUCGAUAUGUUACGAGCUAUUUGAUGCACUAUGGCUGCAUCCUCCAGGUAAGUAGCAACAUUUCUUUCAAUCCCAGACUUGGCCGUAACCAAUGCAACAAUCUCCUUGUGAGGAUCCUUGAGAAAAUCAUGGGAUAACGCCAACUCUGCAGUAGCUACCUCACUUUGUUUCCUUAGCCCCAAGAUCACCACGUUGACUCAACUAAUCUACGAGUCAUUUUUCUCGACAUACAAAAGUAAGACAAGACAAUCUAUGUAGAAAUAUGGGAGCAAAGGUCGGGUACGAGUAGGGCGAAAUACCUACGCAGUAAGAUCAGCCUUUUCCCGGAACACUCACUCCAAAGCAGCCCGAAGCUCUCUUGAUUCUUUCUCUUGUCGGGCAGAGUGAGCCUCUGACUCCCUCGGCAUUGAGGUAAGCUUCUUAAUCUCCUUUUCACGAUAUGAAAGCUCCUCAUAGAGCUGAGAGAGGCAUGAUCAUACAUAUUCUUACACUACAGUAUAGCAAAAUAGUUAAAAAUGAAGAAUAAUGCCUGAGACUAAAAGAAAUAUACGAAAUACAGCUAACCUACUGUAGGAAGCUCUCUGCCGCCUUGACGGUACCAGGAACGUCAAGACUGAUGUUAUUUUCAAACAUUGUCAAAGAUAUUAGCAAGUAAUCCUCCGCCUUAAAGAGGAAUCCCUGCUUUGGCGGCAUUCACAUCUUGAGCAUCCCUCAGUUCCCUUGACGAGAUCUGAAAGCAUGAUAUGAAAUCGCUUAUGUCACCGAUUUCCCAAGGGGCAAUCCCUUCUCCUGAAAAGCUCCAGGCCCCGACCCUGCAGGAUCAAUAGCAACGGCCCCCCAAAUAAAAACUGCGCCAAACCCGGUCAUGUGAUCUGAGGCGAUAUUAACACCGUCCUCAAGGGUCAUCGAUCUACGAGACCGACCUGAGUCGGUCGUUCAAGACUCAGCAGCCUUCGGUCGAGGCACCUACGAGGCUCCCGCAUUCAACCUUAUCCUCCAUGCUAACUGACACUCAUCGUCAUCCUCCGUGCUAACUGGCACUCAUCGUCAUCCUCAGCACCGGGAUUUGUCCCUGAAGUUGAAGUCGAGGUACUCGUAGCGGAUCGAUGCUCGAGUGACUUGGGUUUCUUUAUCACAAGAGGAUCAAGAGUUGCCUUACCUUCCUUUUUCUUGCCCUUGCCAGGCUCUGAAGCCUUCAUUUCGCCACCAGGGGGCGGCCUCAUCUGCAUAUUCUCACCGAGGCCGGCACAAGUGCGAUAACUAUAAUUUGUUAGCACAAAGGACACAUGGGUAAACACAAUCUAAGGCAUAUACGGUAAAGAAGCUCUUCCAUGAUUCUUGGUCACCCAUCGCUCCUUGUCCAAGUCAGUCCAAGAUCGAACAAGAUACGGGAAUGCGGUGUCUAACCAUUUGACCCACCCUGGCAAAUUUGAAAUAGCCUCAAGGUACCAAGCGGUGACUAUAAGAAACACAAAGAGGUCAUUAUUCCGAGGGAAAGGGGAGAAAAUUAUAAAACGUGGUUGAGAGAAAAUCGCUUACGCUGUGUGUUCCAUUUCUCUGGGAAAGGCAUCCUCCAGGCUGGAAUGAUGCCCCAGGUCCUUACCCAGACGAACAUGCUCAUCCACCCUCAAUCAUUCCCCUUGUCGGUGCUCAAGAAAAAUGAUAUUUUGGAUCGUUGGUGAAGCUUGAUCAAACCUCAAAAAAAUUGAGGGAUGUACAAGCUAAUCAAAUAGUCAAUGGUAAAGGUCUCGUCCGUAACCCUUUCAGUAAAAUGGCGGAGCAUCAAUACUAUCCUCUAGAAAGAAGGAUAGAUCUGACCGAGCGUCACUUGAUAUUUGUCACAAAAAUCAAGGAUAAUUGGAUCUCUCUUCAAGGGAGAGGAUUCAGAGGAAUCAUCAGGACCCAAGGUGAACGAGUAGGUAUACACAUGAAGGAAGUCGGCCUUGUAGUCCGUUAUAUUUUCAUCAAGGCUAGGAAUCUCUACCUCCACUGCCUCGUUCCAACAGUAGUCUGUCCGUACUGUUUCUAUGUCGGUCACGACACUAAUAUAUCGGUACACAUAUUCACAUCGGCUCGGUGUGGAUGAAGUGGUAUCGAUGUUAAAGUCCUUUGACAUAUCAAGCUUGAAGGGAGUGCACUAUUCCAAGGUGGAUAUUGCUUUGGGUUUCUCCUUCGAAGAUAGAGAUGAAGAUGUAACUUCAUUCCGCUGAGGAACCCUUCUAGAAGUCCUGGCCAUAGCAAUGGUAAUAUUUUCUCUAAGAAAGUAAGAUAGAAAAGUGUAAAAGAAUAUGGGCCUGGACUCGUGAAUUUGAAGAUGUUGUGAAAAUAAGGAUUAUCUAAUAGUCGAUAUAUUUAUAGGAAUCGCUUGGGCAGUGGAAAGGAUGAGCCAAUAGUAGUUCGUGGGUUCCUUUAUAAUAGUAUUUGACAGUGACCCUUACACAGCAUUCUGGGGCAUGGAAUUUAAUUCUCCAAUAGGUUGAUGUCAUGGCAAUGAUUCCCUUAGAACGGCGGCUCAAAAUCGUUUCCUAUUACUUCGUUCUAGGAAACAUGGAGACUAUCUGUAUAUGGCGAAAUAAGAGAGUCCAAUUUCUCGUCAUUAAGGCAUUUUAGGGAAUCAUAUCGAGACCUCGAGGCUGCAAAGUUGCGGUUGAGUUCCUUCCCUCGAAGCCCACAUGCACCCGACCUAAUGACGAUGCCAGGGUUGGGAGUUCCCUAGGCGUGCAUCUAGCACUGGCAGACCCUGGUGUCAUCUAUUUGUCCCAUCCCCUUAUCUUCUUAAUUAAUGUUUUUGUACUAUAUUGGGUUUUCCCUUCUAUAUAAAGGGGAUCCUUACCAUUUUGUAAACAACUGUUGUUGCUCCAACUAUUCUACACGAAAUAUACAAGAACUCUCUCUCUCUUUUCUCUCUAACUUAUUCUCUCAAUAUUAUUUUUCUUAUUUAUUGUCUUCAUUUAUUUCUUAUCAUUGGCCAUAAAGAUCCUUCCUUAAUUAUAUCCUAACUGUUAGCCCUUCCCCGAGUAUCGUAAUAGCUCAGGCCCGAGCCUAGGAAUCAGCCUCGAGGGCCCGUAUCGAUUAGUCCGAGACCCCAAAUAGCUAACUCUUCAGUUCAACUAUAGCUUUAUUUUAGCUCGCAUUUCAUUCUAAACUUCAUAUAAAUAGCAUCAACUGCUUAACAACUAGAAUAAAAAUAGAUCACGUAUUUUUAGAAUCCCAUCAACAAAUUUAAUUAUUUUUACCAUUUUCAUGGUAAACAAGGACCAAAAAAUUUAUAUCGAAGAUAUGGAGGCAAUAGCUUCAACUCCAAGAUAGGAGGCUCCUCUAUUGAGGGCUUUGUUGAAGGAGUUGUCCUAUUUUCAAGAUCCAAGGACAAUUGGGGCUCAUAAAUGUAGGACCCUAUUCCUUGUAGUGAGUUCACACAUUCCAUGAAGAUAUUCAUCUCGUCAUCAUCAAAGUUGAGCAAGAAGACCUCCAAUGUAUCAUCAACAUUCAUCACAACACUUGUUUCAUUUACAAUCACGUCAGUCACCAACUCCAUGAAAGAACAUUCCUAUUUUCUAUUGGGUUGCCGUAUGGACUUACACACAUGGAAAAUAACUUUUUCAUCACCAACCCAUAAGGUAAUUUCUCUGGUGUCAACAUUAACUAGAGCCUUCCCUAUAGCAAAGAAAUGUGUACCAAGAAUAAUCGGCACCUCAAAAUUAACUUCUCAAUCAAGAAUGAUAAAAUUCUUUGGAAGAAUGAAUUUAUCAACAAAAACCAAUACAUCUUCAAUCACUCUCAAUGUUCUCUUCAUGGUACAAUCAACCAUUUUUAAUCUCAUAGAUAUGGGUCAUGGUUUCCCAAUUCCCAAAGUCUUGAAAAUUGAAAUUAAUACUUUCCCCAAGAUCACAAAGAGCUUUUGCAAACACGGCAAUUCCAAUUGUACAAGGAUUCUUGAAAGCGUCGGGAUCCCCCAACAUUGGAGCUAUUGAAUUCAUAAUUGCAUUCACUUGAUGAGUCAUCUUUAUAGUUUCAAAAUUCACCUAUCGCUUCUUUGUCGCCAAAUCCUUCAUAAACAUUGCAGAACCGGGAAUUUGCUCCAAUGCUUCAACCAAUGGCACAUUUAUGUAUAGACUCUUCAUCAUGUCAAUGAACUUUUUGACUUUAUUCUCGCCAUUUUUCUUGGCAAGCCUUUGAGGAUAUGCAGGAGGAGGCCUAGACAUUGGUGCCUUAGCCUUUUGCACUACUAGUUUCGGUAUGCCAACAAUGUGAUCCCUAGACAAGUUCACUUCCUCUUGAGUCUCCUCCACAUUUUCAUCACUAUUAAUUUGUACUUCAUCAUUGCUUGCACCAUAUUGUCUGGGCUCUCAUCUUCUAGUACCACUUUCUCAUCAUCCAUAAGUUUCCUUUGAUUUGAGGUGGGUGCAUCCCCACCUUUUUCACUCCUUGUAGUAACGGCCAUCGCAUGUCUCGUGUUAUUUCCACCCUUUAGGUUCACCACCGUGUCACUUGGUAGUGCUCCAGUAGGACGAGUGGUGAGGACUUGAGAGAUUUGCCCCAUUUGGACUUCCAAGUUUUGGAUGGAUGUAUUGUGAUCGGAAAGUUUGUCAUCGGAAUCGAUAUUAUUUUCCAUCAUUUGUUUAAACAUGUUCUCAAUUCGUCCCAUCUCAUUGUUGGACGAACUUGGACCAUGGGAAGGAUAAGUAGGCGGGUUGCUCAGUUGUUGAUACAAUGGGGGCCUUUGAAAACCCGACCCCCGAUUACCUUGAUUAUUGUUCCAUCACCCUUAGUUUUUGCCUCCCCAAUAUCCUUGGUUGUUGCCACUACAAUUGCCUUGGUUAUUUCCACCAUUCCAAUUCCCUUGGUUGUUACUACCAUUUCAAUUACCUGAGUGGUUAGAAUUUUCAAUUACCUUAAUUACCUUGAGGUCGCCAUUGUUGUUGAUUUGGGCCUUGAGAGUUGUUUCUUUCCCCUUAAAAGUUAUUCAAGUAUUGUACUUCCUCCUCUUGUUCAUUGUAAGAUUCAUCUUGAACAAACCCACUAUCUUCUUGCACCUAAUUCACCACACGCUUUUGUACUUGUGGACCCUUUCGCCUUCUUUUGUUCACCAUCAUGUUAACUCCCUCCAUAGCAUUGACUUGCUUAGGAUUUUGCACUUGUUGAAGUUGAGCUUUGGAUAACUGGUUCAUUGUGGUGGUCAACUCGGCAAUGGCUUGCCCAUGAUUAUGAAAUUCUUUAUGCAGGUGAAUCAUGUUCGGAUCACUAACGUUUACUCUACUUUGCCAUGCCAAUUAAGUAUCCGCCAUUUCACCUAGGAUCUCACAAGCUUCUGCAUAUAGCGUUCUCAUGAAAUUACCACCAACGAGUUGGUUGACCGUACAUUGAUUGGUAAUGUUGAUCCACCGAUAAAUAGUUUGAUCAUAGCCUCCGCCAUGUAAUUAUUGGGGGAUUAUUUGUCGGUACCUCUCCUAUAUUUCAUGCAAUGUCUCAUCAGGUUCUUAUUUGAAUGCUAGAAUCUCAUCUCUAAGAGUAGCCAUAUAGAUGGGAGAAAAGAACUUAAAAGUAAAUUUCUCCACCAAUUCAUCCCAUGUGUGGAUGGAAUGGUUUGGCAAUAUUUCUAGCCAAUCCAAGGUUUUCCCCCAUAGAGAGAAAGGAGAUAGACUCAACCUUAAAGCAUCCUCGGAGAGUUUACUGUUUACUCCCCAACAAUUGUCCACAAAUCUCUUCAAGUGUUUGUAUGUAUUUUGACUCGGAGACCUGCUAAGAAUCCUUGUUGCUCUAGCAGUGUGAGCAUUACAUUCGUAAUUUGAAAGUUGGCUGCCUAAUGCUGGGCGGGACAAUAGCACUUGCAUACCCUUCAUUCGGCAACAUCCGAUGUGGAGCCGCUCUUGAUGGAGGUAGGGGUGAAAUUGGGACGUUGUCUUGAGGCCCCGACCUCUUCUAUUUUAUUGAGGUUCAAGAGGAACCUCUUCAACUUGGUCAUCUUCAAUGUCCACAUUCCCCAAAGGCAUGUUUCUGAGUUGAUCAUUGUUGUUUUCUAUUUUGGUACCUACAAUUGUUUCACAAAAAAGAUUAGUAAUACAGAAGGAAAAGAAGUCAAUUCAUACACCAAACCAAAUAUAUAGCUAAAUCCUUUUUAGCUCCCCGAUAACGACGCCAUAAUUUGAUCACGUCCAAAUGCACGCCUCUAAGGAGGUAUAAAAUAGUCAUUUGCAAUAAUAUAACUCAACAAGGAGUCGGGAUCAAAUCCAUAGUGAGUUGAGAUGAGAAUUAGCAGUAUAUAUUCUGAGUGAGUAUGUGAAGUAUCUAUAUUUCACUUUCACAAAUAGGGUUUUGUUUUUACUUUUAAAAUUAAGCUAAGGGUUGCAAUUCUAAAGGUAUAAACCUAGACAUGAUUGUUUUUGAGUAUUUUUCAAAGAUAUAAAAAGGCCUAGGGUUGUGACCAUGACCUAGGCGUUUGCCUAAUGGAAUAAAGACUUUUAUAUUGUUUUGUUGAUUGGGAGGGUAUUAUAGCUCACAACACUACGUUUCCCACUCAAUACUUCUCGGUCAGAGAGUAGCUUUGCCCAAUUUGGCUUUCUCAAGUCCAAAUGAGUAUCUACCAAAACGGUUGAUAAAAGCUCAAGUCAGGUUGUUACUAUCUCUAGAUUGAACCCUUUAACUAAGUUAAUCAAUCUCUCAAUUGACCCAAUUCCUUGUUAGAUAAGUUAACCUACACUAAAUUUAUCUUUAUUAAGAAGAGACUAAGUCAAAUUGGCAUAAAUCAGUAUUUGCAACCAUCAAUUUGACAUUUGAAGCAUAAGACUAGCUAAAUAAUACACCCAUUCAUAAACAAGCAUAACAUUAAUCACCCAUAAGGUACACACUAGGUAUGGGUCACAACCCUAGUAAAAAUCUAGCUACUCAUAGUGGGCAUAGAAGAAAGAAAAAAAGAUAAUAAAACUCAUAUUGAAAGCUUAAAAUAUAAAAACCCAAUGUUAAAUUACCAAAAUAAGCUAAAUUUUCCUAAAGAAGAAAGAAGAAACAACUACGAUACUUUAAAUAUUCAAAACUUGACCUAAUUUUGUGAAACUAUUAUAUUUAUACAAAGCUGAAAAUUUCAGAUAAAAAUGUCAUUUCGGAGGUUCUGCGGUCGCACAAUUCCAUGUGCGGUCUGCACAUUGCUCAACUUCACAGGAUUGCAUCUUUGUGGCUGCAUAAUUCUAAACUGCGGCCGCAUUUCUCAUAUUCUGUGGCCCACACAUUUUUGGGUGCGGCUGCAUAAGGUUCUUCUACGAACCGCAUAAAUUUGAGUGCCACCACAUAGCUGACUUCUGUGAUUGCAUAAUAAUUGUAUCGUCCGCACUUCCUUUGAACUCAAUAUGCAAACUCUCUGAACUUCUUAUCUUGCUUAGCUUCUGCGAACACACAUUUCAUUGUGAGGACUGCACUUUGCACUUGGACUCUGAUAAAUUUUCAUUGUGAGGACUGCACUUUGCACUUGGACUCAUAUAAAUUUUCCUUCACAAUCUGUGGUUGUAGAUGGAAAUCUGUGGUCCAUACCUUGAGUUUUUGUGCCUAAUUUUGUCUUUGAGUUCAGAUUACUCCUUCUUGAGUUGGAUUUCAUCUUAGUAGCUCAUUUCCAAUACUCCUCCAAUUAAGCAUAUUUCAUCAGUUUUGCGGAAUAUAAUUAAAUACUUUUGGACUAAAACUAAAGCAAAAAAGUAAUCAGAACCCCAUUUAUCAUGGGGCAGUGGCAUCAGGGGGUAGCAGGGUGGGUGGUGACGAAAAUAAAACUGAAAUCUGAACAAAAAAAAAAUUUUUGGAGAGAGGGGAUGGGAUAGGUAUGGUAGGGAGAUAAGGGGGCUGGGUUGAGAUUAGAUGUGAGGGUAGAUGGAAUUUUUGGUUAAUAUUUUUCUAACUUUUGCUAGGGAAAUCAUUUUUCUUCAAUUUAAGGAAAAUGUGAUAUCUAGGAAAAACAAAUUCAAACUAUUUUGUUCAACCAAAUAAUAGAAAGUGGGAAAUAUUUUUCAUCAUUCCAAACACACCCUAUAUAUAUACUCGAUGAAUAAAACUUAAUUUUCCACAUACCUUCAAUCACCCAAUAAUCCUCAAAGCAAGUGGAGCAAUUAAAAUUAGAAAAAAAAUAUAUAAAUUGUAUGUUGUACUUAUUGAAAAAGUAGUCAUACACUUUAACUUUACAGCUUGUUUGGAUAUUGUUUACCUAUUUUAUUGUAUCGUAUUGUUACUUUAAAUAUGAUAUUAUUUUAAUUGUUACUUAAAUUUUAUUGUAUUAUAUUAUUAAUUCUGUCGUAAUAUAACGUCGCAAUGUGUCACUUAAUGUAACAAUCAAUUUGGUGUGGUCGCAUCGUUAUCUUGUCUUUUUCUCUCAUCUCACCCUUAAUUAUUAUUAAAUAAUUUUAUUUUAUCAUUUACCCUACCUUUUAUAUAAUAAAUUUACUAUGUAUCAUAAUUUUUUCUUAUAAUAUUGUAAGUUAUUUUUUAUAUUACUAGUGUAUGAUAUCAUGAAAUAAUGGUAAAUGAUACAAUCUAUUCAAACAUUGUAUUCAUCAAACGAUAUAAUAUAAUAUGAUAUAAUAUUAUACAAUACGAUAUAUUAUAAAAUAAUAUGUAGCAACCAUCCAAACAAGCUGUUAUGGGCUGUCUAUCAUCCAUAUAUUUUUGCUUGAAGUGGAACUAAUAACCCUUUGAAUUAUACAGAACUAGAAAAAUUGUAUAUGGUAUAAAUCACACGGUCCACAUGAAAAAUUCUUGUAAUUAUUUCAUUUUCCCUAUUUCCCUUUUUUUAAAUCCAGAAACGAAUAUUUUUUUUCGUCCAUUUUAUUUAUCAUUACACCAUCAUGUAUCUUGAUUUGGGUGACAACAGCUUUAUUAAAGAUAUCCCAUCGGCAAUCGAGAGCUUGACGGAGUUGGAGAGCUUGUAUAUUUAUUCGAAUUUAUUUAAUGGAAAGUCUCAAUACAACUUUUUUCAUACAUAAUAUUGAUCGGAAAAGAAUCAAAGUUUAGCUUAAUUAGGAUUAGGAUUUUGAAUUUAGUUGUUUCAAUAGAGGACACUUAACUCUGAUCUCUAACUUUUUUUGCUGUUAUUUUGGAGACUUUAAAUUGCGAAGGCUCGAGAGAACGAGCUUGAAGAAGGGGUCACAAUGGAGGAUGAAUUUGAAAGAUGUCAUAAUUUUUGAAAGGUAAAUCCCUGAAUUAAGUAUUGAAUGCUUGGUUAAAUGGAAAAAAGGGCAUUCUCUCGUGCCAAAAAAAUUAUUAAAGACUUGCCAUUAUUAUUGAAGCAAAAUUUACUUUGUAAUUAACUCCCUUAUUCUUAUUGUUUAAUUUGUGGUAUCAUUCAUAUUACAAUCAACUUUAGCAUUUAGAGUACUAAAUAUUGCGUUUGAAGUUUUGGGAUGCUGAGAUGGCCAUAGCGAUAAGUCCGUAAGGUGGUGAAACGUUCGAAGAUAUUAUAGUAAUGAUAAAGGUGGUGACCAUGAAAAAGUGAUGGCGGAGCAGAAAAAAGAAAGAGAAAAGUAAAAAGAAAGGGCCUAUAAAAAAUUUAUUUGCCACUAAAACCUCACCAAAUUAGAUAAUUAUAGAUUAAUAAAAAAAAUGCUUAGUUGUAUAAUGUUAAAUUAAAGAAAAUAUGUAUUUUAAAUCUUUUUCUUCACCUUUCACGCGCCUAUAAGAAAGUGAAUUUAUUUUCGUGGUCAUACCACUUUUUAGAAGGGGUGUUAAUUCUAACUCAAGCAAGAAGGGUUGUUACUCGAAAAGUUAAAGUGUAUAACUAUCUUUUUCGAAUAACUACAAGGUGCAAAUUAUAUAUUUUUUCUUACAGUUACCUUCCCUAUUAAGAAAUUGUCAUUGAUCCCUAAAAUAAUUAAUGAAUUAAAUAAAAUACAAGAUUUAACGUUGAAGUCCAGAUGAGAUAGCAGAUAGUUUGGUUUCGGGAGCAGAGCUUCCGGAGACAGUAAUAAUAACUAUAAACGAAAAAUAAAAUGUUAUUGAGCUUAGAAAAAUGUGUAUAGCAUAAGUUUUUUAGAAAAUUCCUUCUCCCUGACAAUGGUUGUUGAACUCACUAUUUAUAGUUGCAGAUAAGGAACAAGGUCCUAAGAUCAAACCUCUCUUAAAUGACAUUAUGGGGGUUGUUGAAGAAUAACGGCAGACUAUGAAUGAUAUAUUCUCUAUAACAGACUAUGUACUUAAUAUUGUCGAAUAUUCUCUAUUGAAUGUUACCGGUUACAUUCAUUUAUUUGUCUUUAAGAGCACCAUUACCUUCGGGGACAACCGAGAUUGCUUCCCUUGAACUCAAUUUUCACCUGCCUCGCUUUCCAUCUGUAUCCGGCUUCAUGUGUCGCUCUAUUGUACAAGAAUUUAAUAUGAACAUAUUUUACCCUAUACAAAUGGUCCUCCUACUUUCCAGUAACACAUCCUUGUGUCAUCGGAAAGUUGGUGAAGAUACCAAUACUUUUCUUGACAUGAAAUUCUCUAUCAUCAUUUGAAAAAAUUCUGACGCUUGAUGAGAUGCACGUCUCUCCAUAUUUAAUUCUCCAAACAUGCGUCAUCCCACGACUCAAUAAUACUUUCACCAGUUCUCGAGGUAAUCAUGGCCAUUAUUUUAUCCACCUCUUCUUUUGCUUACAUGCUUCAAUCUCUUCUUUAUACUUCACACUUUAUCAAACUUUCUAAAAACCUUCUUUACUCUAAACACUCCUCCUUUCAAAUUCCUUUAACAUUCUUCUCUCGAGAAAACCCUUACUUUCUUUUACUAACGAUGGCCUCUUUUUCCAAAAGCUCCAAUUCUCCAGAGAAUAGGGAAAGCACUUAUGAUGAUGCUUCUCUUACAGUGAGAACCAUUAUCCCCAAAAAGCUUUCUACGGCUAAGGACUUCGAAGAGAAGUUUCCUUCCACUAACUCAAGCAGAUACAUUGUUGGUGUAUAUCCUUAUUUCAUCCGUCCUUCUAGCAUACCCGCUUAGAAGGAAGACUGUGAUUGCCAUGAUUUGAACAUCAUUGCUCCUGAACUAGCAGAACGAGUAACCUUCCCGAAGAAGUAUUUUAUGUACGUUUACAGGUAUCCAUUCACUUUGGGCCCGCUUUCAUUGAGCGGGGGACUUGACUCCGUAAUCUUGUAGUUUUGCUUCUGUUACUAAGUCUACCUGGCAGAGAUGAGCUUUUAUGUGUGGUUGACGAUAGCCUAUCGUUGGCGUUUAUGCCAGUAGGAGGAAGAACUCUCCCUGGCUUGACCGAUGAACCUUUAUUCCCCCAAGAUUUUCGUGGGAAAAAAAUAAACUUCAGUAAACGUGGUCACCAUGCUCUGGUCACCAACAUGAAUGAUGACAAUGACUAUGGAUGCAUGGAGUGCUUCUUUGUUCCAUCAGGGACAUCAUCCCGGUAACAACUCCAUCCUUUUGAAUCAUGGAAUCAUACUCGUAAGUUUAAUGCAUGUCCUUAUCUUAUGGUUAAAUGUUGUCCCAUGCUAUCAUUGAUCCUUCUUUUUUCAUUAUUUCACCAACUCGUUGGACUCCACCAAGGGUUGAAGGCUUGGACUAGUGGGUCUAGAAGUUUUUGGACGUCACUGCACUUGAAACCCGCCGGAAUAAAGAGAUAUCCCUUAAAUACGUUGGAAAGCUAAAAAUCAUAGUAAGUUGAACUUAUCUUGUUUUAUCUCACGUAUAGGAAAACUAGCUAACUUUUCUUUUUUUUUUUGAAUUCAGGUCUUUCGCAAGGCUCUAUUACCAUCCCCGAGGAGGACGAUUUGGCUGAUCCGACAGAUGCAGUGAGGUUGCUACACGAAUCCUUCACCCGAAUGAGUGUCAUCAGACAUGCUUCUGGUGCAAGUACUUCCUCCUGAAGUCCCCUCUCGGAGAAACAAAAAGACAACAUUCCUCUAUGACCGAGGAUAAAAAUGAAAAGGCAAAGAGCAUCGCAACCGAGCCAGUAGACACUGUGGUGAUCCAUGAUGAUGGAGGAGCGAAUGAUGGGUGGCUUCUCUACAUAGAAGACGACAACCUUCAUCACCUCAAUAGAAUUUUCAAUAUGUUGAGAUGUUACACCAACCGAGGACAAUAUCCAAGCGCUUUGGGAGUGUGAUAUAAUGGAAUAUGCCAACUUCACUUUUAUGUACCAAGUCGCUACUCUAAGAUCCUGAGGUUGGGUACUUUCUUUCUUCAGUUGAUGAGCAACCAAUAACUAUCACUGCUUUUGCUGCAGCAACUUCUUAACCUACAAUGCCAUCAGCUUCAUAUCCUUCUUUUCCAGCCUUGCCUUCAUCACCAGCAAUUGCUACAUCAUCUCCACCGGUUGUAGACGUCUUAGAAGAGGCAGUCCCUCCUUCCCAGUCCCUAGUUUAUGGGAAUUUGGAGCAUAACUAUUCAUCCCCCUUUGUAGAUCCUCAGAGAAGAGGAACGUCUCCCUCUCGGUUUCUACCGAAUGUCAUCUGUUGUCGCGACCGAGAAAGCUCCAAGUGCAAUUUUAGUUUUUUUCUUCAAAAAUUUGAAGUUAUGGUGGUCCAAAAGUUCAAAUGAGAGUAAACAUAGCGUGGGUUGGAAAAUUUUUAAUUGGUAAUUGAAAAUUAGUCAACAAUUGUAAAGUAAUUGAGUAAUAACCAUUAUUAUUCAAUUACUUUGUUCUUUCUUCAUGAGUACAGUAUAAAUAUUAUGGAUAUGAUAUCUUAAAGUUUAACAACAAUAGGUGCAAAUACAAGAUACUUUUUCCUUAAUAUUUACACAACACUUAUAAAGUAAAGGACAUCAUGUCCUUAAUAUUUAUACAACACUCAUGAAGUUAAGGACACAAUAUCCUUAAUAUUUACAAUGUACACAUGCAGUUAAGGACACCAUCCUUAACAUUUAUGCCCCACAUAUGAAGUUAAGGAUAUGAUGUCCUAAAGUUUAACAACAGAAGGUGCGAAUAUAGGAUAUUUUGUCCUUAAUAUGUACAUAACACUCAUGAAGUUAAGGACACCAUAUCCUUUCACAACACUCGUAAAAUUAAGGACAAUAUCUCCAAAUAUAUACGCCGCAUAUAUGAAGUUAAGGACAUGAAGUUCUAAAGUUUAAUAGCAAAAGGUGCUAAUUCAGGAUAAUUUGUCCUUAAUAUUUACACAGCACUCAUGAAGUUGCGGAUAUCAUAUCUAGCAAAGAGAUAUUUUUGUCCAAGAUAAAAAUUUAAUAAAGUACUGAUUAAAAGUAAAUAUAUUUUAAAUAAUAGCUUAAGAAUAUAUACAGCUCUAAUUAGUUGCUAAUUGUGCACUUCUCCCAUAUUAAUGCGAGCCAAAGCCCAAAUUACAGUCUUAUGACAAGACACAUUGUAGGAGUAAGUAUUUAUUUUUGAAAAAAAUAGUGUGGACGCACUUCCAACCAAGACGUUGUGAGUUCGAGUCUCCCCAAGAGCAAGGUGGUAAAUUUUUGGAGGGAAGAAUGCCGGUGGCUCUAUUUGGAAACAGCAUCUCUACUGCGUAUACACUAAUCUCCCCAGACUCGACUAAGUAGGAUUAUUGUUGUUGGUGUAGAGUGUACUAUAGAGACUUGUGGGUAAGGCUGUAUCCGGUUCCAGUUCUGGGUCUAUUUGGGUAAACGGUUCCGGUUCUGGCGGUUCCCGGUUCUGGCGGUUCCGGUNNNNNNNNNNNNNNNNNNNNNNNNNNNNNNNNNNNNNNNNNNNNNNNNNNNNNNNNNNNNNNNNNNNNNNNNNNNNNNNNNNNNNNNNNNNNNNNNNNNNNNNNNNNNNNNNNNNNNNNNNNNNNNNNNNNNNNNNNNNNNNNNNNNNNNNNNNNNNNNNNNNNNNNNNNNNNNNNNNNNNNNNNNNNNNNNNNNNNNNNNNNNNNNNNNNNNNNNNNNNNNNNNNNNNNNNNNNNNNNNNNNNNNNNNNNNNNNNNNNNNNNNNNNNNNNNNNNNNNNNNNNNNNNNNNNNNNNNNNNNNNNNNNNNNNNNNNNNNNNNNNNNNNNNNNNNNNNNNNNNNNNNNNNNNNNNNNNNNNNNNNNNNNNNNNNNNNNNNNNNNNNNNNNNNNNNNNNNNNNNNNNNNNNNNNNNNNNNNNNNNNNNNNNNNNNNNNNNNNNNNNNNNNNNNNNNNNNNNNNNNNNNNNNNNNNNNNNNNNNNNNNNNNNNNNNNNNNNNNNNNNNNNNNNNNNNNNNNNNNNNNNNNNNNNNNNNNNNNNNNNNNNNNNNNNNNNNNNNNNNNNNNNNNNNNNNNNNNNNNNNNNNNNNNNNNNNNNNNNNNNNNNNNNNNNNNNNNNNNNNNNNNNNNNNNNNNNNNNNNNNNNNNNNNNNNNNNNNNNNNNNNNNNNNNNNNNNNNNNNNNNNNNNNNNNNNNNNNNNNNNNNNNNNNNNNNNNNNNNNNNNNNNNNNNNNNNNNNNNNNNNNNNNNNNNNNNNNNNNNNNNNNNNNNNNNNNNNNNNNNNNNNNNNNNNNNNNNNNNNNNNNNNNNNNNNNNNNNNNNNNNNNNNNNNNNNNNNNNNNNNNNNNNNNNNNNNNNNNNNNNNNNNNNNNNNNNNNNNNNNNNNNNNNNNNNNNNNNNNNNNNNNNNNNNNNNNNNNNNNNNNNNNNNNNNNNNNNNNNNNNNNNNNNNNNNNNNNNNNNNNNNNNNNNNNNNNNNNNNNNNNNNNNNNNNNNNNNNNNNNNNNNNNNNNNNNNNNNNNNNNNNNNNNNNNNNNNNNNNNNNNNNNNNNNNNNNNNNNNNNNNNNNNNNNNNNNNNNNNNNNNNNNNNNNNNNNNNNNNNNNNNNNNNNNNNNNNNNNNNNNNNNNNNNNNNNNNNNNNNNNNNNNNNNNNNNNNNNNNNNNNNNNNNNNNNNNNNNNNNNNNNNNNNNNNNNNNNNNNNNNNNNNNNNNNNNNNNNNNNNNNNNNNNNNNNNNNNNNNNNNNNNNNNNNNNNNNNNNNNNNNNNNNNNNNNNNNNNNNNNNNNNNNNNNNNNNNNNNNNNNNNNNNNNNNNNNNNNNNNNNNNNNNNNNNNNNNNNNNNNNNNNNNNNNNNNNNNNNNNNNNNNNNNNNNNNNNNNNNNNNNNNNNNNNNNNNNNNNNNNNNNNNNNNNNNNNNNNNNNNNNNNNNNNNNNNNNNNNNNNNNNNNNNNNNNNNNNNNNNNNNNNNNNNNNNNNNNNNNNNNNNNNNNNNNNNNNNNNNNNNNNNNNNNNNNNNNNNNNNNNNNNNNNNNNNNNNNNNNNNNNNNNNNNNNNNNNNNNNNNNNNNNNNNNNNNNNNNNNNNNNNNNNNNNNNNNNNNNNNNNNNNNNNNNNNNNNNNNNNNNNNNNNNNNNNNNNNNNNNNNNNNNNNNNNNNNNNNNNNNNNNNNNNNNNNNNNNNNNNNNNNNNNNNNNNNNNNNNNNNNNNNNNNNNNNNNNNNNNNNNNNNNNNNNNNNNNNNNNNNNNNNNNNNNNNNNNNNNNNNNNNNNNNNNNNNNNNNNNNNNNNNNNNNNNNNNNNNNNNNNNNNNNNNNNNNNNNNNNNNNNNNNNNNNNNNNNNNNNNNNNNNNNNNNNNNNNNNNNNNNNNNNNNNNNNNNNNNNNNNNNNNNNNNNNNNNNNNNNNNNNNNNNNNNNNNNNNNNNNNNNNNNNNNNNNNNNNNNNNNNNNNNNNNNNNNNNNNNNNNNNNNNNNNNNNNNNNNNNNNNNNNNNNNNNNNNNNNNNNNNNNNNNNNNNNNNNNNNNNNNNNNNNNNNNNNNNNNNNNNNNNNNNNNNNNNNNNNNNNNNNNNNNNNNNNNNNNNNNNNNNNNNNNNNNNNNNNNNNNNNNNNNNNNNNNNNNNNNNNNNNNNNNNNNNNNNNNNNNNNNNNNNNNNNNNNNNNNNNNNNNNNNNNNNNNNNNNNNNNNNNNNNNNNNNNNNNNNNNNNNNNNNNNNNNNNNNNNNNNNNNNNNNNNNNNNNNNNNNNNNNNNNNNNNNNNNNNNNNNNNNNNNNNNNNNNNNNNNNNNNNNNNNNNNNNNNNNNNNNNNNNNNNNNNNNNNNNNNNNNNNNNNNNNNNNNNNNNNNNNNNNNNNNNNNNNNNNNNNNNNNNNNNNNNNNNNNNNNNNNNNNNNNNNNNNNNNNNNNNNNNNNNNNNNNNNNNNNNNNNNNNNNNNNNNNNNNNNNNNNNNNNNNNNNNNNNNNNNNNNNNNNNNNNNNNNNNNNNNNNNNNNNNNNNNNNNNNNNNNNNNNNNNNNNNNNNNNNNNNNNNNNNNNNNNNNNNNNNNNNNNNNNNNNNNNNNNNNNNNNNNNNNNNNNNNNNNNNNNNNNNNNNNNNNNNNNNNNNNNNNNNNNNNNNNNNNNNNNNNNNNNNNNNNNNNNNNNNNNNNNNNNNNNNNNNNNNNNNNNNNNNNNNNNNNNNNNNNNNNNNNNNNNNNNNNNNNNNNNNNNNNNNNNNNNNNNNNNNNNNNNNNNNNNNNNNNNNNNNNNNNNNNNNNNNNNNNNNNNNNNNNNNNNNNNNNNNNNNNNNNNNNNNNNNNNNNNNNNNNNNNNNNNNNNNNNNNNNNNNNNNNNNNNNNNNNNNNNNNNNNNNNNNNNNNNNNNNNNNNNNNNNNNNNNNNNNNNNNNNNNNNNNNNNNNNNNNNNNNNNNNNNNNNNNNNNNNNNNNNNNNNNNNNNNNNNNNNNNNNNNNNNNNNNNNNNNNNNNNNNNNNNNNNNNNNNNNNNNNNNNNNNNNNNNNNNNNNNNNNNNNNNNNNNNNNNNNNNNNNNNNNNNNNNNNNNNNNNNNNNNNNNNNNNNNNNNNNNNNNNNNNNNNNNNNNNNNNNNNNNNNNNNNNNNNNNNNNNNNNNNNNNNNNNNNNNNNNNNNNNNNNNNNNNNNNNNNNNNNNNNNNNNNNNNNNNNNNNNNNNNNNNNNNNNNNNNNNNNNNNNNNNNNNNNNNNNNNNNNNNNNNNNNNNNNNNNNNNNNNNNNNNNNNNNNNNNNNNNNNNNNNNNNNNNNNNNNNNNNNNNNNNNNNNNNNNNNNNNNNNNNNNNNNNNNNNNNNNNNNNNNNNNNNNNNNNNNNNNNNNNNNNNNNNNNNNNNNNNNNNNNNNNNNNNNNNNNNNNNNNNNNNNNNNNNNNNNNNNNNNNNNNNNNNNNNNNNNNNNNNNNNNNNNNNNNNNNNNNNNNNNNNNNNNNNNNNNNNNNNNNNNNNNNNNNNNNNNNNNNNNNNNNNNNNNNNNNNNNNNNNNNNNNNNNNNNNNNNNNNNNNNNNNNNNNNNNNNNNNNNNNNNNNNNNNNNNNNNNNNNNNNNNNNNNNNNNNNNNNNNNNNNNNNNNNNNNNNNNNNNNNNNNNNNNNNNNNNNNNNNNNNNNNNNNNNNNNNNNNNNNNNNNNNNNNNNNNNNNNNNNNNNNNNNNNNNNNNNNNNNNNNNNNNNNNNNNNNNNNNNNNNNNNNNNNNNNNNNNNNNNNNNNNNNNNNNNNNNNNNNNNNNNNNNNNNNNNNNNNNNNNNNNNNNNNNNNNNNNNNNNNNNNNNNNNNNNNNNNNNNNNNNNNNNNNNNNNNNNNNNNNNNNNNNNNNNNNNNNNNAAAAAUAUGGCCGUUGGGAACCGGAUAGAACCGGAACCGGACCGGUUCCGGUGGUUCUAAACGGUUCCAAACGGUUCCGAUAUUAAAAAAAAAAUUUCUUUUUUAAUAUCGGAACUGUUUGGAACCGUUUAGAACCGCCUGAACCGGUCCGGUUCUGGCGGUUCCGGUUCCACGGUUCUAAAAGGUGGAAUCGCAGAACCGGAACCGCGGAAUCGGAACCGUAUAACCGGAACCGUUUAGAACCGCGGUUCCGGUCACGGUUCCGGUUCGGAACCGUUAUUCGUACAGCCUUAGCGCUAUGAUAGAUGUCAUCGACAAACAUUUUAUAUUGGUUCCAAUAAAUUUUCAUAAAAACAUAACAUAGAGAUCUUCACUCAUAUAUUCAGAUACCUGAAUCUCUCAUGAGAUUUUACUUGUGGGAUACUCUUCGUUUUCACUCCCUCUAUAUGUUCUCUCUCUCGAUCGAGACGCUAGUAGCAGUAUUUAGUGUUGAUUUUGACGUCAAAGAGUUAUGGCUUGGCGCAAACGAGCAAAGACUACUCUCUUAGUGCAGAAGCAGUUGAAGGCAACGAUGAUCUUGUAACCAAGAUUCUGCUAUUACUCCCACCAAAACUCCCCUUCACUUUCAAGCUUAUUUCCAAAAGAUGGCCGUCUCUUAUCUCUGAUCCUUGUUUUACUUCCCUCUGGAGCCCUAAACCUUCCUCAAGUGCACUCAUUCUGGAGCCCUCUCUUACCUACGACCUUUGUUACAUUCCCCUCAAAGGUAAGGAAAAAUUUAAGGUUUUUGGCAAAUUCUUUGAUUUUGUCAAAGACGAAUUUGAUAUUAAAUUAUGGAAAAUUUGGAAUUCUUCCGGUGGUUUAGUUCUUUGUGGCUCUUACUAUGGUAGCAAAUACUAUGUGUGUAACCCAACAACAAAGCAAUUCAUUACUCUUCCCAGCCCAAAUAUGUGUCCACUUGACAUGAGGUUGGCUUUUGACCAUUCAAUAUCACCUCAUUACAAAGUUAUUAGCUUUGACAUGUGUCUCCAUAUUGAAAUAUACUCUUCAGAGACAAAUUCCUGGAAGCAAUCGCGAGUUCUGUUUCCGAAACCAUUUAAAAAAUACAUUCAUCGUGCUGGUGGAGUUUUCUUCAAUGGAGCAAUUUUUUGGACAUUCAGUCGGUUAGAUAGCUUUUGCUAUUUUGAUAUUGAUAGGGAAAUUAUCCACACUUAUCCAAUGCCAAAAAUGAAAAAAGAAUACUAUUGUGGAUGUAUACAUGAUCAUUUGUAUCUGCUUGGAACUUCAUUUGGUGAGGGGCAUCAACUUGACAUCUUUGAAUGGGGAAAGGGCUACUCCUCUUGGGGCUUAAAGUAUCGCAUUGAUCUACGUGAACAAAUGACUAUCCCAACAAAUUUUCUGUUAUCUAUAUUACUGCUAUGCUCUUUGUUAUGCAAGCGAAGAGAAUCUGGAACCAUAUUUGGGCAUCUACCACAUCGUCAAGUUAACUUAAUCAGCUUAAAAGAUAGUACUUGCAGCAAGCUACGCUUGUUGCCAUUACAUCCUGUUGAGAAGAUUCCAUCAUGGAGAUCUAUAAGGAAAGUUCAUCAUCUGAUUGAGUAUCCAUUCUUGGUAGGAAGAAACUGAUCGACCAGAAGUUAUACGAGGAAAUGUAUCUGACACUUUUGUUGUUCUAUCUUGUUCAAAAUCAGUCAGAUUUUAGCACUUCAGGGUUUACAAUCUUUGUUUUAAGUCUUCUCUCACUUCUUUUUCUUCUACUGAAGGCUGCAAUAGUAACUUUGUGUCAAGUUAACUUCAUUAGAUGGUUGUCACCUUUUUAUAUUCGUAAAGGUAUCCAUUGAAUAGAAAUAGCUUCUCUGCAAUUUUCAGUCGGUGAUAAUAUAAAUGGUAAUUUGCAAUUGUGCCCCAAGGAAUGAAAUCAAUAUUUGUUUACAACAUUUUUCAUAGAUUAUGCCCGAUUCCCUGACCCAUUAUCAUUCCUUGCCGACUCGAUAGGGAUUGCAAUCUCGAGAGAGGGAGAACAACUGACCUCCUACAAUAGGUAUGUCUCUCAGAAUUCGAUGAGGACAGUCGAAACAAUUGCUCCUGAAAUCUGCCAAAUACCAAUAAGCUCUGACAAGAGGUAAAAGCACUAUCGGAGAAAGAAAUGGUGACCGUUAUCUAAAAACAAAAUCUGUGACAGCCUUCAAGUGUAUUAUACAAAAUUUGAAAUACUUGCAGUAUUAACAACAUUCAAAUACCUCACUUUUUUUGAAUGAGGUGCUCGACUUGUAUUUAUAGAUACCAGGCUUUGUGUGCUCGUAAGUCUUGCCAAUAACAUCACUGGAAAAAUAUCUGCUUCGCUGAUAGAAUGAGUGUAGUUGCCCUUUUUAUUGAUCUCUGUGAUAUAAAGUUUAGAAACCACUUGAUAGAAUUUAUUAGAUCUCUGCUGGAAUGACUAUGCUGUAAUCUUUGAAGUUGUACUGCUGUUGAGCACCAUCUUAGUCUAGUGGCUUCUGAUUUCAAUAAAAUUUGUACUAUAUUAAAAAAAUAGGCUUAUCAAUUUAGAAACCACUUGAGUUUCCUACAAUGUCCUUACUAAGUAGGCCAGUUGUCAGGGCAAUAAAAUACAUGGCAGCUCGUAAUAGUAUAUCUUCAACUCUACCAACUCAGAUGAGGAAGUGAUGAUUGUGCAGCAACAAACCAUAAGGGGGAACUGAGAGCCGUGAAGCCCGAUACUUUUGCAACAGUGAUUAAGUUGUCUACUAUAUAUUGGUUAAGGGUUUGCAAGCCAUGGCAAGCACGAAUUUAUUGAGACAAGCUAAAGGGUAAUUGGUAACUUUGCUGCCUCAUAGCAUAGUUUUCGGCUUCACAAGUCUGUAUGGAUGCUUGUUCUUAUAUGUUACUGAUGAUAUUGCGAUGGUAAGGCACAUUUGCUGCAAUUUAGAGGUUGAAUAGGACAUUUGGAUGAUGCAUUUCGCAGUCAAGACUACUGACAUCUCAAAACAUUCUCUUGUCGUUGAAGUAGCUGCUCAUUUUUUUAGAUUACACUCAUCUAGUGCAAGUGUAUUAUUGGAUAUUUCUAUUGUUGAAGCAGGGGUGCUAACGCAAGGCCUGCAGCCACGACAAUUCAACAAAAGCACUGAAUCUCACCCUUCUGGACCUCGUGCGAAGAUGACCAGCCAAGGUUGCUUCUCUUUUAUGACCUCAUUUUAGUUCAAUGGAGAGAGUCUGUGUGUGUGUUUAUAUACUACUCAAAUGAUAUUACUAAAGCUGCGUAUUUUUGGUUAAAUUUUUUCCCCGCUUCAUUCUCCUUGGGUUUUUUUGUUAUUCGAGAGUUCUGACCGAAAUUGAGCUCAGCCCUUUACACUUCAUUUUGCUACUGUGGUGGCCACACAUGCUAUACUUAGGAUUGCAUAUAAACGGUUUGUAGCCCAAUUUAUUUCCACUGUAACUCUUGCAAUACGAAGCAGGACUAGAGAAGACAUUGAUUACAGCAUCGUGGAAAAAGGAGAAGAGGACUGAAAUUGAUGUGUAGCCAAUAAAGUUCUUAUGUCACUGGGAAUAGGAGCUGAUUAACUUUGCCUUCGUAGCAUUAAGAGGUUCUAUGGCACUGUCCAACUAUAAGUAUGAGUUUUUCCAAUCUUCAGCUUUGGUUUUAUUGUUUAUUUACAAGUCUUUUCUUUUUCUCGUCGUUUCAACUUCGCCUUAACCGUACUAAAAGGUUGCUUCACUUCUCUGUGAAGGUCUUUGUCGUACUCCCUUUUUCAACUGUUACUUGACAACAAAUCUUAUGGUGAACUCUUUAUUUGUAUUGGUAUCACUUGGUCAUAACGCUUGAUUUAUUAGCUGCUGGUUUUGAAACUUGAGACUUGAAUGCUACUGUAUUAUGAUAAAACUACAUGCUUCCUGUCUCUUGAGUUCUAAUUUGUAGAAUGAUAUCAUAACAUGUGUUACUGAGAUUGUUUUAGGUAUUUAAGUUAUUACAAUUAUUUAUUUCUAGCAUCCAAGGAAAAUACACAUUAAAAAAAAUAUUUGUAUACUUGCUGUACUAACAACAUUUGAAUAUCUCAUAUUUUUGAAAUGAGGUGUUUGUCUUGUUUUUAUAGUACUCAUUUCCUCUGCCAGGAAGGAAUUUUAAAUUCCUAUAAAUUUUUGGUGACACCUCACAAAGUACAAGCAAUAUGGGGAGACAGAUCGAUGCAAUGCAUUGGUGACAUGAGAAAUCACUCAAAACACUAGGUCAGCACUUUCAUCAUACUUUUGCACUAAGUUGCGACAUUGGUUAACAUGCGUUGUCUAUUAUAUAACGACAUUGGUUAAGGUUUUGCAAGACAGAGAGAGAGCACAUGUUUGUCUUUUACGUUAGCCCAUAUUUUGAUUGAGACAAGCUCGUCUAUAUGUACCUGCAUAGUUUUAUGUUUCAGAAAUGUAUCACUGGCAGUUCUUUUCUAUCACAUGCAUAUGCCUCCUCAUGUUGUGUGGGUGCUUAUUUAUGUAUGUUAAAUGGUGUAAUUGUGAUCGUAAAACUAGCUUUCUGAAAUUCAGAGAUGUCGAAUGGGCCAUUUGGAUGAUGCAUUUCACAUCAGGACAUCUCAAAAUAGACUCUUGUUGUGAAAGUAGCACACUCAACAACCGAUAUUACCCUCACCUAGUGCAAGUAUAUAUCAGAUAUUAUUGUUGAAACAGAGCUGCUACUGCAAAAGGCUAGUAGCCACGCUAAUUAUUUUCAAAAAAAUACUGAACUGAGAUCGUUGUGGACCUCUAGCAGGGAUAACUCCAAGGUAGGACUGUGCUAAUGCUCAACCCAAUGAGUUGUUGAUGGCUUUGAUGAUAAUGGGUCAAAGAGAAGUGAUCCAUCUUGGUAGUGUCUUCAGAAGUAGAUGGUUAAUGCCCGAUUGCAUAGCUAGUUUGAUAAUGGGAUCUUCCUGAUUCAAUACCUAUUUGUUUCGGCAAAGAUUUAUUUUUACUUCUUGUUUAAUUUUUAACCAUAGUGCUUUGGAGAUGCUAGUAAAGAUCUGCUGGAGUAGCAGUAGCUUCUGUUUUAUGACCCCAUUUUAGUUCAACUGAGAAGUGGUAUAAAGAAGAUGUGAGUCGUGUGUAAGCUAUAUGUUUCAGUCGUGAAGUGAGGUCUCUCUAUCAAUGCAAUUUUCUAGAUUACAUAAAGCGCUUCAUCCAGAAUGUACAGCGAUAUUUUCCAACAUCCUCCUCCCAACCCCGAAAGAUUCUCCCAAUUAAAAAGACAUGGGAAGGGAGAUCUUUUAUAUACUUUUGAAUUCUUUGGCACUGUAAUCUCGGGUGUUACCUAGCCAUGAAGCAAAAGUUCAACGACUAGUGGGAGAAAGAAAGCAACAUAUAGUUUACUUGUACAGCUCAUUUACCGUAACUUGUAUCUUAUAUUACUUGCAGCAAGCUAUGCAAUUUGCCAUUACGCGUUUCUGAGGAAGAGCUUUGAUCAAGCUAUUCAACACAGCUCUGACUGAAAAUCUUUUCUUGGUUGGAAGCUUACUAGAGUAGCAUAAACCAGUAGUUUCUUGUGUUUCAGACUUUUAACCUCCUGUUGUAAUCAAUAAGAUUUUAGCACCAAGGCGGUGGUUUAGUUCUUUGUGGCUCUUACUAUGUGUGUAACCCAACUAUAAAGCAAUUCACUACUCUUCCCAACCGAGUCCACCUAUUAUAUUGAUUAGGCUAAACAUAGCUUUAGAGGCUCUAACUAGAAUGGGCAGAAGAAUAAAAGUCUCACUACUAGUUUUUAGUCUUAAGUAGACAGCAAUUCUCUACCACGGCGAAUUUUACAAUAACCCUCGCACCAUUUUCACACAGUGCAAACACCAUUAACAAAACUAUUUAUUAUGAAUUAACAGUUAUAUUCUGCCAUGAUCUAUUAUUCCCCGUGCUUCCAGAUCUAGAACAUAGUUAUCGCGUUGCAAUGAGUUGAAAACAGGGUUGCUACACGAUAAAGGGUCUUGAAAGGUUUGAAUAGUAUGCCUCUACGCUUGCCUUCAAAGUUGACGUUUCAGAUAUGUGAUGUAGCUCUUUCAUCGUUAAUUUUGGAAGUCUUCUAUCCUAAUUAACUCGGGGAAGACGAGAACUUGCGAUCCAUAUGUGUUGUCGGCAUUAAGUAGCACAUUCAUCAACUCAGAUUGUUCUCACCUAGUGCAAGUAUUUCAAGAGAACCAUAUUCUUCACUUGUUCUAGAGAGCCUCCAAUUCCCCCACCCCACCCCUUUUUUUGUUGGGGGGUGGGGGGGUUUAAUUUUUCAUAAGGGCGUCUUGGAGGUGCAUCUCUACUUGUUUAAAUAUAUAAAGUGGAGUAGCUUCGAUUCAGUUACCUCCAAUUGAGUGAAGACGAUGUGGUCUCAUCCGGUAUGUACUGCCAGCAUAAAACUUCCAAACCAAACGGUAUCUCUUAUCCCCUCACACGCCACAUAUCAAAAACAGCUUGCAGCUGAUAUUCAAAUACCAUAAGCACGAAAGAGAUAGAUUUCAAGAGAUACAAUCAUAUAGUAGCCAAUGCCCAAAACCACCAAGAGUGAGAUUUCAAAGGGCAUUACAAAAAUUAUUCUUGAGAAAAAAGUUCGUUGAAACAGAAAUUGACAGGCUGAGGGGCACCUAGGAAGAAUUUAAUUGCCCUCCCACAAUUAUUAUAGAGCUAUAAAAGCUUCAUGGUACAAACUUUGUUCGUGGCCUCCCCCACUCAUCAUCAUGCAAAUGCUGUAAACCAUUAUCAUUGUGUUAGUACUCAUCAAAAAGUAGAAUUUGAGGCUUAAAUAUAAUGGAACAAAACAAUAACAAGUAAUCUCUUCUCACACUACCCCAACAAGGUAUUAACAAUAGUAGCGAUAAUAUCUCCGGUACAGGAACAACAACAAUAACAACAACCCAGUAUAAUCCCACUUAGUAGGGUCUGGAGAGGGUAGUGUGUACGCAGACCUUACACCUACUCUUGGUAGAGAGACUGUUUCCAAAUAGACCCCCGGCAUCCUUUCCUCCAAGAACUUCCCACCUUGCNNNN
RNAcentral lists this long non-coding RNA (95507 nucleotides) under Nicotiana benthamiana. RNAcentral describes it as "long non-coding RNA (NBEN_LNC006890)". Lineage: Eukaryota; Viridiplantae; Streptophyta; Magnoliopsida; Solanales; Solanaceae. The record is from RNAcentral.